Molecule: long non-coding RNA, 112102 nt
Filed under: Fragaria vesca (wild strawberry)
Lineage: Eukaryota; Viridiplantae; Streptophyta; Magnoliopsida; Rosales; Rosaceae
Source: RNAcentral
AUAGUAGUAUCUGAGCCUAUGAAUGGAAAAACAUGUGCAAACGACAGCACUACAAAACCGUUGAUCAAUGCAUUAGUUUCUUAAUUUGAUGGUCAGUUCAUAGUCCAAUUAAAGUCAGAGGGUACUCGAUUAUGUUAGAUUAAUAUGCAAAUUGGGAAUGCAUGCGUAUGCAGAUAUAUACGUUAGUCUUAGUAUCAAAAUGAGGGAGAAAACAAAAACUUCAUCGAUGGAAGGGCAACAAACUUGCCACAUUGGGGCAGUUUAUAUUUGUAUUAUUGAAACGACACAUAGAGAACAUGGCAAACAGCUAAAACAAAUGGCAUUAUGGUACGUACAAUGGAAUUAAACUAGCUAACGAUAGUUAGGGUUUAUACGUAUAGUUGAUCGAUGAUCGAAACCGUCGUGCUUCUUCUACUUCUUCUUCUUCGGGUUCUUUCACUUAGACUAAAGUCGUGAGGAAAUACAUUACACAAUUGGACGGUUAUAACGAAAAGGAAAUUGAAUUUGGAACGCUUUGACAGAUUCGUUAAGUUCCUCUCUGCGAAAAUUUAACUAACAAUAUUGUCAAAGAAUAUAUCCCAUCCGCGGCCAAUAUUAUACAUCCACCACACCUUUUAAGUCUCUCUCUCUCUCUCUCUCUCUAUAUAUAUAUAUAUAUAUGAUGAAUAUGUAUGUUCCAAUAUUUUGCAUCUUCUUUUCUUAUAUUUACCGUACGAUUUUCUUGAUCGAUCAGUUUGAAAACUACUGUUUAGAGCAUCAGAUAACAAGUAAUUAAGAUUUUUAUGGUCCUUGUUCAAUGAACAGAUACCUGCUUAAACAUAAGUAGAAGUCGACCUAGAUAAAUAGGAAUUUAGGAAAACUACUUGAAAAGACAAACUUUAUAUAUGCAAUUAAAUACACGUUUGAGACUACAUUACCUCUUUAUUUUCUAAGACUGUACUGGACUUAUGUGGGGUGUCUUAAGUUGUACUAAUAUUAACUCAUGUUUGGUGUUACAUGAGAUUAGAUGAUAGUUUGUUUGAUUUAUAGUUUAGAAUGAUGGUGCUAUUUAAGGAUGACAUAUUUGAGUACACACAAUAACACCACCUAAGAAUGCCAAAAUGAAACCAAGAUGUUACGUAAGCUCAUUUAUUUUAGUAUCCAGUGAUACCAAACACAGUACUAACUAAAUUGGACUCCUUAUUUAACACUGUCUCAUUUAGUCCCAACAAACAAACAUGUAUGGUAUUCGAUCUAGAGUACAAACAACCUGGUUUCUAUGCUCUUAAUUAUUAGUCUUACUAGCUUUUUACCCGUGCAUUUGUAGGGCUCACCAUAUUAUUUAAUAAUGCAAUUAUACAACCCACUGCCCACUUUUUUCUCUUUAAUUAUCUGUUUUUGUUAUUUACUAUAGUAACUUUUUUUCUUAAUAGCCUGAAUCAACUUAAUAAGAGUAGUAUUGGCGAAGCAUAAUUUGAUGAAUUUUCUACGUGCUGGCUUUAUAGUAGUAGAGAUAUAUCCAUAUGGAUAAUGUGUAUUACUGAAGCUAGUAGAUAAUAUCGAUCAAUGACCAUUUAGCUCAAAUAUAUAAAACACACACAUAUAUAUAUAUAUUCAACAAAGAUGAUAAUAUAUAAUGAACAGAGGGGCACACAAUUUUCUCAUAUUCAUGUUUCGACGUUCUUGUACGUACGUACGUAAGUGCACUCAUAUACGUACCGUGCAUAUGUUGAUACAACAUAUAUCUUUAACGAAAAUAUAACUAAAUAAGUCCUAGCGAAAAUAUACAGAAUGAAAUUAAGAAUAUACGUGGGUAGUUCCGGCUCAUAGUUUUAAUUUGAAGCCAAGUAAUGCCUUAGGAAAAUUGAAACCCUUGGUCAUGACGUAUACUUUAGGGCCACAACUUCCCACUUUGGUAUAGAUUCCCUAGUUUGCUUGCUCCAAGUUGGAUGCAUCUGAGUUGAUCCGAUCUAAGAUUUAUUUGAAAAUUAGGGUUUUGGUUCUGCCUUUACUUUCGGACCAAAUUAAGUUAAUUCCCUGCAGGGAACUAAACACAUCCAUGAAUAUAUACUUUGUUUUUUCUUUACAUAUUAUAUUUGUGCCACUUAAACAAGAGAUUAGGGUCCUAAUUUGUGAGUUUUGUUUCAUGUACGUACACAUCAAACCGAACGCACUCGAUCACUUUAUAGAAGAGCACGUAUCAAAGAACAUUUGGUGUUCUAUUUGCAGUUCAUUAAUCUAAUUGACUUUGCUUAAAGGGGGAAUGGUUAUAAUUAUUGAAUCUAAAAAGAUGACGCACAAAAUUAUCGGCAAUAGAAACUUAUUAGAUGUCGUACGUUUCCAGCACUAGAGAACUUAUUCUAUAAUUCGAAAUCACUGCCGUAUGAUACUGUCCUGAAGAAGAAUACAAUAAUGUUUAUGCACUACGUAGAUGGAUCGAGAUUGAUUGAUUAAUUGGACCAGCUUGACCUAUCUCUAGAGAAGUCCAUUAGUAGUAUAGUAUUAUACAAUCACUAUAAUUAUGCGCUAAUCAAACAUAUAAUAUACUCACUUCCAUAUCGAUCCCGCUAGUAACAGCUUAGAGUAGAAAUGUGGUACUGUACACUGUCUCAUAAGCAUGGAUGUGAAGCAUGUACAAUGCCAUAUGUUGAAGAAUCAUCAUCGUCAUCAUCAUCAUCUGCAUAAAUAUUUCAUCCAAGAAAACAGUCAUCUACUAAAAUUAAGUAUCAGCUACAUAUAUAGAAACUUCUUAUCAGAAACAAUUUGGGCCUACCAUUGGAUGGGUUCACCGAAAGCAAGCUGGUUUACAGAACUGAAUAGUAGGCCCGUUCCAUUUGAUUUCUUUCUUUCAGCAACUUUGCUUGGAUAUCGGGUCAGAAAAGAAUGAUAUAUUGAAAGAAAAGAAAUAAACCGAGUAGUUUGAUAGUGGAUGAGGUUAUAAGUUGAGUAGUUUGAUGAUUUAUCAUUUAUGAAUAGGGCAUAACGAAAUAAAAUCAAACAUUCAUUUUUUUUUUUUUUAAAGUAACAGAAUAAUUUUAUUGAUAAUCAUUAAAACUAUCGUAUUAUGUCAAACUUGAGAGUCUUAAAAGAGCUUCAUUUACAUCUAUUGUUUCAUCUACAUAUAACUCGAUAUUGCAACUUUUAAGACGAAAAAAAAAAACAAAACUAGAAAAAAAAUCUAAACUGACUCAACAGAAAAAGAAAACGACUAUGAUUGCCAACGACGUUGCACGAAAUUGAAGCAGCUACUUGGGGCCUAGUGAUCCCUCAUGGUGUACCCCUCCAGAACCUAUGUUGGAAUAAGAUAAAGAGUUCUGCUACGUGCACCAAAAAUUUAUACCAAAAUUUAAUACCAAAUUACAUGGCAACCUACAUGGCAUAUACAUGUCAUCACACUCAAUUGAAAAAUUUCAGUAUAUUUGGUUUUCUUAAUUAAUAAAUAAUCCUAAAAAUCUAAUAAUAAUAAUAAUUAGUUUCCUUAUGUGAAUGAAAUACGUGAUGGGAUUAACCUAGAGCUAGAAGUCUAAUCAUCAAACACAUCCNNNNNNNNNNNNNNNNNNNNUAAAAUAGUCUACUUGAGAAGUUGGGUAUUCCUUCUUAAGAGGACACUAAAUUAAUAAUUAAUAUAUGCAAAUAAAUUUUGUGAAUUUUGUUUUAGAAUUCUAUUCAAAAUCAAAUAGGUUAAUAAAAAUACAUGGUGGAAAAUAUUAGGUUUAAAAUGAUGAUAUGGCAUGUGCCACAUCAUUUGGUAUAGAGUUUUUGUAUGAAUUUUUGGUGUCUCUAGCAUUUUCCUAAGAUAAAAUGCCGAGCAUACAAACUACACUUUGUCGUCGGGAGAAUCAGUCCCUUCUCGAUCCAGUUCAGAUGUCGCGCUUAGGUCUGAAGCAAGCGAACCAGAAAACAUAAACUCUCCAUUUUUUGCCUUAGGUUUGUUCCUGCUAUCUCUUGGCCUCCCAUGCUUCUUGGGACCACACCCAUUAGCCGAACUAACAACCUCUAAACCACCACUAGCCUCCUCCCCGGCCUGUAAACCCUAGAUGAUCUAAUUGAAGGGUUUUUGGAAUGAGAAUUAACAUGUUCUUAGUUCUCUUUCCAUCAUCAACCCCUGCAUCAUCAUCCCGAGGCCUAUGAACCCUAGAAACCCAAGAAAGGGUUCUAUUGCUCUCUGUAUCAGUGUUUUUUUUUUAAGUAAUCAAUUUCGUGUAUCUCAAGCUAUAAUAACAAGGAUACAUAUAUUCCCUUACUGAAUCCACGAUAAGUUUAAGACGUGACAUAAUAAUACCACUCAAUGGACAACCAAUGCUCACUUAUUAAAAACAAGCCUGUGAACUAUGAAAACAUACAUAACAAAUAGCAAAUAGGCACAAAAAAGAAGUGCAUAGUUUCCAAAAAAAAAAAUAUAGAGAUUAGGAUAGCAAAGAAAAUACUAAGCUAAUUUAAAGGCAACCUAGAGACAUUAUGCCUAGGCCCAACACUCUCGCCCAGCCCACCCACUCUCCAUAACCCCAAUUCAAGGCCUCCAUACUCCUUGCCGCAGCCGACUCCUCCCUGAUGCAAACCAGAAGAUGAAAAAACAGCUUCAAACACAUGCCAACCCCAACCCGAAACAAAACUGUCAUCCCCCUAAGGCUAUGACAGGACCGGGGUUGGUAAUGUCUACUUUUUUCUCGUUAUCUAGUCUAAAUUCUAGUUACAUUUAACAUGUUAUAUAUGAGUUCUUUUCUAUAAUAUAAAAACCUUUUUAGUCGAAAACACAUAAAUCUGUAAAGAAAACAUCUAAAUUGCCAACGAAAAGUUUUCUUACCAUUAGAACGUGUGGAAUAGGAUUAUUAUUAUUUUUUUUUUUUGGAGAAUCAAAAGAAUAGGAUUUAAUGAUAAAUAACAUAGUAAUACCCUAAAACAAAAUGUGAAAAAUCUGUCAUAUCAUGCGGUUAUAAAGCGGCCCGACAUAAGAAUUCACUCUCUCCUAAAUCGAACCGUACAGGAGUCUUUGUUAAUACUCUUUAAUUUCUUGUAUAUAUAUUUACUCUUUGGCGGCCUUCGUCUUUCAAUUCAGUUCUCUCCCUCGUCGCAAGUCCUCAAGAAUUCAACUUCGAUAUCCUAAAAGCUAGCUGCUAUCUCUCUUGUACUCGAAGGUAAAUCUCUUUUGUAGUCCUUCUUUAACAUGCAUGUCAUCUUCUGUUCAUUUUGUUCGUCGACUUGUUAUCUUGUAUGUUUUUUUUUGUUUCCUCCUGCAUGUUUCUGGGUCUCACUCAGGUUCAUGUUUUAGUUUUUACGCUCGAUCUGCUUCAAUUUCAGGUAGGUUUUAUCAGCUCAUGUGAUCUCCGAUCAUCCUUUGCAUGCUUUGCUCUUGCUUUCUUCUAUAUAUUUGAUGUAUUUUGUUAGAUGACAGAAGUGUUCUCCUGCAUGCUUUGGUAAUUAUUCUUAUAUUUAACCCUUAAUCCGAAUUCGAUGGUGAAUAUGUGUGUGUGUGUGUGUGUGUUAACUUUGAGUUGGUUCUUCAUUACUGACCAGAGAACACCAUUCAUGUUCAUGAUAAAAUCCUCUGUCUCUGAAUAAAAACUAGACGUUAUUUGCAUUGGCUAUUAUCAUAUAUUAAUGUUUUCCAUUUUCUCAUUGUAUUUAAUUUAUGUAUGGUUGUUUAAUUUAUUUUGCUGGUCGGUAUAUAAUGUGGUUGUGGUGCACAAAUAAGAGUAUGAUAUAUGCUGUCAAUGAGAGAGGCAACAUGUCAUAGAGUUAUGGAAGUUCCUAUUUGAUGAAUCAAUGUUUUGAUAUAUACUACUAUAGUUCUUGGGUGAAGGAUGAUGAUCUAGUGAUAUAUGAUAGCUAGAUUGCCCUCAAUUUUUUUUGCAGUAGUAAAUUUAUGCAACAGAUAGGCAAAUAAAAGUUCAAGUUAUUGGUGUCAUCCUGAUGUCUAAGUGCAAGUUCUUCUCUUCUUAGGUGAUCUCAUAUAUGAGGACUGCUGAGGAUAGUUCUGCAGAGCAAGGUGGUGAUUUGACUCCUCGAAUUGGGAAUGACUAUCAAGCAGUGAUCCCACCUCUGCGUGAAGGGACUAUAUUAAGUAUUGAAGAAGCAGAAGACAUACUUCCACCUUGCAGUGUUAUUGAGAAGUAUACAUUUCUCCUUGCACUAUAUAUAUUUGGGAAAAAUCUUAGUCUGGUGACGAGAUUUGUUGGAAAUAAAAGCAUGAAGGAAAUUCAAGCUCUCUACUAUGGAGAGUUCUAUGCUUCUUAUGAAUAUAGAAUAUGGUCAGAGUGGGGAAAGUGGAGAGGCAAACGUUGUAUAUAUGGGGAAAAACUAUUUACAGAAUGUAGGCUGAACGAAUUUAUGUCUCGGUUGUUGCCAUGUGUGUCGAAGCGAUGCCAAGAUGUGUUGAUGGAGGUAGUUACUUCUCCAAUGUUAUUGUUCUGCACUUGUACUGUAUAUCUAUAAUCUACUUACUAAGGGAAGGAAGAUCAAUGUUGUGCAGUUCUUAUUUAGCAGGCAGUCGUUCACAUGCUUCAUGCAUUUUGUUGUGCGGAGUUGCAUACAUACUUCUGUUGAUUUGCUGUCCUGCUCGAUCUUAAUAAAUUUCAAUAUUUUGUGCAGAUUUCGCCAAAAUUUCUAAAGGGAAAGAUUUCCUUUGAAGACUACAUAUUCAAGUUGAAGGAUUCUGUUGGUGUUCUAUUGCUUAUUGAAGUUAUUGGUAUUGGAAAAGAAGGGAAGGAAAACCUUACAAGCACUGCUUUUGAGCCAAUGUCGUCUGGCAAAGAUUGGUCCUCAGUUACACCUGCAGAGAUUCUCAAGUUUCUAGCCAGUUUCCAGCGGCUAAGGAAAGUUCGAAUGAAUGAUCGAUGGAAAGAUUUCUUCUGGGAAGCUGUUUGGCCCCGCCUAUUAACAAGAGGAUGGCAAUGCCAGCAGCCUAAGGGUCGUCGCAUGGGAGGCAGUCUAAUAAACACAUCUCUGAUAUUUCUUGAACCAUCAAGUUCUAAAACAUGCACCUACAGGUUUUCAUGGAGGCUUGUGAAAGGUACUCAUUACCAUGUCUCUGUCAAAAAUAUGUUGAAGACUGUUGCAUCAGACCCUAGUGUCCUCGCGCUCGGUGAUGAAGAAGCAGCUGAUCCUAACUUGCCAAAGAAAGAAGAACGCCGGUUCCUCGAUCCAAGCGGAGAAAGUAGCAGUAGAAAUGGAAUGAUAUUUAACAUAGUGGAUACUAGUACUUUCAAUGGAACAGAACAAAACGAGGUGACACAACUAAGAAGAUUGCCUGCUCAACCUGCCAGUUCAAGUCCUCCCUCUGAUCUUCUUCGUACAACUAAAAAAGAUGGCACUGUUUCUGUGGAUUCAAGCUGCAGAAGUGAAAAUAUCUCUGAUGCUGAAGAGUUCCAAUGCCAAUCCAAGAUGCCAAAUCAAAGGGAGGGGCUGGAAAUUCAAGUGCAUCCACAAAACUCAUCAUCCACAAUUUAUUUUGAGAAAGGUGGUCCAUGUAGCAACGUUGAAGGCUGUGGCACCAGGAAUGUCCUCCAUAAAGAACCAUCUCGAGGCACCGGUGAAGCUCGAAUAAUCAUCGACUUGAGUUUUACAUAUGUUCCCCCACAUGUGGAAGCUGAUCAACCCUCCAUGGCCAUCACAAUGCAAGGUAUGGAUAAUUCAUCUGCAUACAAGUCAUCAACUGUGGCUGAAACAAGAGGGCAGAAGGUGGAGGAGGUGGAGGUUGCUGAAGCUGGGGCUACUAUAGAAGAGCAGCAGCUCGUUGCUUACAACCAGAGGAAAAGCACAAGGAGCCGUCCGCUGACGAAGAAAGCCUGGGAAGCUCUUGAAAAUGAAUUCGGCAGUACAAGGAAGAAGAGAAGAGGGUGAGACUUAACAGAGUAAGUCAUCAUCGAAGUCCUAGGGAUCUCCAUUGAAGAAUAAUUGAAGGAUAGUAGUCACAGUACUGCUAAUUAAACAGGAAAAGUAAUUUGUAAGCUUACAUAUUGAUCGAUUCGUUGCUCACUGUAUUUAGUAAGCUUACAUAUUGAUAUUAGGAGUGUACAACAACUAGCUAGUCCGCGAGUCAAACUCGAUCAAAACUAUUCAGUUAGAAUAUCGAAAGCAAACAAUAGUUCUUCGUUUUAUGACAGAAACAAGCAACAAAACCAAACUACGUACAUGCAACCAAAAACAUCUUGGAACACUCAUUUCUAGCUAAUCCAACUGAAAUGCUGAGAAACACAGAAAGGGGUUAGCAAUGAAACCAAACAGACGUACAGAACGAUUAUGAAACUAAACAAUAAUACUUAUUAUCAACUACACUUAAUGUCAGUGAGCCGUGGUUUGGUUGAUUAAGGUAUUUAAGUAACAACUUUGAGGUCAUAGGUUCAAACCUCACUAAACAUAUGUAGAGGGUGUGUGAGUUAUUAAUAAAAUUAAAAAAAAAAAAAAAAGCCUACACUUGAUUAAAAUAGAUGAUCAUAAGCCUAUUUGCGGAUAUGCCACUUAAUCUAAAUAUCGAAUAUGCAGAAAUUGUUGGGUUUCACGCAGCGGAUUGGUCAACAAGAUAUAAUAUCGAGAAUGCUGUUGGGAAAAAUAAUAUAAUGGAAGUAACAACUCAAACCACAUAAAUGAUAAAUAUGUAAAGAUGUAUAGAGGAAAAGAAACACCAGAUAUAACGUGGUUCGGUAAUGUGCCUACGUCCACGGGGCAGCAAUAACAAAAACUUCCACUAUGAAAUAAUGGGUACACGAGAUACACAACUUCAAGAACACUCCUUGAAGGAAACCCUCUCUCACACUUGUUUUGCUACCAACUACUAUACACUCUCAACUUGGAGUGGACACUCUUCUCUACUUGGAAGAUGAAGUUUUAGAUGGAUGAGAUGCUUGGAAUGAGCAAAUGACUCUCCUUUUAUAGGCUAAGGAGGAAUCAUCUAGACCUCUCAUUAGUGCUCUCCCAAUAAAUGGUACUUCAUGAAUCUUCCUGUAACUCAUGCCUUGACUAUAACUCCAAUACCAUCCAUGUUUUUUGUGUAACUCAUGUAACCUUGUGUAACUCAUGUAACUUAUGUAACUCAUGAAACCUUUCAUUACUAUUUUAUUUAUUUUGGUCUGGAUAUUAUAACAAUCUCCCCCUCCAGACCAACCCGGGGAAAUACGCGGCAAGACUUCUAUUUGAAGUCCAUCCCAGCGGACUUGCUGCAAUACUCCAACUUCUGUUGUGGCACAACCUUAGUCAACAUAUCUGAAGUAUUCUUGUUGGUGUGAAUUUUCCUCAACUACAAAAACUUCUUUGACACUACAUCUCGUAUCCAAUGAUAACGUAGAUCAAUGUGCUUAGUGCGAGGGUGAUAAACUGAAUUUUUACUCAAGUGAAUUGCACUCUGACAAUCACAAUACACCACAUACCUUUCUUGCUUCACACCCAACUCCUGAAUGAACCUUUGCAGCCACAUCAUUUCCUUGCCUGCUUCGUUUGCCGCUAUGUACUGGGACUCAGUGGUGGAUAAGGCAACACACUUCUGUAACUUGGACUGCCAUGAUACAGCUCCCCCACAAAAUGUAAAUAAGUACCUAGAAGUGGACUUUCUGUUAUCAAGGUCCCCAGCUAAAUCUGCAUUUGUGAAACACCCAAAACGGGUUCGGAUCUACCAAAAGACAAGCACAACUUUGAGGUGCCCCUCAAAUAUUUGAGUAUCCACUUAACAGCUUCCCAAUGCUCUUUGCCAGGGUUAGAUAAAUAUCUACUAACAACUCCAACUGCAUGAGUAAUAUUUGGUAGAGUACAUACCAUGGCAUACAUUAGACUACCAACAGCUGAUGAGUAAGGGAUACCUACCAUCUUGUCUUUCUCCUCUUGUGUAGUUGGGCAUAAUAAUCUGCUUAACUUAAAGUGAUUACCUAGAGGUGAGCUCACUGACUUAGCUUCUUCCAUGUUGAACCUUUCAAGCACCCGUUCAACAUACCUCUCCUGUGACAACCAUAAUUUAUUUGUCUUCCUAUCACGGGUAAUCUCCAUGCCCAAAAUCUACUUAGCUGGACCUAAGUCUUUCAUAUCAAAAGACUUUGAUAAAUCUGCCUUCAACUUGCAGAUCAUAGAAAUUUCUUGCCCCACUAUCAACAUAUCAUCAACAUAAAGCAACAAAAUUAUAAAUUUACCUUCAGUGAACCGUUGAAUGUACACACAUGGGUCUGCAUCAGUUCUUUUGUAUCCAUGACCCACCAUGAAUGAGUCAAACUUCUUGUACCAUUGCCUUGGCGCUUGCUUCAGUCCAUACAAACUUUUCUUUAGCUUGCAAACCAUGUGCUCCUUGCCCUCGACCUCAAAACCUUCCGGUUGCUCCAUGUAUAUUUCUUCCUCUAAAUCACCAUGUAGGAAUGCUGUUUUUACAUCUAACUGCUCCACCUCAAGAUCCAUGCUAGCUGCCAUGCCCAAAAUAACUCUGAUAGAUGUCAUUUUGACAACUGGUGAGAAGAUCUCAUCAAAAUCUACUCCUUCCUUCUGCCCGAAACCUUUGACAACCAAGCGAGCUUUGAACUUUGUCAACUGUUCAUUCUCGUCCCUUUUCAACUUGAACACCCAUUUGUUUUUGAGUGUUUUUCUGCCUUUAGGAAGCUCCACCAACUCAUAGGUGCCAUUUUUCAACAAGGAUUCCAUCUCAGACUUGAUAGCUAAUAUCCACUUGUCUCCAUCUACAUGAGUCUUCGCCUCCUCAAAGCAUUCAGGCUCUCCAUCACCAGUCAACAGAAUGUAUUUAGAAUAUGGAUUAUCUCCAUCACUGGUGAGCAAAAUAUAUUGAGAAGAAGGAUACUUGGUACUUUGCUUCGGUACUCUAUGAGAUCUUCGAACUGGUGUUUAGGCAUUUUUUUGUUGUUGUUCUUGAUUAGGCUCUUCAUGAUCAGGCUCCCCCUGAUCAUGAUCAUCCUGAACCUGAUUCUCCUGGUCAUCAUUUGCAGCACCUGCAGCUUCUGGUUCUACCGUAUCAGGGACGUCUUCAUUAACCAUUUCUUGAGGUUUGUUAGACUCUUCUUGGAGCGGAGACGAGUCAUAAGCGAGGCGCUCUGCAUUUUCUAGUAUGUUGUCAAAAUUCGCAACAGUCUGGUCCUCAUGGAACACCACAUCUCUGCUUCUGAAUAACUUCUUGGUUAUUGGAUUCCACAACUGGUAGCCCAUCUCUUCAUUACCGUACCCAAGAAAGAUGCACGGCACGGCCUUGUCAUCUAGCUUCAAUCUUUUCUCCUUUGGAACAUGUGCAAAUGCUUUGCACCCAAAUACCUUCAAGUGAGAAUAUGAAGCACUUCUACCGGUCCACACACUCUCUGGAGUCUCCAAGCCCAACGGUACACAUGAUGUUCGGUUGAUGAGGUGACAAGCGGUUGUAAUUGCUGCGCCCCAAAACUCUUUCGCCAGGUUAGCCGUCUUUAGCAUGCUUCUCACUUUUUCCAAGAUGGUGCGGUUCAUCCUCUCUGCUACACCAUUAUGUUGUUGGGUGCCAGGAACUGUCUUUAUGUGUCUAAUGUCAUGCUUCGAACAAUAACCUCUGAACUCGUUCGAAGUGUACUCUCCACCAGUAUCACUGCGGAGACACUUGAGGGUUUGUCCCGUCUCCCUCUCAACCAUGGCAUGGAACUCUUUGAAGGUUUGGAACACCUGGUCUUUUGAUUUUAACAAAUACACCCAAACCUUUCGUGAAGCAUCAUCGAUAAAAGUGACAAAAUAUUUGCUAUGACCUAGUGAAUCAACUUCCAUAGGACCACAUACAUCCGAGUGUACUAGGUCUAAAACAUUCUCUUUCUUUGUAAAUGUAUUAGCAAAACUAACCUUAUGUUGCUUACCAAAUAAACAAUGAUCACAAGAUUCAGGUACCUUUGGGAAACAGAAUAAGAGACUUCUUUGCCAGAACUUGCAAUCCCUUCUCACUUACGUGGCCUAACCGCUUGUGCCAUAGACUUGGAGAAGAGUCAUCCAUGACAUUCAACUCCCCUUUGUAUAUCUUGCCAUAUGUCUUGUAGAGGGUGCAACACAACUUCCCUCUAGCCACCACUAGUGAUCCUCUGGUAAGCCUCCACUUUUGAUCUCCUCCGUGAUGAUGAAAACCUUCUCGAUCAAGCACGCUGGUUGACAUCAAAUUGAGACGUAGGCCCGGAACAUGUCGAACAUCUUUCAACAUCAGCUUGUUGCCCAAAUUGGUCUCAAAGCAGACAUCUCCAAUUCCUGCAAUCUUGGAGUAGCCUUAAUUGCCCAUCUUUACAAUCCUAAAUUCACCACCUUUGUAUGUCAAGAAAAACUCCUUAUUUGGAGUGGCAUGGAAAGAGGCUCCGGAAUCAACGACCCAUACAACACCGGGAGUAUCGUCAGCAUGUAGGCAUUCUCCUUCAAGACAAAGGAACUCAUACACAUCAUUGCACACAGUAGCGGUUGUGUUCUUUGUGUCAUCCUUCGGUUGAUGAGUAUUGCCACAACACCGGGAGUAUCGUCAGCAUGUAGGCAUUCUCCUUCAAGACAAAGGAACUCAUACACAUCAUUGCACACAGUAGCGGUUGUGUUCUUUGUGUCAUCCUUCGGUUGAUGAGUAUUGCCAUCUCGAGCCUCCCUAGGAUCCUUUUUAAACUUGUUGCAAUUUUUCUUCAUGUGCCCAAAAAUACCACAAUGAUGGCACUUUCCAUUAAACCUUGUUCUGGAUCGGCUUGCACUCCUUCCAUGGCCUCUAGGUCCUUUACUCUUGCUCCUACCUCUAUUCUCCGCCACAAAGACUUGGCUAUUGUUGGAGCUAGAGGAUUUUCUCCUUGUCUCUUCAUUCAACAUGUUACUUUUAACAUUAUCCAUAGUCAAUUUACCAUCAGGAGCAGAGUUACUUANNNNNNNNNNNNNNNNNNNNUCUCAUUUGCCACAUGGUGGAAUACACUAUCAUCCAUCCACUCUCGGAUAUGACCGAUUGCCUUACGAUUCAUCUUUGUCCAAUUAGCAUCUGAAGUCCCUUCCGGCUUAGCAUCAACUCCUUCGAUGGGCUCAUGCAAAUCUUUGCAAUAGAGUAUGUCCUCCAUUCGUGGCUUCCAUGUAAUCCAAUUUGAGUGGUUGAGUCGAACCAUUGUACUCCUUGAACCUUCCAUUUUAACGCCCACGCCCUACGAACCAAGGGCUAUGAUACCACUGUUGGGAAAAAUAAUAUAAUGGAAGUAACAACUCAAACCACACAAAGGAUAAAUAUGUAAAGAUGUAAAAGAUAGAGGAAAAGGAACACCAGAUAUAAAGUGGUUCGGCAAUGUGCCUACGUCCACGGGGCAGCAAUAACAAAAACUUCCACUAUGAAAUAAUGGGUACACGAGAUACACAACUUCAAGAACACUCCUUGAAGGAAACCCUCUCUCACACUUGUUUUGCUACCAACUACUCUACACUCUCAACUUGGAGUGGACACUCUUCUCUACUUGGAAGAUGAAGUUUUAGAUGGAUGAGAUGCUUGGAAUGAGCAAAUGACUCUCCUUUUAUAAGCUAAGGAGGAAUCAUCUAGACCUCUCAUUAGUGCUCUCCCAAUAAAUGGUACUUCAUGAAUCUUCCUGUAACUCAUGCCUUGACUAUAACUCCAAAACCAUCCAUGUUCUUUGUGUAACUCAUGUAACUUAUGUAACUCAUGAAACCUUUCAUUACUAUUUUAUUUAUUUUGGUCUGGAUAUUAUAACAAAUGCAACUAUAAUAGGAAAAACAAACAUACACAACAACACAAGAUUUAACGUGGUUUCCUCGCUCUUUGAGGUACGUCCACUGGGCGUGAUCCGAUCUUUCUUUACUAUUGAGAAUAAAGAGAUCUAAAUACAAUGUGUUUCACUCAAGUUUAUAACCCAAACCCAAACCCAAACCCGAACCCGAACCCGAACCCGAACCCUUGUACACCUCUCUCAACUCACACUCUCAAUAUCCAGUAAAGCUAACUCUCUUACAACACUUGAUAGAGAAUUAUAUUCUCUCUAGACAAGAGACUACAACUUCGGAUGCCACACUACACAAUGCCAAUGUCGAAUGGCUAUUUAUAGCCAACUUCUUUUGCAGCCAACAUGUAGAAACCAUGCAAAGAAGAAAAGCAAGACACUACACAAUGCCAAUGUCGAAUGGCUAUUUAUAACCAACUUCUUUUGCAGCCAACAUGUAGAAACCAUGCAAAGAAGAAAAGCAAAGUCUUGUUUUUCCUUCUUUCCCGUUCAAUGUUCUACACUCAAUAGCAUGAUACUAUUACCAAUAGUUCUCAACUAUUGUUUUCUAUCCAUGCAUGCUCUCUACUCUUUCAAUAUGAACUCCAAGAACAAUAGUGCACAAUAGUAGGCUUGGUCCCUUAGCUUCAAGCCUUCAACUAUGGCUGCACCACCCAUCUAUAUCUAGCUUCAUAACACAAUGAAUGAGCUAUUUCCCAUGCAUUUACCUUGUGCAUAUUGCAGCCUUCUUCUUCCAUUCAAACAAUAUAUACUGCACCAACUAGCAAACAUGGAAGCAAACAUGGCAUUAGUUUGAGCCACAUCUCAACAGAAAUGCAAAUCUACUUGGUUUUUUAGAGGCUUGAAAAGCGAAGAUUUUCUUAUAGAAUUCUCACAAGCUAAUUGGUGUUAGCUAAACUUACCAGUUAUAACAAGUCAAUAAUUAUGGUAUUUUUUUAUGGUAACAAAAAAAUUUAUGUGAGAGUUUGGUUAGGCUACAAGACCAUCAUUAGGGCAAAUCUGCAACCUUAACUCUGAAGGACUUAUGGUGGACACGUAUAUGUAAGUGUGUAACACCAACCUCCAUGUAUGGAUUUCCACAGAAGAAGUUACAUAUCGCGAACCAAACGAGGCAUGCUUGCAAGGGGGUUUAAGUCUGCCCUUACCAACUGAGCUAAACCUCGAUGGCAAUUAUGGUAUUUAUUUUCAUUCUAGCUUUUUAAAUUUCUACGAAACUCUCGUUAAGAAAUUUGAAGACUUCAAGGGGCUCGGCCUACCACUUUCCAAUGGGCUUCUCAUAGGCCUCAUCCAACAACAGCCCAUUAAAUCAACAAAUAUCCUUGAGAAAAGAAAUUAAAAAAUAACAUAAUAUCAGCUCAGCUCUGCUGGUCCAUAAUUAAGAAAUGCACAAAGUUUGGGGCCAAUCUGCAAUGCAAUUUGCUCAUUAGCUACGCAAUACCCUAAUCAGGUUGAUGAAGUUCAAGCUUUGAUGGUUGACUGCAAUUCUAAAAUAUUCCCCUCCUUAAUUUUCUUUCUUACUUCUUAAUCUUCUGCCAUUUUGUCUAAUCGAACAUCAUUAUCACUAACACAUUUUAAAUCCAAGAGUUAUGCCGUGACCGUCUUUUGUGUUGGUUUUAUCCAUGGGGUUGCUUUGCUCAUGUCAAUUAGCUAUGACUGAGACUGACUUAGUUAAUUGAUCACAAUUAUGAAAACCUAAUUAGCAUCCUAAUGGUGUUUAGGUCGAUCGUCCUAAAUUCUUAUUUGGUUUCAUCUUAAUAUAGAUAUAUAUAAUUAAUCCGAAACAUGGAAGAAGAGGUAGAGUGUUAGGAACUUUUGCUGUUGUCUUCAUGUUGUUGGGUUGAUGUUAGCUUCAUCAAUUGCAUCGACCUUGAUCGAUGACUACUAUGCAAUCUGUUUAAUUGUUUUGAUUUGAUAAUAGUUUUUGAUCUUGAAAGGGAAUCAAGUAUCCAAAGUCUUUCGAAUUUCUGACUAUGCAUUAGAAGGUUUGCUAUGUUUGAUAUUCUAACUUCUGUCUCCUUGUUGUUUUCCAUUUUAGCCCAGCUGUUUGUCUUUUCUCAUGAAGCUUGUAAAAGCUGAAGGAUAAGAUCUAUCAGUCCUAUUGUAUGUUCAUAUGGUCUAGCUAAAAAGUCAAGAUUGAAGAAAAGAGGAAAACAAAAACAUCAAGGCUAUAAGUUACGAGUUAGACGUACAAAUUGUUCUUCUAUAUAAACCGUGUGUUAAUUUUGUUUCCCUACUUGACGAUAUUACGAACAUUUAGGUAAAUUAAAACAUAUAACACACGAUAUUGUUACGCUUAUUAAAUUUGUUCACUAAAUGAUCUACGAUUUAUCUAUUAAACUUGAUCUGAACUAAGUCUACUCACUACCACAAUAUGAAGCAAAUAUCACACAUCUUGUGUGGGCAAUAGAGGUGUUGUAUUUUUCCAUACGUGUGGCAAAUGAGGGUAUUAGUGAAGAAUGAGAGAAAAUUGUCAUAUAUGUGGGAUUCUAUGAUGAGAUUGCAACACCCUUAUUACCCACACAAAAUGUGUGGUCUUUGCUCCAUUUUAUGGUAGUGACUUAUUUCUAAAUAGCGUAACAUUACCCUAGAUUCAUCUAUGUAUCAACUUUGUUCCAUGUUAAUGAUGUGAUUUUGAUGAUUUAAUUUGCAAUUCUAUAAACUAAGGGUUUUGCAGCCUCUUUUCAUCAACAACUUCUGGUAGCCAAGAAAACUACAAAUGUGCAUUCUAAUUGCCGGGGGCAACUGAAAUUAUAGGGUACCAAAGUAGAAACCCUUGCAAACUACGUACCAAAUUAGUUUGUCACUUACCCUAGCUAGCUAGCUAGCUACCUUUAGUAACGCUCUUGGGGACAACAUAUAUAUGUAUCAUUCUAUCAUUCUCUUGCCUAAAAAGGACAUCAUCAUCCUCAUGCACAAACAGCUGUAGAACUCCAUAGAGCAUCAAAUAUACAAAUUUAUCAUAUCAAGCUAGAGAGGUCAUCGUGACGUUAAAAAUUCAGAUGUGAACUUGUAACACUAAUGGUAAAGCAAUAACUAGCUCAGCUUCCGUAGCAAGAGGCAGAUUUCACUUGGCUGGAAAUGGCAUGGGAAAUGCAUUAUGCAUAUUAAGCUUUGCCUAGUGCUCUUCUUCAAGAUUGUUGAUUCUAGCGAGUGUCGUUAUUCAUUCACAAUGAACUCGACCUAGAAAACAAAGCAGCAACAUCGGUAUAUAUACAAUUAUGUGAUUAAUUAAUCUGCCAAAAUUUAAAAAUAAGAAGCCAGUUAUUGACGUCUUUGGUUCUCUUCGAUCGUUUUGAAGUAAUAGGACAAAUGGGUUCGGCAGCUCUCAAAGUAAUAUACUAAGUGUGUGAAUGGGGUGAUUAUUAAGUCCAUUUGAAUUAAAGUAAGUAAUUUCCAACAACUAGGGUGGGAAGAAUGGUACAUUACAAGGAUAUAUAGUCAGUAAAUUGUUAGUUAUGAAAGCAUGAUAGACAAAGAAAUCAAAGUUGAAAUAGUCUUGAAAAGCAUGCUGUUACUUCUUAAAAUGCAGUGAUUCUUUGAAACUAAGAUAUAUAUAAACCCUAUCUCUGCAAUAGUUAUGAAUUCCUUACUGUCUAAACCAUACUUUAAACAGAGGCUAAAAGCUUUAGCGAAUGGCUAGCAUAUAUAUAAUUUUGAUGAGGACAUAGGUUAAUUUCUAGCCAUAUGCCACUAUUUUCUUUGCUCUAAUUUUUAGGGUUAUAUGUUGAGGUCCUAGGUUGAUUUAGUUUCUUUGACUGUAAUCUUUUCCAUAAUUGAAUGGAGAUUAAGAACGUCCCCAUGUCCCCGAGAAUUUAUCUAUGGCUUAGGUACAUACUUAAGAAAACAACAUUCCUAGAAGAGUGAUCGAGUACCAAGAAAAGAUUAGGAAUUUUCAUCUGACUAGCUAGUGAAGAAAAGGAAUUGAAAUAUAGUAGACAAAUGAUCUAGCUACGUACAUUGUUCACAUAUGACCAAGAAAAGAUUAGGAAAAUGAAUGAGGAAAACAAUGGAAUAAUAUAAGGAUAUAUAUCAAUUUUGGAUUACCCAACAAGUCAAGGGCAUUUGGCAAUUAACUCGAUUAGGAGUUUUUGCAAUAAUGUGUUGUUGUGAAGGCACUAUAUAUAAUUGUAUAAGGCCAAAGAAGACCUGGUUCCAAAGCCAAUACUGAUUGCUCACAACAGUGAAUCUAUUGCUUCAUCAUGCCCACUGUGCAUCAGAAAUGAAGCAGAUUUCUCUGAUUUUGUCUUCCUCGAUCUAUUCCCAAAACCAAAAUCCUGAUUUUUCUCUUCACCAAAAACAAGCUAAGCUAAGCUAAACCCGAGCUGCUUCUAGCUACAAAGCACCGACAACAGAUGAAAUAGAAAGCAACAGAAACCAAGAGUGUAUAGUAAAGAGGAAAGGACAAGCUGGGCUAGAUAAUUGUGUCCCAAAGUUCAACAUGUCAAACAUUACAGGUGAUAUUGAAGAAGGUAGCUUCUCCUCAGGGAACACAGCCGGGGAAGAAGUUCAUCAAGAAAAGCAGCUGCAAAACCACUUGCAUGGCACCAACUCUGGUGGAGGUUCCGGAGGGGGUAAGAGUAACAGCAAUGGCUCUGUCACUACCCAACAGCAACAGCAACAGCCAAUCAAGAAGAAGAGAAACCUUCCCGGAACACCAGGCAAAUUACUCACUCUCUUCCCUAACACCCAUGAAGUUAUAGUAUGAGUUCCUUAAUUUUCUGUUUGCUUGACUACUGUGGAGGCAGAUUAAGAGUAGAGAUUCGAAUACUAAACUGUAGAUAUGAGGACAAGUAAUCUCGAUCUACUACUAAAGCUACGAUACCUUUACAUGCCAAAGUUUUUUGAUUAGCGAAUGGAACCAUUCGUGCAUUGCUCGUGAGUCAUAGAUAAGAACAAUACUGGGAUUUUCUGGAUUUGAUUCAGUUCAGAAGAAAAGGUUUAACAAGCUUGAGUUGUAAUCUUCAAUUCUUCAUUUUAGUUUUUUUUUUCUUUUUUUCUGAAGAACUGUUGGUCUGUUGCCCUGUGAUCGAGUACAAUUAUUGCUUCCAGAUAUUUUACAAGAUUUAGGGAGAACUACUGUUCUAUCUUGAGCUACCCAGUGUACACAUGACAUGAUGUUUCGAUAUGGCUCAUUCUAUAGUCUACUAUACAUUUUUUUUCAGUAGAAUUAACCAAUUAUAUUGGCUAAUUAAUUUAGCUGUAUGUUACAUGAUCACAGAUCCGAGUGCAGAAGUUAUUGCUCUAUCACCAACGACUCUAAUGGCAACGAACCGAUUUGUGUGUGAGAUCUGCAACAAAGGGUUUCAGAGGGACCAGAACCUUCAGCUCCACAGGCGAGGCCAUAACCUUCCAUGGAAGCUGAGGCAAAGAACCAGCACUGAGGUUAGGAAAAGGGUUUACAUAUGUCCUGAGCCAACCUGCGUCCACCACAACCCGGCUCGUGCUUUAGGAGAUCUUACUGGCAUUAAAAAGCACUUUAGCCGAAAACACGGUGAGAAAAAAUGGAAAUGUGACAAGUGCUCCAAGAAAUAUGCAGUGCAGUCAGAUUGGAAGGCUCAUCAGAAGACUUGCGGCACUAGGGAAUACAAAUGUGACUGUGGAACCAUCUUUUCCAGGUACUAAGUAAUUCAUAUAUAGUUGGUUAAUUAUGUUAAUUAACUUCCUAACCAACCAAAUAUCUAAGGGAUACAUUAUGGUUUAGGGGUUGCACUUGACAUAGCAUUUGCGUUUGCAUGCAAUAUAAAGAGAUAAAUGCUUGGGAUCAUCAAAGCUCAAUAUAUAUUUUUGCGGUCAUCAAUUAGUUCUCACUCAACCGAAGAAUAGAGUAUGAUCCGGGUUCUAAUGAAUGGCAGCUCAGUUGAUUUCCAUUGUGUUAUUGUUUGAUUGUGUUUACUUUAAAUUGGUAUACUUUCUAAAUAGCCGAAUUAUGUAACAGUCUCAGCUGUCAACAAACUUACCUUAAUGUUUAAAAUGUAGGUACCAAAUUUUCUUUCUUAAUCAUUGCUUAGAAAACAUGAAAUGAGAUUAAACAAACAAGUAGAUCAAGAUUGUAGACUGUUAUUAGGGACAGUGACGCAUCACUAUUGUGAUUGAGCCUUCCAAACUUGAACAUACAUAUUUGUUGAAAUGGCCGACAAAUUGAAGUAUGCAUAGUGACAUCUUUUUGGAAACCUUAUUAGUUUUAGGUCCCAAAUCUUUCUCUUCCACUAUCUUACAACACAAUAAUAUAUGUAGUUUUGUGAUUCUAUACAUUAUAAUACAUGUAUUGAUAUAUUCAUCAAUACAUUUUGUGUAUAUUAGGGAUCAUAACUCCUUGUAUCUUACACAUCUAAAUUGUGCAGGAGAGAUAGCUUCAUCACCCACAGAGCCUUCUGUGACGCAUUGGCAGAAGAAAACAACAAAGUGAACCACGGACUCAUAAUGAACAACAACAUGGGGACCCAUAACCAAAUGCCUGAUCACCUCAUCUCCUCCAUGCCCAUGAACACCAACACCUCAAUGGGAAUCGGAGCCGGAGCAAUUUCCGAAUACAACAACUACGACCCGAAAAACCCUCUGAAAUCCCUCCCGGAUGAGCUUGUCCCUAUGCCCUUCAAGUCCAUCAUGAACACCAAUCUCCCAGCCGGAGGAGGAAUGUUUUCCACCAGCUCCGGCUCGCUUUUCGGCGGUUCUAGAAGCGUCAACAACAACUCCUCCACCUCCUCCAGCCUCCAGCUCAGCUCCAACAACAGCUCCUCCGCCGGGUUCAACUACCUUCAAGACAGCAAAAACGGCUGCGGUGGAAGCCCUAAUGUAACCGGUUCGGCUCAAAUGUCAGCCACUGCUUUGCUCCAGAAGGCAGCUCAAAUGGGCGCCACCGCCAGCAACACUACUAUAAACUCCCCCAUGAUGCAGAAGAGCUUCGUCUCCAGCAUGGCCGGCCCGGAGAACCACCAUCAUCUCUCCAACAACUCAAUCAACGUCACGCGACCGCCGUACGAUCAUCACCCUCAGUUCCAGCAAGUCCAACAACAACAGCUGCCGGAUCACCACCAGAUGGCGGGGAUGCACGGCUUCACCAACCAGCUCUUCGGCGAGGCCAACUCCACGUCAGCUGCCAGCUCGGCGGCGAUGAGUGAUCACAUGGCGGGGAUGUUCAGUCAGGUGGUGUUUAACAUGGGGAGCGGAGGCAGUCAUGAGCAGAACCAAGCAUUGCUGAGGAACUUAGAGCAGCAGAGGUUUGGAGGGAGCGGAGGCGAAGGAGCAGGCGAUAUGACGACGCUUGAUCUAUUGGGGCUCGGGGGAGGAGGAGGGGCGAGGCCUCAGCCGCAGAACUUGCAUGAGCAACAUCAGCAGAGGUUGGACUUGGAAGCGAUGAGCCAGCAGCAGCCGAGAAUGCCGAUGAUGAACCCUUUCCAGCAGCGCUCGCAUGGCGACUCGCCGGUGGAAAGCAACCCGUUUGGGAUGUGAGAUGAAUACUGGCUUAUGAUUUAUCAUUUACUUGAAGAAUUAGGUUUUGUUUUGUGUCUUCUCCGGCUUUGCUGACAAGGUGAGGGUUAGAGUCUGUUUGUAUUGUUUCGAAGGUAAGUCAAACAAGGCCCCCUGUCUCGACUCAAGUCGCCAUUUAUGUAUCAAUGUAUGACCCCCAAUCACAUUUCAACGUACUGUAGGAAAAGUAGGAUCAAUUCCAUUUCACUCAUUCAAAAGACCAAAAACAUGUAAUGUUUCCUUUUCAUAAUCAAGAAUUCUAUACAUUCUUGAGAAGUUGAAGAUAGUGUUUACCAUGUCGUUGGGACAAAUGUUAAUUCGGCAGUUUCAUGUUUGGUAUAUAUAACUAUAGAAUUUUUUACACGAGAGUGAACUGAUCUAACAUAAUCCAUCAAAUGCAAAAAACUCUGUUACUGUAUUUUUACAUUUACUUGCUUUGAUUGAAAAUAGACGUUGAUGUUUACACAUCAUAUUUUCUAUUCACACACCUCAUUAUUUUUCUAUUACUAUAAUUCAAUGUUUUAUUUAUAUACUAUCUUCUUCAAUUUUCUUCAUGAUUGGCUCUCAUCACAAAUGUGAUUUAUGAAUAGGAUUCGGCUUCUCUGCUACGAUUCAUGUUGUUUACAUAACAAUCUAAGGCCGCCACAGUUAUUGAUAAAAGAAAAACAAUAAAAGAUUAGGACUCCGAAGUAGUAUUGUUGUCAUUCUUAAUAGCUAGCCAUUUGAUUGAAUAAGAAUAACGUGGCAAUCUCAGAUUGUUAUCCAAACAUAUCAAAACAACAUGAAUCUAAACAUAAAAAGCUAAAUCCGUGUGAACAACACCAUCUAAGAAAAAUGUUACCCAUGCACGAGUGGUUUAAACUUUAAGCACAAUUGUCAAAAUAUUUUGAGUAUGAACUUUGAAUUAUCAUGCUCCGCUCCUGCUUUAUAAGUUUCAACUAGUCAUCAUGCCAUAAUGACUUGAUUACACAUACAAAACAUGACUUAACAUAUACAUUUGUAUGAGAUUUAGAUAUAAGUAACGAUAUAGAUACAAGAGUUUGUCGAUUUUACUUUUUAGAUAAAGGAAAUAUAGGUAUAAGGAUGGAACCGAUAAUAUAAUUAAACUAAGAUAUAUAUUAUUAUGUAUGUAUGAAAUGUUGGAGAAAACUUGAAGUGUAUUAUUUAUUCUAGUGUGUGCUUAGCAAAUUCUGAUAAUUGAGAACACAAACCCAAAAAAUGUUCCAAAAACUAAAAGGCAAAACUGGAUAAGAUAAGGAUAUAUAAACUGAAACCAUGUUAAUUAAUAGCUACUAAGGACUAAAGAAAAAUAUAACCCUAGAAUAAGAAUAAGAACUGCAUAAAAGAGCAUGGUGUAAGAUGGCAUUUGCCAAUUUUGUAAUAGCAUUUAUCAGACUCCCAAGUCCAUUGAAAAUCAUCAGACAAUCCAUAUGAUGAAGUUAUACCACAAAUGUGGAAGGUGCAAGUGUAAGGUUCUUUCGAAGGCAGGGUAUGAACUCCAUGUUAGGAACUGCAGGGUUUAAUAUUAACAUAGUCAAUCUAUAGGUCGCGUAUGUUUGUUUAAUGAUCUAAAAGUCAGUUGUGUCUGUGUGUUGCAUGGAUAGGUAUUUUGCUAUUGAUUUUCAAUCUUAGGUACUCUGCUCUUAAGCGUUUAAUGGCUCACAUAAACUUUGAAAUUUACUAAACUGGAUUGUUGGCCCAAUCAUUUGUAGCUUUACUAUAACUGAAAUGAAAUCUCAUUAGUAGCUUUCUUAUUUCUGAAAUGAACGUUUGAAAAACUACAUCAGUUUUUACAACUAGUUUAGUUUCAUGUUAGGAAGAUGAUAGGUUCAAUAGAUGGAAUGGUCAGUGCUCAGUAAAACCUCACCCAGAUGUUGUUUUGGACCUUUUUUAAUAAAUCCAUUAAAACUUAAAUGGGCCGUAGUGGGCUAGAGAUGAGUCCCGGACCACAAAACGCAAAACCCUCAAAACCCUAAUUCAGACUUGCUUCUAUAUAUAUGGGAACUCGGAGCCGCCAAGACUCCAACUCGAUCAUAUCAGCCUCUGCGCUCGCCGUCUCUCACAUUCUCUGGGUUUCGCUUCCUCCCCGACUUCUCUGUUUCUAUCUCACUCUCUUUGCUCUGUGAAUUUGAAUUUGAAUUUAUAUUUGUUUUCUGGAAAAAUGGUUUGGGGCUGUGAUGUUGAUUAACUACCUAUUUUAUGAGGGGAGGUAUUCCCUCAUGAUUACAAAACUACCAAUGGAUCCUUCUGAGCCCUCACUCUUGUUUCUUCCAUCUUCUUCUUUGCAAUUCUGUUUUCAAUUUUUAUUGUUUUUCUUUGCUCUAGCUGUUUGUGAAUCAUUGACGUGAUGAUAUAGUACUCGGAAUUACUUCGUGUCGAUUAAAACACUCAGACUACAAUUAUCUGAUCAAUGAUUCUCGCAUCUCAGUUUAUCUGAUUCUCAAAUUUUGAUGUGAUUAUCACUCAUCUUUUCUUGAUGUUUUCCGUAUUUGUUUUUGAAAACUUUUAUUUUCUCCAUUUGCACACUGUAAAAUCUGCCUUUCUCAACUCCGUUUUGUUAUCCAUCUCAAUCUGCAUCAAAUUCCAAUUUCUAGAAAGUUGUAAAACGAUUUCCGAUUAAUUGUAGCUCACUGAUACUGCAUAAUUACAACUAUUAUGGUACAAAAAUAUAUUUGCUGGCUUAAAUUCCCUGUAAGAACAGUUAAACGAGCUGAAUUAGACCAAGUUUCGUCAGUGAUACAGUGCUUGGCAGCGUUGUCCAUUUGAAAUGGGAUAAUUUAAGUUUUAAGCUUAUCAAUACUACUAGAGACUAGGUACAUGAUAUUUGUUGUCCCAACUAACUACGGCGGAGGGUGUUUAAUAAUUGAGUUGUACCAACUCAAAUGACCUAGUACAAAUUGCUCUACCCAAUUACCAUUUGAAAUCUAAUGCUGCUCUGAAUCUGUAGACCCAGAAACUAAUGCUGGUCUGAAUCCGUAGACCCAGAAACUAUUAUUAAGGAAUCUGUCAGAGAUGCCUCUGCCUGCCUUCUAUGUUUUGUUAGUCAUGGUUGAGUUGUGGGAUUGGACUUCCUAGACGUAGCUGAAUGCUCACAUGAAUAAUAUUUGUUGCUACUUUCGAAAUCUCUUCUUCUGCUUCCUUUGCCAUGUCCAUUGCAUCCCUGGAAUGAGAACAAUUGCUUUAAGAACCUGAAAACAAACUAGUCUGGACAGCAUCAAAUCACCACGAUCGGUUACUGGAUUUACCGAAUCAAGAUGUCUGGGGGCAUGGAAACCUGGAUUUGGAGAAACUUCUUUCCUUGCAACAAGUGGUGUGUUACCCGCUCUACGGCCAUUUUCUGACACAUACAAGGAAAUGACACUGUGACUUUUAGAACGUACUCUACAGAAUAAACUUCACUCAAGUCAUGAUAAAUACCUCGGCAAAUUUAGCUGAGAUGAUACUGGAAACAGCUGCAUCAAUGUCUUUAUCCUCUGUUGUAGGAGAACUCUGGUGUGCAAGUCCAGCAAAUUCUUUUGGCUCAGCUACAUCGGGGGAAAUUACUGGAAGUGCAGGAUCUACAGAGAAGUCGGAGCAAAUAAUGGGAAUUAGACGAUAUAUGAGUAAAAAAGUUAAAAGGAAACAUCAUCAUAUUUAUCCAUCAUAAAUGUAACAAAUGAAAGACUGGAUCAAAAGAAUUGCAGAUUGGAUUACCAGUUCAAAAGCAGCUAAACUGAUUGGUUACCUAUGUGUAUAAAAACCUCGGAGACUCCAGGAUGAGAUUUAUGAAUUUGAUGACGAACCUUUUCUCCAAUGUCAUGUGCUGCGCUAACACUACAGAAAGGAUCAACCUGCCAGGGAAAGGUAUCAACUAACUUUGUCUUGGACAAGAAAAAUGGUACAACUUAUAUGUCAACCUCGCAUAGAUGACUUUGAGGCCAACUGAAAUCUACAUAAAGCAUGAACAGAAGAAGCAACCUCAAUAUGUACAUCAAGAUAAAGUGAUGACCCAGCCCUCCUUCCUCUUAAGCGAUGGCAUCCCUGUACACAGUUGACAGUUGAAAGAUAGUUAUAAACAUCUUUAAGCCAACUGCUAGCCCCUCUACUUGUACACACGACACACACAGAAAGCUAGAAAGCUCAUUCCUGAAGCAUACUAACAAGGGGNNNNNNNNNNNNNNNNNNNNGAAGCACAUGUGAUCGUGGAGGAAGAGCAGGCGGUGAAUGGAGAAGAAGUGGUGGUGGUGAUUUUCUGGUGGAGGAAGCGGUGAAUGAAGAUGAUGAGGUGGUUGAAGAAGUGGAGGAUGAAGAUGAUGAUGAGCUGGUGGAGGAAGUGGUAAAUGAAGAUGAUGAGACGGUUGAAGAAGAAGUGGAGGAUGAAGAUGAUGAUGAGCUGGUGGAAGAAGAAGCUAAAAAGAAGAAGAAGAAGAAGAAGAAGGAUGGAGUGGUUUGCAAUUUCUGCGGUAGAAGGUAUGAGACAGCUGCUGCACUUGAGAAACAUCAGAAAAAAUAUCGCAUGAGCUACUAUAAGAUAUGCGGCAAAUGCAAGAACAAACUCCUUUGCAAGGGCGAUUACGAGGUCCACAGAAGAGGCUGCAAGGGGUAGUUUAAAAUGUGCUAUGUUCUUAUCUGAAUCUACUGUUUUUCGACUCCAGACAAGUACAUCUUGAUUAGUUUUCUUUCCAGAUAUCUAGACAAAGUACCCCAACUUUCGAAAAGUAUCAGAUAGUACUCAUGGUUUUCUUUCCAGAUAUAUGCACUUUAGUUCUUGAGGUUAGUUUGUAACGCACUUGCAGGCCUGAUGGUUUUGAAUAUAGCUUGCCAACAGAUAAAUUGGAAGCAGCAUUCUCAGUAUUAACUAUAGAGAGAUUUCUAAAUUAUCGUCUCUGCCUUGCAUUCACUUAGUCAAUUCGUUACUAAAGAAGAUUAUUACUUAUGAUCAUGGAUGUCCUCAGUGGAGUCUGUUCUUAGAAAUGAGGUUUCCAAUUUAUUAUGUCCUGUUAGAUUAUUGAAUGGUGUAGCAAUUGAAUGGGUUCUGUGACGUUGCUCCCCUCAGUAAUGUCCCUAGUUUACUCAUUGGUUUUAAGGUCUCUCGAAUCUGUGAAAAGCUCGAAUGAAAGUCUUCAGUUUAUGGUAGCUGCAUCUGUACAGCCGUCUGUUUUCUGUUAGUCAAGACUCAAGAGAUAGAGGAUCCAUGUUAAGCUGAUAGCUUUAGAUAUCGUAACAGCUAGGAUAAGAUUCUGCAACACUGAAAUUUCUAACAAAUUAACAAACACUUCUGAUUAAUUAAGUAAUGGAUCAGGAGAUAAUGGCUGACCCAACUCUUCUUAAUGAAAAGCACCUGUUUUCUUGGUUCCAUUUGAACAUUAUUACUAUGUGCAUUCUGAAUCCGAUCCACUCGAUGUUUGCUGUGGCUUUGGGUCUAAAUUGUCAUACUGCAUGUCUACUUCUUUUGAAGUGUGAAGAUCUAUGAGUUCUGCCUUGUGGUAAAAAUGAAUCCUUCUAUGUAAUAUCUAGGAGCAGAUUUAGUGCCAGAUUAUGUUUAUGGUAUACUGAAUGGGUUUCUAUAUAUGAAGUUUUAACUGAGAAGCUUGUCAACAAAUGCGAACAAACCUGAUACAAGGGUACAAAAACCUCCCCUUUGUGAAAUUCUGGAAGUAUUGUUUGUGCAUGAGCUCUCUGAUCACAUAGCUCCACCUGAUAUAGAUUUUCUUGUCUCCAAACCAAGACGUGUUUACCCAACAAUUAAUAUUUGCAUGCCUGAAACAAAGGAAAGAUGAAACAAGUAAUACAUAUUAAUUGGUAGUAUCAAAUAGGUAAAACACAAAUACAAAAAAGUAAAUCUCUUCUUCUGCUUCCUUUGCCAUGUCCAUUGCAUCCCUGGAAUGAGAACAAUUGCUUUAAGAACCUGAAAACAAACUAGUCUGGACAGCAUCAAAUCACCACGAUCGGUUACUGGAUUUACCGAAUCAAGAUGUCUGGGGGCAUGGAAACCUGGAUUUGGAGAAACUUCUUUCCUUGCAACAAGUGGUGUGUUACCCGCUCUACGGCCAUUUUCUGACACAUACAAGGAAAUGACACUGUGACUUUUAGAACGUACUCUACAGAAUAAACUUCACUCAAGUCAUGAUAAAUACCUCGGCAAAUUUAGCUGAGAUGAUACUGGAAACAGCUGCAUCAAUGUCUUUAUCCUCUGUUGUAGGAGAACUCUGGUGUGCAAGUCCAGCAAAUUCUUUUGGUCUCAGCUACAUCGGGGGAAUUACUGGAAGUGCAGGAUCUACAGAGAAGUCGGAGCAAAUAAUGGGAAUUAGACGAUANNNNNNNNNNNNNNNNNNNNAUAUCUUUUCGAGAUCUUCGUACUGGUAAAAAAAUUGAUAGAAACAAGUUUUUAUUUUGUAGUUGUGCGAGAUUAAAGAUUUUUAGUUGAAACUUACAAAUGAUUUAAAAUAAGAAAGUUGAAAGGGCAAAUAUGGAAGAAGAAAAAAACUGAAUAAAAAACUGUUAGACUGUUUUAGCCUAUAGAGUGGGACCGUGGAAGUUGGUCGGGAUGAAACCAUAAAUACUGAUGUAGCGAGCUUUUUUCUGCUGUAGCAACUAGCAAGGUGAAAUACAGCGUGUGUGAUCCUCACUCUCUCUCUCUCAGAUUCUCUCACGUACAAAUGUCGUUUUCUCCGGCCGGCGAGUCACCGCUCCCCUCCGAGCUAGCCCCCGCUUCCAUGUUUGAUUCUGGUAGUCAUGUAUCCCAGCCUGUUCGUUUCGUUUUGGUUUAUACUUUCUAGUUUUUUCCGAUUUAGGGUUUUACAGCUUGGUUGUAAGGCCAUUUUCACUAUUCUGAUCGUCGUUCUGUUCUUUUUCCGAUCUCCGGUAGGCUCUGGAUCUGAGACCGGAAGUGGCACUCACGGUGGUUGUAAGGCCGCCGCCACCGGCUCUCCGUCCGGUCCUGUUUUCUUGGUUCCAUUUGAACAUUAUUACUAUGUGCAUUCUGAAUCCGAUCCACUCGAUGUUUGCUGUGGCUUUGGGUCUAAAUUGUCAUACUGCAUGUCUACUUCUUUUGAAGUGUGAAGAUCUAUGAGUUCUGCCUUGUGGUAAAAAUGAAUCCUUCUAUGUAAUAUCUAGGAGCAGAUUUAGUGCCAGAUUAUGUUUAUGGUAUACUGAAUGGGUUUCUAUAUAUGAAGUUUUAACUGAGAAGCUUGUCAACAAAUGCGAACAAACCUGAUACAAGGGUACAAAAACCUCCCCUUUGUGAAAUUCUGGAAGUAUUGUUUGUGCAUGAGCUCUCUGAUCACAUAGCUCCACCUGAUAUAGAUUUUCUUGUCUCCAAACCAUGACGUGUUUACCCAACAAUUAAUAUUUGCAUGCCUGAAACAAAGGAAAGAUGAAACAAGUAAUACAUAUUAAUUGGUAGUAUCAAAUAGGUAAAACACAAAUACAAAAAAGUAAAUAAACGCAUACCCAAAGCUGCCCAGAUUGAACUUCCAUAAAACUACAACUCCUUAAAUAACAGAAAUAAUUGUGCUUCAGGAAAAAGCAAAUAGCUUGACCAAAAGAAAGAUAUUAGCUAAUCAUGGUCCUCUAUAACCGCCUAGUGUUUUUUUUCCUUAGUGUUUUUUUUUUUUUUUUUUUUUUUGUAGAACAUAACUGCCUCGUGCUUUGUUUGACAGCAUACAAGCAACCAUCAAUUUGGUUCAAGACUUACAAACAAGAAAGUUGCCCCUCCUGAUCUGCAGGAAAAGAUGAGCUAGCUAGUACUAAAAAGAAUUUAGUCGAGCAUAGAAAAUCAACACCUUAUAAUUUGAUUCAAUAACCAUAAUCGUUAAUUCCGUAAAUUCAGUAGAUACCUUAAUAUUGUGAAAAUCAGCACGAUAACGUGAAAGGCCAUUACAUCCUUGAUUGUAAGUAUGAAAGCUGGAAAUUGCAGCAUUUGGUAAUUACAAAAUGAAAUUUAAAAUCAGGCAUAGCAGGAAACAGAGAACACCCUUCACUUCCAUUAGAACAGUGGACGCGAACAUCAUACUUUCUAAUCAUGUUUUAGAACUAUUAAUUAUAGUGAAACAAAUCAAACAAUUCAUCUUGAUGAACUCACAUAUUGAUCUUUGGUUCUCAAACGGAUCAAUGUCCAUUUGUGAAGCUAAAUGCAGACCGGUAUACAUUAUUUCAUUUUGAUUAAGCCUCGUAAUAACAAGGUAAUUUAUAAAAGGUGAUCAACAUAAGAGGGGGACAAACACCCACACCUCCCAUACAAAAUAACAGACAUUAACAAAAUCGGAAAUUAGGAAGUCUCAACCUAUCCCACCAAACCAUACCAUAAUAAGAAGAAGAAAAAAAAAGGAGAGCCGAAUUCUACUUACAUGUUUGCCUAGUUCCUGAAUUCUUAACAAGGUGGGUGUCUAUGAGGCAUUAAUGAGAUACCGUGUGCGGAAGUAAUUAUUAUUAUUUUGAAAGGGGUUUGGAACCCAACCUAACUAGGAGGCUCAAUCCCACGCCGAUUCCAUUUAUUGAAUUAAAAUUUUGCAUCCGGGAGUAUAACCUGAACCCUGAGCUACAUACUAGAUAUUUCAUAGAUUCUCAUAGAUAACAUUCUGAAUAAUAGUAGGUGUCUCAUCUAUACUGAAAUAACAUCAAACUUAUUGCGGCUCAUCUAUUUGCCACACUAUUUGCUGGUUGUUGGUUGGAAGUAAUGCUAUUUUGCAUUACACUGAGUUAUGCUAAAUUGACUCGGUAAUAGUUCACAUUUUCUCAAUAGGCUUUGUUCAAGCUAUACACUACUUACUUAUUGAAGCUUCAACUUCACAUAGUGUAAUUGGCAAAUCAAAGUCUUACACUUGCCCUGUCGAAGCCUCUUGGAUUUUUCCAUAGUCUGGCUGGAACAAUAUCCUUUAGAAAAACAUAGCUCUGAAUUGAUAAAAGUGCAAAAUCCAAGUGAUGGUACCGAGAGCCGGCGAAGAAGGAAUACUGGGGUAUGGAAUCAAGCUGGGUCAGGAUUUGGAAACGGUGAUUGGUAAAGCCUUUCUAGCGGCCCCUUCAUCUUCUUAUUCUUCUAGCUCCGGUAGGGUUUCUGUAAAUUUAACUUUUGAGAUUGAUUGGGGAGCAAUUCGAGAAGUAUUUAAAAUCGGGCGAGAUAGUAAAAAGAGUAAAGAGCGGCAUUUUUCUUGAGACAAUUAAUCGUGUGGCCAGCAGUUUCAAAAACAAAUCGUGUAGUCAGAGAAUUUUCUUCAUGAUUUUUUUUAAUAGAAUAAUGAUGUAGUUGGCUGAUAUCAAUUAACAACAAGCCACAAGGUGUUAUGUGAUUCUUCAUCAACAAGGUGUUAUGUGAUUGUUAUUAACUAGAAUGGUGAGUUGAGUGAGUUUCAGAAUUUUUUAAUUUAGCCAAGCCAAGAGUAUUUGAUGAUCAUGCAUGCACCUAAAUUUAGCCAAGCAGAGAGUAUUUCAUACAAACGUCUAAAAACAAAAUAUCAAUAAACGCACUCCUGAUAAAAAGAAAAAAUCAAUAACACUAAUGUGACAACAUCAGAGGGAAUUAAUUAGGAGGCGGUGUAAUCCAGAUCGGAGAUCGCUUGGUCAUCUCCAGUAAAGUCAUUGCAUUUAUUGUGUAAGGCUUCGAAAUCUCUUCACUUUUGAAGUUAUACACACUGAAAUCAUGAGGUCCGUGAGAUCCAAUUUCACUCUUUAUGCGAUUGUCAUCUUGAUUGAAGUAUAUGCAAUUUGGCUCACAAUUUUUAAACUUUGAAGCCAAAACUGAUAUCGUAGAGUUAUCUCCAAUAAAAAGAGCAUAUUCACCCAAAGUGUUUUUCUCAAUCCACCCAUUCUUACUGCAAUUCAGUUGGAAAAUCUUGAAUUUUUUUGUCACACAUUUGUCAACGUCCCACUCAUAGACCCUUUGAACCAUUAAUAAUCCAUCAUCUGAGUCCACCAGAUAGCUCCUAAAGACGUAGUUUCUUGCCAUACCUGUUGCAGCCACGGUCGCCUCUGUGCCUGAAAACCUUGUAAUUUCAAAAGAUAAAAGUUGGCUGUAAUUGUUCACUGCAUAAAACUUAUCUUCAACAUUAACAACUUCUUCAACGGCAGUCCAUGUAUCAUCUUUAUAAGUCCAUGUUUUGUCUUUCAAUCUCAUAAAAGCCAUUCGAAAGAGAUUUUCAUAUAUGACCACCACAACGCACUCAUUUGGAUUAAGUAUCGGAUCUGCUGAAAUUGUAGCCUUAUGAACAUAAUAGUCACGUCUUUCAACUCUCUAAGGAACUAGAGGGAUCAACGGAGGAAGACGAAUGAUUGAAUUUUCUUUCUCUUCCUUCCCUUUAAUCCUAGAGAAUGGAUUGAGUAAUGUGACGGCAAAAUUUUCUUCCACAAGAACUAACCAUCCUUUGGAAGACCCACAAUAUCGCUUAUUGGGCAAACUCACCUGCAUAUCAAGAACCCUAUCCUCCGCGAUGUUGUAAAAAUUCCAUGUAUCUUCUUCUGUGUUGCUAGAAAUUAAGAGCAAUAUUGGCUCAGGAACCUCACCAUAUUCACUGUGAUCCUCGCCUCCAUGAUGCAAUUUUGCGCAAUUUGAUGAUGAUUUACCCGAAUUCAUAAUUUCUCUCUCAAUCCCGGAAAAUGUUGUUGGUGCUUUCACUCGUCCUCUGGUUUUGAAUAUAUAUAGCGAGCUAGGGUAUACAAAUUUGCGAAGGAUACGGAGUCCAAACCCUUCUAGGUUUAGGAGAUGAGAUAAUACCCUUUUGGAUACGGAGUCGUAGUGGAUGUGGUAUACCCUUCUCGAUGAGAUAAAAUUAUGCAAAACCGGGUCGGGCGAACAAGCCCAUGACAGAACCCAGGAACCCGGAUCCGCAAAAAUGCAAGCGCCAAUUAGCGCUAGCGUGUGGGUUUUCCUCACCUACUCUACUCCUACCCUGUUCCUGCACCCCCUUCGUUUCGUCAAAGCUUUAACCCUAACUCUAUCUCCCUCAGUAAUCAAAAUCCACCUGCUUUGCUUUCCAAUUCUUCAUGCCCUAACCUUCCCCAAUUCUCAAUUCUAAGCUUCGAGGUCGUCGCCGGCAAUGGAGGAUCCCUCCGAGCUAGAGAUUGGGAAUUCCGUCGUGUCCUUCCACAAGUUCGUCGACUCGCAGAGGCAGCUAUUCCAUAGCCAGAUCGAUGAGCUCCAGAAAAUCGUCGUCACUCAAUGCAAGCUCACCGGCGCCAAUCCUCUCUCCCAGGAGAUGGUGCGUUUUGCGAUUCCAAUUCUCUUCUUCUUUGUUUUGAACAGAGAGCAAUUUCGAUUCUUAUGCCUGUGUUUGUUUGGCUUGUGCAGGCAGCUGGUGCGCUCUCUAUUAAUAUCGGUGAGUCUUGGAAGUGCGAUUGUUUAGUGCUAAUUGUGCUUAAUGGUUUCGUCACUUUCGUGUUCUUGGAUUUGUUUCUUUAGCUUUACUGCAUAAGCUGCUAGGUUUUCAAUUUGGCUCUGCUGUGAUUUGUAUGUUCAUAGUUUGUAUGUUUUGGUGUGUUUGCAGGAAAAAGACCUAGGGAUUUGUUGAAUCCAAAGGCUAUCAAGUAUAUGCAGUCUGUUUUUUCUGUUAAAGAUGCGAUUACGAAGAAGGAAUCUCGCGAGCUCAGUGCACUGUUCGGGGUUUCCGUCUCGCAGGUUGUUGUUUAUUUAGUUGAAUUUUAGUGGUAUCUAAGUUGUUUCAUCAUACAUUUUGUGCGAACGCCCCUGGGAAUCUGUCAUGGGAUGCCAAUGGGGAAUAGAUUGAUUAUAAGAUGUGCCAUUUCGGUUUUACUAAUUGCAAUGUUAGGGUUGUUAACUAUGAUUUGUAACUUUAUGUAUUCAUAGAUAGUCUCGAGUAUCUAUAUCAACAUGUUUGCUGGCAAUUAAUUUGAGUGUGUCUGACAUGUGUUCCUAUUGAUUCAUAGGUUCGUGAAUUUUUUAACACUCAACGAUCCAGAGUUAGAAAAAUAGUUCAGUUGUCAAGGGAGAAGGCCAUCAGAUCCACUGAGCAUAAAGGAUUGCUGGAGGGGGUGCCAACAAGCUUUGAUCCAUUGGUACCAAUCAAUCCUCUUCCUUUAAACACUAUUGGUCCCUCCAAUGUUAACCCCCUUCCUUUAAACACUAUUGGCCCCUCCGAUGUUAAUCUCCUUCCUUUAAACACUAUUGGCCCCUCCGAUGUUAAUCCACUUCCUUUAAACACUAUUGGUUCCUCCAAUUCUAAUCCCCUUCCUUUAAACACUGUUGGUCCAUCCAAUGUUGAGGAUGCACCAUCUUGCUCAACACAAGAUGAUACUCCUCCUGGACUAGAUGACGUUGAUAAACAUUUUGUUGAAAAUAUUUUCAACUUGAUGCGGAAAGAAGAAACAUUUUCUGGGCAAGUGAAAGUGUUAGAGUUGAUAUUGCGGAUACAAAAUUCUUCAGUAUUAUGCUGGUACGUGUUGCAAACUUUCUAGGUUUAUCACUAUGUCACUGUCGUCUCUUUUCAUGAUCCUGACAUCCACUUGUAUACAUGCAGGUUUUUAACUAAAGGUGGCGUGAUGAUUUUAGUAACAUGGUUGACUCAAGCAGCUGAUGAAGAACAAACGAGUGUUAUACUUGUCAUCUUAAAGGUAUUUGUUGAUCUGGAAAUCACUCUUUCAUUUAUACUGUGUUAUCGUUGCUUAACAAGUAAUAAUUAACUGAUGCACAGGUUCUUUGUCAUUUGCCUCUAUCCAAAGCUCUUCCUGCACAUAUGUCAGCCAUACUGCAAAGUGUCAAUAGAUUGCGCUUCUACAGGACAUCAGGUAGGCUUUUCUUUCAGGAACCUCUUUCAGUGGUUUUCAUUUUUCUCUCAAAAAAGUCUUUCUUCCUUUAAGGUUUAAAUGUGCUGAAAAAGAAGGCUUCUUCACUUGCGCAAUGAUUUCUGUUUCUGUGUCUCUAAAGUUUUAAAAUCUAAACAAUUCAAUAUGUGCUUGAGCUGCGUUUUCUAUAUAGUUUAUAUAAAUAAUAUGCAAGUUUGUAUAUGAUUCAGCUUUUCUCUUUAUACGUCAUGAAAAUUUUGAAUCUCAUUUAUCUAAUUUGAACAUCAGAAAUAUCAAACAGGGCAAGGGUUUUGUUAUCAAGAUGGAGCAAAUCAAUAGCAAGAACCCAAGCUUUGAAGAAACCGAAUGGUGUGAAAACAUCUGAUGAUUCACAAGAAUUGGCAUUGCUGAAGCGAAGGCAAGGAUAUCUUUUCCUCCCCUGGCACUAAACAUUUGUUGAAUCAGUUACUAAUGAUCGCUUAUAAUUUUCUACAGUAUUGAUGAAGCUAUAGGUGAUGAUCCAUGGAACUCGAAUGGUGAUGUUCACGUAAGUUCUUCAAAGAUUAAAAUAAAAUAGUUCAAGUUGGUUCAAAUUACUCUCCAUUUUCUUAUUGGCCCUAAUUGUUAUACAGGAAAACAUCCUUGCAUUGCCAUUUGAAAGUGCUGAUAGAUUAAGGUACAAAAUUUUCUAUGUUCUGACAGACAUUUCACGAGGACAGUGACAUUUUUAUGUUUUGCGAUUCCUAAGACUUUUUUGUUUUACUUUCCAGGAAAUCUGAGUCUUCAGAACCAAUGAAGCUACUGACAGCAUCAUCAGAUGAUUUGAAUAAGAAACACAUCCUAGGUGUAUCUUCAUCCCGUAUCCUUCAUAUUGAAUUCGUGAUAGUUCUUUCCCAAGUGAUGCAUUACAUUUCCCGCAACGUAAUAUAAUCUGGUUAUACCAAUCAAAACUAAUAUUCAUGAGUUAAGAAAAAUGAGGUUUAGGAAUAUCAAGUUUUACUUCCAAUCUUGAUCUGUAUACUUGGGAAAGAUAGUAAAAUUCAAAGAGCUCCCUCGUCUGGUGUGGUUGCAGUAUUUAGUCCCCUAACUUCUCGUGUGUUACCAUUUCCCCGAAUAUGUCUGCCCUGAUAUAAAGACAUAAAGUUAUAUAAAUGACUCAUAAAUGGUUUUCUAAUUUCAGUACAUACAAAAUUCAUUUCCUUAGCUAGUAACAGUAUUUAGAGGACGUAGGAAAGUUCAAUUGGUGGAACAGCCAGGCCAAAAGACAGCUGGGAGAAGUUCACAGGCUGCAAGAGCAACACCUGUCAGUCAGGCUCGCCCAAUGUCUGUUGAUGAUAUCCAAAAAGCAAAAUUGCGAGCACAAUAUAUGCAAAGCAAGUAUGGAAAGUCUGCUUCCUCUAAUGAAAAUAAAGAAGUGAAGGCUGAAGGUGUGAACAAACUUCCAGUCUCUCAGGCCAGCACUUUGCCUGUAGUAUCCAUUGUUCCAGUUCAGUCCAGCAUUGAGGAAUCCAAGAAACCUGCAACACUUCCAUUUAAAGAGAGGGAAACUCCUGAUAUGAGUGUACAGUCUAUUGCGAGUUUCCAGCCUAUCGCUCCAAAGCUGAAAACAGAUAUAAAGGAGCACAUCUGGGAGAAGUGCAGGAGAGUUCAGGUGCCGUGGAAGACUCCACCAGGUACAUAUACUUUUAGUAAAUCUUGUUGGUUACUAUGGAUUCUGUGCUCAUGAUGUCAGUGCAAAAGCAGUAGGAAGAGGAAAAAAAGUGGAGGUUUUUCUAUGUGAUUGGAGUUUAGUGGAGAGAGGAGCUUAAGCAUUUCCAAUAUUUUUCUAAGAGGGAGAAUAUAUAUAUUUUUUUUCGAGUCCCAUUUUUGACUAACUAUGUUUGCUGACCUAAACAAAUAGGAUGGACGAAACCCCAACUGUAUUUUUCCAUGGAAAACUGGAGUCUUAGUCAGUUGAAUAUAUAUCAAUUGAAUCUGUUUUUAAUUAUUUGAUACAUAUGUUCUACCGUUUAGUACGAAGUGAUAUAAAUGAUAUUCUUUUCUAAGUUUGUGUCGGCACAGGUUUGGGAUUUCUACUGGUGUAGAUAGAAAAUCUUGGGGUUACUCCCGUUGAAUCAUAAGUUAAUAAUUGGGCUGCAUUCAGUAGUGGAUUCAAUCUUAAAAUCCUGUUUGGUGUCGGUUUCUUAUCAGAAUGUCUACACAAGACAAAAAAAUGAGCUGAAAACUCAUUCUUAUAGCAGUUGAUUAUGGAUCUUAAAAUUCAAUAAAAUUUGGACUCGGUAUGGUUGGAAUUUGCAUCGCUGUACAGAAUGUGACAGUCUGAGCAUCUGUAUUAUUUAAGCAUCGAGCAAGAUGGUUGAAGGGUGACAUUUUUCUCACGUGACAGUUGGGUGUGUAUGCCCGAGUUGAGUGUGUGUUGUAUGCCAGAUAAAAAUGGGAUAUUCAGUUUUGUUUUCUAACUGUAUCAACUUUUGAAAUCUAAAUUACUUAAUUUCACAUAUCCCCUUCUAUUUGUUCAUUAUUGUGAUGUCAUAUUCCUUAGGGUUUUGUUUUACACACUAUUCUGUAAAUUUCUGUGUAGAAAUGUUCAUGUGGUGUUUCACUUCCCCAGAUUGCUUUCAUCUUAUUAAUUUCGAAUUUGAACACGGUUUGAAUCAGAUAAGAUUGAACAACAUUGGCCGGAAAGACGGUUGAUUCUGAUAAGAUUUGGACAUCUUUUCUCUGAAAUAGAUCCUUUGCCUGUAUGAAAGCAAAUCCUGGAUGAUUAUCAUGGGUUAUGUCAGAUCCAAUCUAUGUGUUUCUUGUUAAAGUGAGGGUGGGAACUAUUCGAAGCAGGCUAAAUUGAAUGUAUUAUCACAAGUCUUGACUUAUGAGCAUGAAGUAAUGAGUGAGGGGGUUUGGUCUGUGGUCGCUCAGCCGGCUUGUUAAAUUCAGAAUUCAACUUAUAUGGCUUAACUGUGCAAGGAUCACCAUGAAACUGUGGUAGCAUGCUUGAAUUUAAGCUGAAUCUUCAAAAAGGCUAUCUAUCAGGUCUCUUAAAUUUUAGAAGGGAAGCAACUGUUGGACAGUUUUCCAUAUAAUCAAUGAAUCUGGCCCAGUCAUCUCCAUUUAAGCAUUCACAGUAAAUGGAUUGAUUGGAUUUUGACGUUCAUCUCAUACAAGAUGGAAAAACACACAGAUAUAAUUAUGAUGUCAUCCAUUGUUAUUAUUUGAUUUCAUUGUAUACCUUUUUCUCGAGGUAUAUAGCCCAAAAUGUAUCUGUCAUGUUUUUUCUCUUCUACUCCUGAUUUCUUUGGGUGGUUGUCUUAACCUUGUAGGUCUUAAGCAACAUUAUCAAUUUUUUCUUUACGCCCUUUCCUUUCCUUUCUGCAGAAAUUAAACUCAAUCCAGAAUGGAGGGUUGGAGGUGGUGAGAAUGGCAAAGAAAUGGAAGUCCAGAAAAACAGAAACCACCGUGAGCAGGAAACUAUCUACAAGACAUUGAAGGAGAUACCACCUAACCCGAAGGAACCUUGGGAUAUUGAAAUGGACUAUGAUGACUCAUUGACUCCAGUAAUACCAACAGAACAGCCUCCUGACAGUGAUUGUACUGAAACACAACCUUCCCAUAGUCAAGAAGUAAAUAAUGCAGCAGAAACGUUGGCCCCUCCUCCUCAAGGAGUAAACAGUGUUAUUUCGCCGCCAACUAAUACGGCAAGCAGCACAGCCGCACCAGAUCUAGAGUUGCUUGCUGUGCUGCUAAAAAAUCCAGAAUUGGUGUUCGCCUUAACUUCUGGGCAGGCCGCUAACUUGUCGAGUGAGGAUACAGUAAAAUUGCUGGAUAUGAUUAAGGCUGGUGGGGCUGGUUUUGCUGGUAGUUUAAACGGGUUAGCUAGUAAAAUGGAGGAGAAGGUUGAAGUUUCUCUUCCAUCCCCAACACCUUCAAGCGACCCUGGAACGGUGCGUUACUCGGGCUCAUUAUGCAACUUUAGCCAGACCUUGUAUAGAUUACAUUCCAGUUUUUCACUAGCAGUAUGUACAGUAGUCUCCUUCUCCUUCUAGUCUCUUGGUCUUUUCUGCUCUAGAAUCCUGACGGCAAAGCACAUUGAAAAUCAAAAUGAUAAUUUAGGCGGAACCCUUGAGAUAUUUGCUAAAAAGUAUUCCCAACUCAUUCUGUAGAACUAGCUACAGGUGUGGCCAUCAAUGAAACAAGUGGCGAACUUUGAGUUAGGGGGAGGUCUUGGUCUUCUGGUGCUUCCCAUUGUUCUUUAUAGGUAGUGGAGCUCGCUUGUGUGAAUAGUGCCAUGGUGGUUGGUACACCUCUGUGGAUUGGAUCAUGGGAAUGAGUCUGACUGAUGCAUGCAAGAUAGGAAAAUUAUUAAUCAUGAAAGUUUUAAUGUUCUUUUUUUUUUGGCCCAUCAACGAUUUUGACUCAAUUAUCCAUACUUGAGCUGAUUGUUCUUUUUCUCCUCUGUUUAUUGAAUUUACAGAGUGGAUGGAGACCAGAAGCUACAAGGAAUGCAUUUUCCCAACAAAACUCGAUGCAGAACCGAGUGAGCCCUGGUUACAGUUCACCAGCAAUGGUGGCCAACAACUCGGUGCUGUCACAGCUUCCAUCAGCUCUUACUAGUCCUCUUCCGCAGCGGCUAUUGGGUGCCCAACAAGCAGUACCUGCAUAUUCACCAGAGCAUGUCCAUCAAAUUCCCCACAGUACUACCGUACCAUCACACUUGCAGCAUAACUAUUCAAACAUGGCUGUUCCUUCUGUUUGGGGUGAAAGCACAAGUAAUCGCAAACCAGGCCCGCUGUAUAACUCGUAUAAUGUAGCAGCAGAAAGGCAGCCUAACUCGCUGCCACCACCCUUCUUGCCCACUCUGACACACCAACAAAGACACUCCCCGCAACCACUGCAACAACAAACCCCUUACUCUGAGUCUCAUUAUUCAGAGUCUCCCCAAUACUCCGAGUCACCCUAUUUCUCUAAACCACCAACUGUGAAACAAGGCCCUCCUCUGUCUGAUUCAUGGAGAUCUGGUAGGCAGGGUUUACCUUCGAACUAUCAUUAUUUAGAGAACCAAAAUCAGUACUACAAUGCACCACCAUCAUAUGGAGGACCUUUGCAGCAACAACCUCAGUUGAGGUCGGGUCCUCCUUGUGAAGGAAAUGAAUUUGUGAACAAUGGAGGAGGUUUUGAAUCGUGGAGUCCUCCAGAGGAUAGUCCGGCUAGAAAUGCCGAGUAUAACAUGUAUGGAAGAAACGCUUACAGGCCUGUGGAAAGGUCGAGGCAAACUCAGACUCCUGGAUACCGAGAUUAUAGUAGGCAGGGACAAACGUGGCCUGACCGCGGCAGAUUCACACAAUGAGAAUGGAUGUUUGUUGAUAAUGGAGCAUAGAUUGGUAGGGCAUCGAGUCUGAGAUUUGAGAUGAGUGGAGUACUGAGACCAGUAGAGCUUGUAAAAACCAUUAUUGACUAUGAGCGCCUGUGAAACAAGGAGGAAAGACUGAUUCUGACCCAACUUGGAUCGAAAUAUUCACAACCUAAACAGCUAAAAUUUUGGCGACUUGUUUUUGUUCCUUCACUUUUAGGCCUGAACCAAUGGGACUAAAAGUUGAAUAAGAAACCCUUUGAUGAGUCCAUGACCCGUAGGUGGUAAACACAAAGGGAAAGUAAAAAUUGGUGUGCCGCCAAGAGCACUAGUCCCUUAAUCCUAACUGAGGUCAGGUCAGGCUACCAGGGGUAUCCAAGUUGACAAGACAUAAGCAUCACAUCAACUCUUUCAGAAAGUUUCGUCCAUUGCCUCCAAUCCUAACUCAGGCUAGACUAUUAUUAGGGGAAUUUAGUUCGAAAAUAUAUAAUAUACACAUUGUCUCUUGAUGUUUAAAGAAAAUUUACAGCAGUUUUAUGAAGAGACUUUAAUUUGAAUAAUGGUUAUUAUACGAAGGUGUUAGUUUAAUGGUUUGUUGUGCGAGCAUUUCAUGAUUAUGAGCUUUUCUAAUAAAGAUCCUUAAAUUAAGGACUAAUUGAGGAUUAGACAUAUACACACAUACUUUUUGAGUUUUAUGUAAAAUUUACCUUCUUAACAAACACCUUCGUAUUAGAUAAAAUGUCUUUUACCUCUAUAUCAUAUGGCAUAUAGCAUGUAAUUAACCUUACCUCGUCCCAAAUACUCGCUAAAGGUAAACACGCUGGCUAAGCACCUCCCCAUUUUUAUUUUGGUCAACGGGUCAAAACUACUUAUUCUGUUUAUAGCAGUCUAAUUUUAAUCAUUGAAACACCACAGUAAAUACCAGGAACGCUCACAUGCGGGAUAGCAAAUACGGGACAAAAUGGGAUAGUUUUAGAACAGCCACAAGAUUUAAAUGAGCUGAUCGGACGGAUGAAAUUCACAACACACUAAACCCCAAUCAUAGACUACACAUUACCCGAUGUCUUCUCUUGUGCCAGUGCCUCCCCACACCCUCGACUGGAACUCUUUCUUCUUUCUCCCUCAUCUGAAAUUCUCUAUUCUGCCUCAUCUCAACCCAGAUAUGCCGUCUACAAUCCCUUAAGGCCUCCCAUAAUACCGUUCUUGUUUCAUCAUCAUAAGACUGGUAUCUUGAAGGUAUUUUCUCAGGUUUCUCUCUUUUGAUUUUGGGUUUUUUCUUAUUUUAUUAUAUUUUCAGUUGAUGAAUGGUCUCUAUAAUCAUGGACAUAGAGUAUUCUGUUGAUAAUUUCAUCUUCGGAUAAAUGUUGCAGUCCCUACCAUAUAUUUGAGUUUCUCUGCUUUCCCAAUUAUUUUUUAAUUUGAAGCACCCAAAUCUAGAAUGGAUUGCAUAUAUUUGUUUAAUCGAUAUCUGAUUGCUUCACAUAAUAUUGUUCUUAAACAGCAGCUCAAUACAUAAAUUGUUCAAUUAUAGUACUAGUAAAGUGGUUAAGCAUUCAACUUUUGUUUGGUUUUUAACUUCUUUUCUAUUAAUAUUAUGUUUGGACUCUAUUUUGGUGAAAGUUAAUUUAUAAUUGUGUUUAAAAUAUUGAACUACAGCCCUUUAUGAUGGGUGAACAAUCAUCAAAAGAGCCUACCAUGAAUGCUGUGCCUACUAAGAAUGUGCCUGUUGAGAAUGUUGUGUCUGCUGAGAAUUUGAUUGCUAAGAAUGUUGUUAAAGAACCAAAACUUCAGCUUGGUCAGGAAUUUGAAUCAAUUGAGGUGGCCUAUUACUAUUACAAUGAUAUAUACACAAAAGCUAUUGGUUUUAGUGUGAGAAUGGGUUCAAAUAAGAAAAGUAAGGUGACAGGGGAAAUUAUUUGGAAACAGUUCUUAACUUCUUAUGUUCCAAGGAAGGAAAAACAGAUGAGACAUAUGAGAACACAAGAAGGCAACAAUCGUCGACCAUGGAAGAAAGGAAUUGCGGAAUAAAACGUAUGGGUUGUAAGGCAAGGUUAAACAUCGUCUUUAACAAGGAAAAGAAAAACUAAUGUGUAAGUGGCUUUGAAGAGGCUCAUACACAUGCACUUACAACUCCUAAAAAGGUAUAUCUAUUAACAUCACACCGCAAGCUUACGAAGGCAAAGAAGUGUCUCAUGGGAAAGCUAAAGAGUGUAAAUAUUCGAUCAAGUCAGCAAUUCAAGAUAAUGGAGACUGUGGCAGGUGAUAUACAAAAUGUAUCAGCUGGGUUAUCAUUUAAUAAAUGUUUUCUCAUUGAAGCACAACACCAGAACAUGUGUAUAUUCUAUUGGAUUAUAAUUAUAACUUUUAGGUGAUUGUGAAUUCGAACUUGUGUAUAAUUAUAGCUUGUGAUUGUCUUUUGGAUUACAUUCUUCUGGAAGUUAUCUUCUCAUUUAGUAAUCACUUGAUCAGCUCAUCUCUCUUAGUCAAUCUGAUAUUGAGUUAGAGAAACUAUUGAGCUCGUAUGAGCAGGAAAAAGCAUCAGAGAAAUGAUGCUUGCUACUUUACUAUGUACCCAUUUAUGCAUGGUAAAAUUUGACAAUAUCAGUGAGUUUUGAUGUUGCUGGAAGUCUGGAACUAAGUCCUCACUCUGCAACACAGCAAGGUAACAACAUUCUCAAUAUCAAACAAAACCCUACCAAUAUUAACAUCUGAUUACGUAAAACCUUCGGACUUAGUUCUUUAAUUAUGAAUCAAUACUGAUACACCAACCCUCAUAUCAUCUGGGUCACGUCUUUACUACUCAAGAACACCAUCCAUCUUACGAAAUCAACAUCAAUUUUCAAUGCAAACCAUCAUCAAUUUUGAUUUUAACUAGAUCAAAGAUGAUCAAAUUUUAACAGAAGCUCUCUAAUUUUGUUCGGGAUGGCAGUAAUAUCGUUUCAUAUCUCUAACUUCGACUUCAUUCAUAGGUCUCUCUCACGUUCCGAUCAAUCAUCACCUUCAUGAUUCCUUUUUUGACUAUAGUCGCCUUAAUUUUUAUUAUGGGAGGCCUUAAGGGAUUGUAGAAGGCAUAUGUGGGUUGAGAUUAGGCAGAAGAGAGAAUUUUAGAUGAGGGAGGAAGGAGAAAGAGUUCCAGUCGAGGGUGUGGGGAGGCAUUGGCACAAGAGAAGACAUCGGGUAGUGUGUAGUCUAUGAUUGGGGUUUAGUGUGUUGUGAAUUUCAUCCGUCAGAUCAGCUCAUUUAAAUCUUGUGGCUGUUAUAAAACUAUCCCGUUUUCUCCCGUAUUUGCUAUCCCGCAGGUGAGCGUUCCUGCAGUAAAUACUAUUCUAGCAGUAAAAGGAAAUUAAUUAACAAAAAUGUAAUCAACGAUCCGGGAAGAAAAACCACGGAAAUUAGAAAAAUAAUUAAUCUUUAGAAUCUCCUUAUUAGAUUUAUUUUUUUUGUUUGAGGAGACUCUUAAGGCGGUGUUACUUUAAUUAAUUUAUUUAUUUCUAAAUUUGCUGGCUCCACUUCCCCUAUAUAAAAAAAAAUACCCAACUCCCUUUCAGUAUUGUCCUCCAUUUUUUUUUCCGCGAUUUCCAGGGUUCGUAGUAUUUGGGGAUUUCCUGGAGCUCUCUCUUCUCUCUCCACCGCACUCUUCCGAUUAGGUUUUCCUCCUAAUCUCACCCCAAGGUAAACCUUCACUUCCUCUCGAGCUCUUCUCCGUUCGAUUCUCCUCCCUAUUUGCUCCGCUAGCUCGAUUUCCAGGGUUUGGUACUCUUCGUCGUUUUUGCUUCUCUUGAUUUCUUCGUUAGGGUUGCAUUUUUGUUUGUUUGACCUGGAAUUGUGCGCUUCUGGUUUUGCCUAGGGUUCUUGGCUGUGUGAUAUGCUUUGUUUCUCUGGGAUCGGUUUCUUUAGGUUUUACUAUUUUUGUUUUUCGCAUUCGAUUUUUGUUGUUGUUGAAUCUUUUUGUGCAUUUUUGUGGAUGAUGAAUUCCGAUGGUGCUGGUUAGCUAGGGUUUUCAUCGUGCGUGUUCAUUUGAUUCCGAUAAGUCCUCGAUGUAACCUAUAAAUAUGCUGGAUUCGAUUUUCGGUCAUCAAUUUUUGGUAGUGAUUUCGUGUUUGGUGGUUGUGGAAUUUGUGAUUGUUAUGUCUUGUGUACUGAUUGCUAUUAUAGGCUAGGUUUUGAUUGUAUUUUGUUUUUGUUUUGUUUUAUGCUGCAGUUGGAAGUCGAACAUAAUCGUUCGCAGCUAUGGAGCGCAAGAUUAUCGAGUUGGAUCAAGGAUGGGACUAUAUGCAGAAGGGGAUCACCAAGCUCAAGAGGAUUCUUGAGGGACAGCCAGAGGCUCAGUUCAACUCAGAAGAAUACAUGAUGCUUUACACGUAUCCUUUACUGCAUAGUUUGCAUUUGUUACUAUAGACACUAAUCACUGUUUAUGUUUGUCUUGUGUCUUUUUGUUUCCCAUCACGGUUGUGUGGGAGUCAGUUUUAUCAUGCUGUGAGGUGAACUUUCCCUAACUACAAGUACAGAACAAUCUAUAAUAUGUGUACUCAAAAGCCCCCGUAUGACUAUUCCCAACAGCUUUAUGACAAGUACAGGGAGGCAUUUGAGGAAUACAUUACCAAAAUGGUGAGAACUUUGGCUCGUUUUUAUUCACUAUGCAAGUGCAUGUUUCUUAUUAUCUGAACUUACACGGAAAUAUCUAUUAAAAUUUGGUUGUUCAUCAUUUAGGUGAUGCCUUCUCUAAGAGAAAAGCAUGAUGAGUUUAUGCUGCGGGAGCUUGUCCAAAGAUGGGCAAAUCACAAGAUCAUGGUUAGGUGGCUGUCGCGCUUCUUUCAUUAUCUUGAUCGUUACUUCAUUGCACGUAGAUCACUUCCUGCAUUGAAUGAAGUUGGACUUUCCUGCUUUCGUGAUCUGGUUAGUUAUGUCUCUCUUACUACUCCUUGCCAAGGGACAAUAAAACUUUGCUCGCUAUUAUGUUAAAAUUUAGUGUCCUGUUAUAUCAUUGCAACUGCCCGGCAUUGCUUCAAUAACGACUAAAGUACUAAAUUUGUGGUAUCAGGUUUACCGGGAGGUAAAUGCUAAUGCCAGAGUUGCUGUGAUUGGUCUUGUAAGUUCAUUACUCUUGUUCGUGGACUCAGAAACAUCUAGAUCCUGUCAUUCAAUGAAUUAUGUAUGACCAAUACUUCUUUACCAGAUUGAUAAAGAGCGUGAAGGAGAGCAGAUUGACAGAGCUCUGUUGAAGAAUGUCAUAGACAUCUUUGUUGAAAUUGGCAUGGGACAAAUGGAUGCUUAUGAACAGGACUUUGAAACACAACUGCUAAACGAUACUGGUGACUACUAUUCUCGUAAAGCAUCAAAUUGGAUUUUGGAGGAUUCUUGUCCAGAUUAUAUGUUGAAGGCAAGUUUAUUUGGAUAUACUUACUUUUUGGCAAGGUGGGGUUCUUAUAUCAGUUUGUUGUCUAACACCCCUUGUGAACUGUACAGGCUGAGGAAUGUUUGAGAAGGGAGAGGGACAGAGUUUCUCAUUACCUGCAUUCAAGCAGUGAGCAGAAGCUGGUGGAGGUCAGUUAAUACAUAGAUAUAUAUUCUGUAGCUUGUUUAUAAAUGAGAGUAUAUAAUUGCUUCAUAAUUUGGGGUUUGUAUUUAUUGCCAUUUUACAUUUUUUUCACAAAAGUACAUUGAAUUAUGGAAAUCAACUACUCCUCCUCCCAAAGCAAGCUCAUGAGUAGUGUUUGUCAGAAAAAUAAGUAUAAUUGAAACAAGCAUUCAUUGAGGUAGUAUUAUUUUAGAUGUCACAGGCAGGAAUUUAAAGCCCCAGAAUAGUAAUUAUUUAGAGAGGUUUUGUUACUGAUGCUUAGGAAUCUACAAUGAAGUUCUCAACUAGUAAAGAAACUAUCUUGCUUUAUGGGAUGUGUAUGGUGCAUAAUAAUGCAUUAGGAACAUUUAUUACAUACAGUACCUGUUUAUAAAUGUUUUGUACAUUAUUUAUCUAUGCAAGGGGAGAUCAGGUUAAAGAGCCGGUGUGAGAGUGUUGUGUUACAUUUUGAUUCAUGUAUUCUCUUAUAUACUAAUAACCCCUACUGUGAAGUUCAUGUUACUUAUUGUUGCAUUGCUUGACCUGUAGAAAGUGCAAAAUGAGUUGUUGGUGGUUUAUGCAACUCAACUGCUUGAGAAGGAGCAUUCUGGAUGUCGUGCUUUGCUUAGAGAUGACAAGGUAUAUUGCUACCUGGGCAUUUUUUUUAUCUAGUUUUUGGUCAUAUUAAAGCAUUUCUCAUGCGAUGUGCUCUUGUUUAUUUCAAGGUGGAGGAUCUUUCUAGGAUAUAUAGGCUUUACCAUAAAAUAACUAAAGGCUUGGACCCUGUUGCUGCUGUAUUUAAACAGGUAAGUUGUUUUUUGCUCAUGAUUAACAUCUAACCUUCAUUAGCUGCUCUGUCAUUACGUUUGUUCUAACACUUUUGAGGGUUUGCAGCAUGUUACUGCUGAAGGUACUGCCUUGGUUCAAGCGGCUGAAGAUGCUACAAGUAACCAGGUUGAGCAUCUUUGUGUACCCUAAAUAGAGUAUAUAAUGUAGUGGUGUUUUAUGGUAUUUUAAACUUCUCCAUGCAUAUCUGUGUUUAGUUUCUGUAUAUGUAUGUUAAUUAUACGACAUUACGAGUAUGAUAUUCCUUUACUGACAUGAGACAUUCACCACCCGUAUGGGAGGUGUUAUCAAAUCCAAGUUGAUAUAAAUUAGUUCAAAAGAAAGACCUUUGAAGUUUAUUGUCAGUUGUGACACACUAGAAUACUGGGUAUCUUAUGAAUGAGCAUGUAAAUUUGAUGUGAUAUGGCAUUUGUAUGCGAGUUUCCAUGAAAUUCAAUACAGUUACGAAGUUGUGAUUAAGAUAUCACUUUAACAAAUUCUAAGGUUAUCGUGGAAGUGUCCUAUCCGUACAAAGUUAGUCAUCAAACUUGUAGUUCCUUGAUCCACAUGCAUUUUGUUUAAAUCUGUAAUGUCAGUAUCUCAUUAGUAGUUCUCUAUCAUGUAUUCCAAGAGACCAAAACAUGAUGCAUGGGGGAUGCUGUCUUGUGUCCCUAGUUGAUGAAUGUAGUUUUUGAUAACAGUGGCUAUUGACUAUCUGUGACAGUAGUAUAUUCUGUCCACUGUUUCCUGCUUUGGGAUCAUAAAGUUUGUUAUCAUCGUUAUUUGUAGUUACCAUGUUUGAUUAUUGGUUGGUCAACCCAAAAAUUUUAGUGUCCUAAAGAAUUGUACUCUUUUUUCAUAAUAUGGCUGCUAAGUGUUGUCAACAAUGUUUUGCAGGGUUCAACUGGAUCUGGUGCUCAGGAGCAGGUACAUUAUUUAUAGUCUCUGUUUCUAUAACUUAUUCAAGUGAUUCUGAUUGGAGGUGUUGACAUAUCUUUGUGAUCUUCAGGUCCUUGUCAGGAAAAUAAUUGAAUUGCAUGACAAGUAUAUGGCAUAUGUCAAUGAUUGCUUUAUAAACCACUCACUGUUUCACAAGGUUAGUGUUGUGACAUACUAGUCAGAUACAUAAUUACAUUUACGUUUACACUGUGUGUGAUAUACUUUUCUAUUUGGCUGUUUGAUAGGCUCUAAAAGAAGCUUUUGAGGUAUUCUGUAAUAAAGCGGUUUCUGGGAGUUCAAGUGCUGAGUUACUGGCUGGAUUCUGUGACAAUAUUCUCAAGAAGGGUGGAAGUGAGAAGUUGAGUGAUGAGGCUAUUGAAGAAACACUUGAGAAGGUAUUGUUCUAUAUCUUUUUUCUUGUGAAGAUUUAAUUGAUUGCUGUGAUAAUGUUUCAUUCAUUUAUUUUGUCAUUUAACAUAAAGUUCAUCAUUUCAUCUCUUUUCAGGUUGUUAAGCUGCUUGCUUAUAUCAGUGAUAAAGAUCUUUUUGCAGAAUUCUACAGGUAACCACUGUUUGAGGUUGUAAUAUAUAUGUUUCACAUUGUCAAAAGUUGUAACUGUUGUAAGAAGUUGGUGAUAUAUAUUCAAUCAUGCAGACCUCCAUACUGAAGCUUUCUUGUCCUUUGAUUGUGAAUUAAAAUACACACAUACACCCAUGUAUUUCUAGAUAUCCACAGAAAGAAACUUUUGUAUGUACCCUCUUAUUAUACACAUUGAAAUGCAGCUUUCUUGUUGUUUGAUCAUGAAUUAACACACAUACACCCAUGUUUUCCUAUAAUUCACAUAAAGAGACUAUGGUACGUGCCCACUUUUUACACAUUGAAAUGCUUUUAUACCAACUGCUAUAACGCUUCAUGAUACAUACUUUAAUACAUCAUAUAUGUUAUGUAUUAUAGUUAUGUUAUUGACUAGUAGGAUCCUGUCACAGGAAAAAGCUUGCCCGUCGGCUACUUUUUGAUCGGAGUGCCAAUGAGGACCAUGAAAAAAGUAUUCUAACAAAGCUUAAGCAGCAGUGUGGUGGACAGUUUACCUCCAAGAUGGAGGGAAUGGUCAGUGAACAGCAUUUAUUUGCGUUUUUCUCUAUGCUGUUAGAGUAUUAGUGUUGAUACUGAUUAUGUUGGCAUUGCAUUUUAAUUUCAGGUUACAGAUUUGACAGUGGCUCGGGACAAUCAGGUCAACUUUGAAGAGUAUCUUAAGAGCAAUGAGAAUGUUAGUCCUGGGAUGGAUUUGACGGUCACAGUUCUUACAACUGGUUACUGGCCAAGCUAUAAAUCUUUUGAUCUUAACCUUCCCGAAGAAAUGGUAAGAUUUGCUUUAUAUUUGAUGCCGCACUUCAUGCUUGAAAGUGUACUUGGCACCUAAAGUGUAAUUUGUUCACAUUUUAGGUGAGGUGUGUUGAAGUUUUCAAGGCAUUUUAUGAAACAAAAACAAAGCACAGGAAACUUACAUGGAUUUACUCUUUGGGGACCUGCCACAUCAAUGGCAAGUUUGAGCCAAAAACAAUUGAAUUGGUUGUAUCAACCUAUCAGGUAAUAUCACAUUGUCUAUUGCUUUAUUGGUUUUUGGUGUGGAAGCUAUUUGACUAUUCCAGCAUGGUUUUUUGUAAGGGCACUUUAAAUCCUGUUGUGUUUAUUCGGUGCAGGCUGCUCUCCUGUUGCUCUUCAAUACUGCAGAAAAAUUGAGCUAUUCAGAAAUUUUGACCCAGCUGAACCUUACCCAUGAUGAUUUGGUUAGACUGCUUCAUUCCCUGUCAUGUGCUAAGUACAAGAUUCUACUUAAGGAGCCUGCCACAAAGACUAUCUCACCAAAUGACAACUUUGAGUUUAACUCGAAGUUCACAGACAGACUUAGAAGAAUUAAGGUAUGAGAUUGCUAUACCGUUUUUAUUUCACUUUUGUGUUAAGAGUAGAUGAGCCAACACGUUCACUUUUUGUAUCAUAGAUUCCUCUUCCACCUGUGGAUGAAAGGAAGAAGGUCAUCGAAGACGUGGACAAAGACAGGCGAUAUGCUAUUGAUGCUGCAAUUGUGAGGAUCAUGAAAAGUAGAAAAGUCCUGGGUCAUCAACAGUUGGUGAUGGAGUGUGUAGAGCAGUUGGGACGGAUGUUUAAGGUAUUUCGUCUAGGUUCACUUUCAUUGAAUGCUAAAAGAAAAAUGCAAUUCUAGUAUAUGUACGUAAUAUUUUUGUGUAACAUGCUUGUGAAAGUAUUCCACUGACAUGGUUAUGUGCAAUUGAAUUAUGCAGCCUGAUAUCAAAGCAAUCAAGAAGCGCAUUGAGGAUCUCAUCACCCGUGACUACCUUGAGAGGGACAAGGAAAACCCGAACACGUUCAAGUACCUUGCAUGAUUCAAAUGCUGGACCUGGGGAUAUGUUACUUGGGGUAUGCUGGAAGUACAGAAACAUGAAUUAGGAACUUGGAGUUCUGCUGUAUAUGAUAUGCAAAUCUUUUAAAAUUCUAGGAUUUUUGAAAGGAGUGGAUUAUUUUUUGUGCAAUGCGCUAUUAAAGCCAGUUUUGUGCAAUUCACCCAUCUUUCCAGAGAGUUUAAUGUGCAAUUAUUUUCAAAGAGCUUAUGUACUGCUAUAGUACUAUUUUUGUGGUUGGUAAGAAUAUAAAAAACCAAUGUUCUGAUGUGUUGUGUGUGCUGGUUUGAAGAUAUUCUUGUCUGCUUGAUUCUAAAAAUGGGGCUCUCCGGUGAUCAUAUGAGAACUUGGAGAGGUGAUCACACCGGAAGUCGGAGAGUCGGGUUUGCUAUGGAUUUUUCUGCUUUACAUUACCCCGUGGAGAGCUCAAGUUUCGUUCAAUUUCCUCAAGUAAAAUAACAGAAGGGGAUUGAAAGGUGCAAAUUUAUUUUCCGUUACUCCGAGUAUCAAAGCUAGCUCCCCGUCUCCUCUGUAAACCCUAAACCCCAAUGUUGUCUCGUCUGUGUUCCAGAAACUGGGUCUCUCUCCAUGGUGGUGGUUCUCAUUGUGGUCUUCAAUAUCAGUGGUUUAGCACGAAGAGAUGUACCAGCAGCUACAACGAUUUCACAGUCUCCUACCUGGUUAACUCAUGCGGGCUUUCCCCGAAAGCCGCCGUUAAAGCAUCGGACAAGGUAAAUCUCCAACCUUCCUCUUUAGCAAGACCAGACUCUGUUUUAGCCGUUUUGAGGGAGCACGAAUUCUCAGAUACCCAGAUCUCAACUCUUGUGCGAAGAGACCCACGUUUUCUGUUGGCCGAUGCCAAGAGAACCCUGUUGCCAAAGCUUGAGUUUUUGUUUUCCAAAGGAAUGUCAAGGCUGGACGUUGCAAAAAUAGUGACCUACAACUCAUUUCUCUUGAGUCGAAGCGUGGAAAACUGCUUUGUUCCCUGUUAUACCUUCCUGAAAAGCGUUGUGGUCUGUGAUGCCAAGGUGGUGUGUAUAUGGAAGCGCAACGCUUACAUUUUCGGGCAAAUUCUAUACAAGAAUGUGAUACCCAAUUUGGAGUUUGUGAGAGAAUUGGGUAUGUCACAGUCCCGUGUUCCAUGUUGCUAACAACUCGUGCUGAGCUUUUGAUGAGGAAGCCUGAGUUGUCCAGUGAACUUGCGAGUCAAGUCCAGCAAUUCGGAUUUGACCCUCAGAAGUCUGACUUUGUGCAAGCCAUGGAGGCAUUAAGUAGGAAAGAGACGACAUGGAAACGAUGUCAAGAGGCUUACAGGAGUUGGGGUUGGUCGGAUGAUGAUAUUCUUUCUGCCUUCAAGGUGUGUCCGCUGUGUAUGACCAAGUCUGAAAAGAAAAUAAUGGAGACAAUGGAUUUCUUGGUGAGCAAGAUGGGAUGGGAAUCAGGAAAAAUUGUCAAGGUGCCGUGUGUUUUUAAUUACAGCUUGGAGAAGAGAAUCUCCCUAGGUGUUCAGUUGUUCGAGUUUUGUUAUGUUAAGUAUAUAAGGAUAGUUGAGUCAUUUACUAUUAUCCCUACCUAUAUAAAGCUAUGAGUUGUGUAUACUGUUCAUCAAUUGAGAAAUACAAGAUGCAGACGUUUACUCUCUCCUGUGUUUUCUUUACUUUUCUGCUUAGCAUUUUCAAUUCAAUAAUUCCAUGAAUCCUCAUGGUAUCAGAGCCCAUGGUCGCGAUUUUGUGGCCUUGUGGCUUCUGUGAUUAGCUUAGCUUCCGCGUUUUGAUUCCAGUUUUUCAGUUUUCAGUUUCCCCAACUUCAAUUACCCUAGCUUUGCGUUUUUCCCAAACUCGUUCAUCAACGAUCCCAAACUCAAAAUCUUCGUCUUUGGCGCUAUAAUCUUCUCUUACGGCGUCAGAUUGUCGAUACCCAGCCUUCUCUAAGACCUCUGGGCUUCGAUGUUCGUUCUCCGCGUCGUCACCUGCGCGGCUCGCCUCGUAUGGCUCUGUUCUUUGUUUGCGGGUUUUCUCCUUCAGAUCCCCGAGUAUGACGUCAGGGGAGGACUGUAUCAGUGUGAUGCAGCGAAUCUGUUCUCUGAGACUUGGUAAUCUUCGAGCCCUUUAUUUUGUCACUAUGUCUUUGCGCUGCAAUUCUUGUUUUUGAGAGUAUCUAGUAGACUAGUUGUUCAAUCUAUUUGCUCUGAAGGUGAAUGGGAGACGAAGAUGUGUAUAUUUUGAUAAAUCUGGUUGGAAGAUGAGUAUUUUUAAGGUUGAAUAUUCCUGGGCUUAUUGUUCUGAUGGUGAUUAGAGAUGGUUAGGUCUUAUGACUGGAUUUUGUGUGCUUCUUUCUCUGCUGUGCUUCUAUGUGCUAAGUGGUUGGUGACAUUAAGUUGAUAGCUGCUGUUGUUUAGUGUUCUCCUACCACAAUAUGUUUGAGAUACUGACCCUGCAACAAAACGUAUGUUUGGAAGUAGUAGUAAUGUAUGUGGAAUUGUAGUACAGAGGUAGUAGCCUCUGUAUGAUCGUAGAGUUGUGGUAAUCACAACUAGCGGUAGUAGCCUCUGUAUGAUCGUAGAGUUGUGGUAAUCACAACUAGAGGUAGUAGCCUCUGUAGAACAAAGUGGUGCAGAAAAAUAUUGUAGUGAGUCAAGGUUUCAAUUGAGAUGUGGAGGGAAACAUUAUUUUGCAGCAGCUUAUAUGUUGGGGUAUGAACGCAUGGGAUUGAUUACAGCAAGUUAAUACUGGUAGAGAUAUGCAGUAUGUAGCAGUGUUCAGUCCUUGCAGUAGUUUUUCAGAUUCUUCAUUGGAUUGUUUGUUGCCUUGCUUCCAUGGAUUUUGUCUUCUCAGCUCUGUGUUGCCUCAAUGCUCUGCUGCAACCUACAAUCUUGUCAACUGACUGUGGAUGAUGUUCUCAUACUGCCAAGUGGCUGUUGGGUUUUGAUUUUUGGGAUGAUAAUCUUGUAAAUUGUUCUACAUCAUGUAUUGUGCUUCUUGUUAUGUACUUGGUCCAACCAUUAUGCUUGUUACCAAGCAUAUGGUUGAGGGGGAUGUUAAGUAUAUAAGGAUAGUUGAGUCAUUUACUAUUAUCCCUACCGAUAUAAAGCUAUGAGUUGUGUACACUGUUCAUCAAUUGAGAAAUACAAGAUGUAGACGUUUACUCUCUCCUGUGUUUUCUUUACUUUUCUGCUUAGCAUUUUCAAUUCAAUAAUUCCAUGAAUCCUAUCAGUCGAAAGGGUUGAUAGAAGAGGAAAAGUUGAGCUUGGCUACUGUGAUUACGAAUCCGGAGGAGUAUUUCUUAAGUAGAUUUGUCACCAGAUAUGUCGACCAAGUACCUCAGUUGUCGAAUAUAUACCAAGGAAAAAUGGAUGUGCAGGAUGUAUGAUCUUGGUCACACAGUUUCUAGGCUGAUAGUGUUGAAUAUCUGAAGUUUCUAUUGGAAGAAAUUAAAUGUUGCAUUGAUCACUAUUUUUCAUUACUAUAACGAGAUCAUUUCUAACCAGUGUCUCUGUUCUGGAAGUAUAAUAUAAUCCCUUCGAGUGGUUGCUGUUGACGAGUAUCUGAGAAGGAGCAACAAGUUAGCUUGUUAUUAAUCGUUUUCUAAUAACAACUUAUUCCGCAGCAUAUAACCAAUCUUCUAUCUUCCUUCUUGAGCUUCAGGCAUUUUCCCUAGUUUAAAUGGUUGAUUGACUUUGAUCGAGUUCUCCAGCUACCCUAAUCAUAUUUUCUGCUUUAGAGUAUUCCAAUACUCCCUAGCAUCAAACAUGAUCUAACUUCAUAAUCUAUAUCCAGAUUUAGAGAACUCCAAUGAUCAUAUUAGCUUUCCUAUAACAUGGUGUUGUAACUGUUGCUGAACCAUGGCCAGAGAUGCAGGUGUGACUGAGUAGCUUCAUCUUAUGUGUAUGUACAGCUUGGAUACAGAUUACAGAAUCAUCCCAAGGUUUUCGGUUGUUAGAGUUUUGAUGUUGAAAGGAUUGAUUAAAGAGGAAAGGUUGAGUUUCACUACUGUUUUUGCGACUCCAGAGAAGUACUUCUUGAAUAGUUCUUUCCAGAUUUCUGGACACAGUACCCCGACUUUCGAUAAGUACCAAGGAAAAGCGCAUAUAUGCACUUCAGCCCAGUUUGUGAGGUUAGUUUGUAACGCACUUGUAGGCUUGAUAGUUUUGAAUAUGGCUUGUCAACAGAUAGCAUUGGAAGCAGCAUUCUCAGUAAUGACUAUAAAGAGAUUUCUAAAUUAUCGUCUCUGCCUUACAUUCAGUUUGUUUGUUACUAGAAAAUAUAUUACUUAUGAUCAUGUCCUCAGUCUGAAGUCUGCACUUAGAAAGGAGGUUUCUAAUUUAUCAUGUCCUGUUAGAUUAUUGAUUGGUAGCAAUUAGGUGAACGGGUUCUGUGCCAUUGCUGCCCUCAGUAAUGUCCCUAGACUACUCAUUGGUUUUAAGGUCUCUCGAAUCUGUGAAAAGCUCUAACGAAAGUCGUCAGCUGCAUCUGUAUUUGCCAACUGUGGGCACGCUGCAAGGCAUGUCUGUUCUCUACUAGUCAAGAGGGGAUCCAUGUUAAGCUGAUAGCUUUAGGUAUCGAAACAGCUAGGAUAAGAUUCUGCAACAUGAAUUUCUAUCAAUUAACGAACACCUUCUUAUUAAGUUGUGGAUUAGGAGAUAAUGGCUAACCCAACUCAAUGAAAAGCGUUGGUUCCAUUUCAACAUUAAUAUGUUCGUUCUGAAAAGUUCAACUGGGAUUCGAUCCACUCGAUGUUUGCUGUGACUUUUGGUCUAGAUUGUCAUACUAAAAUCUGGAGUUCAGUUAUUCACUCGUUUUCCUUACUGUCAUGGCAAUAGAGAAAAGUUCAACUUUCUUGUAGCUGUUGAUAACUAGUAGUGAGGAUCUGUGAUCUUUGCUAUGUUGUAGGCUGAUAGUGCCAAUUCCAGAGGCACCACCAUUUGAUGCUUGGACUUUGGAGUAGAAAAAACAGGUUUCUGUAUGAUUUUCAUGAGUAGGUAUAAUCACUGUCUCAGUUUGUACUUAGCAAAGAGGUUUCUAAAUUUUCAUGUCCUGUCACUUCAAAUUUAUCCUCAAGAAUCAGAUGCUCAUUUCUUGUAGUUUCGAACUGUAAAUAUGUCUGUUUCGCAACAAGACUGGCUAUAAUAUGUAAACAACAGUCUAAUAAUAUGUAAUCACACAUGUUCGGGAAUAUACGCAGAAUCACCAUCAGAUGAAAAGACUAAUUAAAUUUCUAGGAUGAUGGGGUUAGGAAAAAAUUUGGCUUCUCUACUUGGAUUUAUGUUGUUUGGAUUUGCUUGGAUGACUUCUAACCAUUGGAUCAAGUACAAUCUAAGACGAACAUGUCAUCCUUACUUCAUCUAAUAGUUAUAAGACAUCCAAGCAAAUCCAAACAACUUAAAUCUAAACGGAGAAUCCGGAUCCGUUGGGAAAACAUGACAUAUUUUACUUUGGCCUCACUCUGGCUCACUUUUCAUCGGCAUCGUUAGGCAAACUUGCUAAUUGCUAUGGCUUGGGUACCAACAGCCUCACCUCACUUGUCACGGCCGCGUGGGCAGUUACUAUUAGUCUCACCUCAUUUGUAUGGGCAAGGGUGGUGGGCAUUGUUAGCCUCACUUAGAAGUUGCUCUGAUAACUUGGCGUCAGCAGUGUUAGCAUCACUUGUAUUGAGCCUCACUUGCAUGAGCCUGAGCACCGGUAGAGUCUAGCUUAGAUAAAACCUGCGGCAAAUUUCAGUUUCUUGACUUCAGAAAGCAAGGACAAGCACAUGCCAACUGAGGGAAAAAUCAAGCUGCACCAAGUGUGGGUAAGUUCAGCCAUACACCAAGUUAUGCGAAGCAAGAUCAAGUAAAGACCAAGUAUGGGUAACGUUUGGUUGGUGUUCGAAACGCACAAAAUCAAGCGAACACAGUACGAGAGCACUGCCUAUUGAACACCAGUGCAGGAGCUUAGUCUCAACAGGCCGAAGGUCGAAAAACAUAAUGAUGGAAGGGGGGAGGAGGAAGCAACAAAUUGAAGUGUGAUAUAGGGCUUAAUAUCAAUGGAUUAUGACAGCCAGGCCAUUCUACCACUCAUUAUCCCAUUGCUCAUUGAAGUCGUCUGCAAAGGUUUUUUUUCCCACAACUUGGGUAUUUCAGAGCAUCUCUCACAACCUGUGCACCUCUGGACUUGGCCAUAAUUAGGCGCUAACUGUGGGUCGGUAAUCAAAACCUUUCCGGCUUUCCUGAUUAGAGCAUAUAAAGACCAAGAGUUGGUUACUACUCUAGGCGUGUUCUUCCGUUUAGGUUGAAUCACCCGCACCAUCUGUCAUCUGCUUGAAACGAAGACGAGGGCAAACCGACAAAGAGGGAAAGAUGAAGGCUCAGAAAUUUAAGUGGCCGUGGAGUAGAAGAUAAAUAUUUUCGACCAAGACCGAGAAGUGGAGAGAGCAAAAAAAAAAAAAAAAAAAAAAAACAGCCCUAGUCCUGUGUGUAACACCAAACCUAGACCUCUAAAUUCAAAUUCAUCAAAAGACAUUUUCAAACUUUGAUUUCAAAACUCAGGAACUGGCUAAACUAUAGUGAGUCUUAAUAAUCCUCAUAAGACAGGCCAAUUCAGGAAAUGAAGAGGUAACUUUAUUGAUAUGCUCCGCUAAUCAUCGGAGAUGAAUUUUAUUGAUACAUCCAAUGGCCAAUUGAAAUAAUUAAACUUUAUUAUCUAAACCUAUAUGAAUGUUAUUGCUAUGGGUUAAGUUUAAAGUAUAAAACUAUAUACCAACAUCAAAGAAAAUUUUGAACAAGAAUAUCACAUCAAAUUCAGUACUACCUAUAGCUGCACCUGCCCCAGUUGCUCAACCUGAAAGCAGAUCCAUGCUCAAGUCAGUAAAUUACCAAUGAAACUGCUAGAUCCUAAUUCAAACAUCUCAAGCACUUUGAAAGCUUAUACAUAACGGUGUAUUGCUAACAUGCAAAAUGAUGACAUUUUCGUGUGGAAGACUAAAGAUCAUAAAUAUUAAAGAGAAGGCCAGAGUGCCAAUUUGGCAGAAAUACCAAAUCGUAAAUUACAAAAAAUUUCAGCAUGGAUUGCCUACUUUCUACACAAGAUAUAGAAGAAACUUUGCAAAUAAAGCAUAUAGUCAUAUACUAUAUGCUCCUAAGGUUCAAUAACAAUCAAGUAUGGUCAUGAGCAUUAUCUGCAUUUUUCUUUUACUCCUUACACAGCACUGUCAUUGACAAUUAGUAGUUGGACUCCCACAACCUAAAUAUAUACAUGCUUUGUUUUUUCAUUUUUGUGCUUUUCCUUCAACAUUCAUGUUCUCCCAUCUAAGUAACCUAAAAUGGCUUUUCCCUUGGGAUGAACAGAAAUGAACAAAAGCCCACUGUUAGAAAAGCAACUAUUAUAUCUUGGGGAAAAGAGAGUAUUCACUUCUUGUAUCUGCAUCUCACACAAAAGUAAACUAGGUUUUUUUUUCUUUUCAAUUUUUUAUGAUAGGAAUUCUCUUAUUUGAGAGACACUGAUACAUAUUCAAUAGAAGAUCAACUGAUUGCUACGUUUAAACCAAGUUCAGAAGUCAAUGAACGAUCGCUGAAAAUUGUGAAAAUUUUACCUGUGAGAUCUGAAGGAAAGACCUAAAAAAUAUCCACCUCCCCUUCUCUUCACACAGAUGUCUUUUAUAUACAAAAGUUGCCACUGGCAAGAGAAAGUACCGAAUAAAAGUUAGAGAAGAAGGCAGACAGUAAAAACAAUAAAGCAAAUUUUCAUUGCUACGGCUACACAAACCUUUGAUGUAAGAAAAGCAGAACCCCAGCACUGGGAGUUUCAUGGAUAGCACUGACAAUAGUCUCAUUUACACAGUUUUCUGAUUCGAUCUCUAUUAAGGCAGCAAGGAGACAAAGUGAAGGAACAACCUGUUCAUGUUACAUUCUACCAAAAUCAAACUCAAGAGAUGUUUUUUGGAAAGUGAAAGGAAACAGAGAAAAGAAAAAAGAUUAGAGGGCGGGAAAUAAAGAAAAUCUAAUAGAAGGGCAGCAUACCUGCAACUUCCAAUUUUUUUAGCUCUCUUUACAUAGUGCCGAUAUGGCUCAUUCUGUAAAGUAAGAUCAGACAAUUCAUGCACAUACUGGAAGACUUGCAAUGCAGAUAACAGAUUGUUAAGAUAAGUUAACCAGCUGAAGAAGAAAGCCCCAAUUGAACAUGUGGUUCUCAUCAUUAUGUAGAACUAUUAUAUCUUCCAACACAUUCUUCAUAUCCACCUUUUGAAUGCUGCUCAGAAUCUUUUUCAGAAGAGCCUUAAAUAGUGAUGGUUCAAAGUCCUCGAAAUGACUAUUGGUUAUUGAGAUCCGAUGACCCACUUUGGAUCCAUACAGUGAUGGAAAACAGAUCUAGGAUCACAGAGAAUAAAUUGGGUAGAAGCUCCUCAGUAUAUAUGAACAGAAAAAUUUUGGUGACAACCAGAUCUCCCGGUACAAGUUCCAAGCUGUACAGCAGAAAUAUCCAGGUCAUCCCUUCACUGCAUGAGACCCAAGGACUCACCAAUAUGGUCUUCAUGUAUUAAUAUCAUCCCCACCACCAUCUGGACUCUUCUGACGGAUAUUGCUAAUGGCUUCCGUUGCAAGCCGUACCAAACGUAGUAAUCCCUCUACAUCCUGGAAGUUAAAGUCAAGAGCCCUUUUAAUGGAAGAGAUGCAUUCGGAAUACUUAGAUUCUCCCACAGCAGCUGCAAAAGCAAGAUGUGAUCUCUUUGAUGCGUCCAUUGCAUUAUGUACAUCUUGUGUCUGCAAUUCAUCAAUUUUGAGUAUAUAGUUUGUUCAGUCAUCAACCCAUAAAAACAUUGCUAGUGAGAACUGUGAGUGAGUAAGUGAGGAGGGGGGAAGGGGUUGGAGGCGUGUUACAAAAUGGAAGCAGUGCUCAGGUCCCAAAUAUAAGGAAUGACAGAUUAAAAGUUUCAAUAGAAGAUCAAUGAAAACUCACAAAUUUCAGCAUCCGGACAAAAUUGGGACGAUUUCGAGCAGCAAUGACAUGGUUUCCAGCAACUUGGGGUGAGCUGACUCCCUUAGGUAAGGGAACCUUGUCUGCGGUUGAGGGAUUGUUUAAGUUGUCAACAUCAGAGGCAGAGGAAGACGGAGAUUCACCUGAUAGAAAACCAACAGAGAAUGGCAAAUAAGUUAUUAGAAAAAAAAAUUGUUACAAGAGCUUUGCGCCUUCUUUAACACCAAAGCAGCAAAAAUAAAAUUUAAUUUACCAGGAGGAACCAUUUGUAAAGCUGUUUGCAACUCAUGUCGGUCUCUGCCUGCACUGGAAUGCGAGGAGUAGAUCACUUUCAAAUAAGCCACCUCCAAGCAUUUGAAGGCCAAAGCAGCAGAAGCCAUGUCUUUGGAUUUUUCAUAUUCAUGAGCACAAAACCUAUAGAUAUUUUAAGUUAGAAAGGAAAAGCAGGGGGCUACAAAAAGUGACAAAAGCUCCCGAAUCAAAAUAGAAUUAAAAUCCACAAAAAAAAAAGAAGAAAAAAACAGUUAAAGAAACAAAUCUACUACGAGAAUCCCUGCAGAAAGGGAUGGCAGACAACAGAUAGAUUUGCAUAGUAUGGUAUAACACCAUAUACCUUGUGCAAAGAAAGAUGAGUCAGCUUCACCAAGCAUGAAGUCACAAAAAAGCUCCCAAUUUUAUAUAAUUUUUUUCUAGUGAAGUUACCUACUCCCCAAGGCAAAAGCACCAACCCCUUGGCCAGUACACUCUUUCAUCUACCUCCCAAACGAAAAGACCCUCACAAUCACACUAGAGAAACACAAAAUACAGGCUCCAAUUACUCCUAAAGAUUUCUGUUAAGUACCCUCCCAUAUUAAUUUGGGAUCCAACACCACACCAGCAUUCCAUGAGUGGUAGCAGUGUCUCACAUGCAAGGUUGGAGGGAUAUUAAUUUGAGGAUAUGAAGAAGUACAGCAUGACUCAAUUCAGGAAUGUUAAAAAAAAUGACUGAAAGGAUAUGAAAAAUGACAGUCACAUAGAUCGGUGCAUGUCUAGAAGGGUUAAUACAGCUCAAGUUUGACUUACUGGCAUAGUGCUGCAGUGCUUCUAUAAAUUUGCAUGGAUUCAUUAUGCUUGGCACUCUCAGUGUUGGCAGAUUCUAAGAGAGAUGCAGCGUGAAGAAAUUUCAGGACCGCCUGGAAGUAAAGCCCCGUACUAUCAUUUUCCUCAUUGUUCUGCAAAGAUCAACAUUAAAUACAAUUUGUACAGAAAGGAGCAGCAACAUCUAGUCAUGAAAAUAUAAUAGGGUAAGACCUUGUAACGAUCAGCAAGGUGUUUCAUAUCUUUAGCUUCUUUCAGAAUACACAUAUAGGCCGGGGUGGAAGAAUCCCUUCUAGCUGGACUAGGGGCAUCAAGAUCCCUAGGUCUAUGCCCAUUCUGUGCACGAUGUCUUGAACUAAUAUGCUGAGUUCCAUUCUGAGUAUCAGCUUUUCUGUUCCGCAUUUGCACCUUGACUGAAUCAUUACCUUCAGAGCCAUCUACUUGUAAUAUAUCUGCUCCAUUACCUUUGUGAGAACCAGAGACUGGUCGGGGACAACGAGUCAUUUCUGGUUGAGCUCCUCCAGAGGGUGGCAAGGGCAGUGACUUUCCCCUUGUCGAACCUGCAUCUACUCGGUCACUUCUUCCAGAAGGAAUUCUCUUUGAAGACCUUUCACUAUCAGAUUCUGGCUGCUUCUUCGGAGUCGAAAUCGCGUCUCUUGGGUAAAUAGCAUCUAGUCUAACAUCUGGGCCAUCAUGCCCCCCAAAAUUAGACUGGUUCUCCCUUUUGCUACUCUCAUUCAAGGACUUCCCCAGCAAAUCUUUUUUACUAACAUAUUUGUUCUCAGUUUCACCAUAUUUGUUCACCUUCUCCGGCAAUUUGUUUUUAACAUCUCUAGGUUUCAUUCCAAGUGAUGGUGAAUGGUCAUGCUGUUCAUUGACAACAUUAGAAUUCCUGGCCUUCCCCAUGUCCAAAUCAGAUUCGUAGCUCUGCUUGUCCUUUGACCGUGAAGAGUGGCUCUUUCCUGAAUUUCUUGGGCGAGACCCCAGAGCGUUAUAAUGGCUGCCAUUCCCUCUGUCUUCACCAGCAAAUUGACUUGGAACUAGUGGUUUAAUAGGAGAACGACUAUCUGGUCCUGAAUUAUCCAAAGCACCAUUCACAGGAAAAUUAUUCGUAAUAUCCGGAGAUGCUACAAUCUGUCCCCUAGCUUUACCACCAGAUAUGCGACUACGAUCUCUGUCCUGAACAUCAAGUACUGAAGGUUCAGACCUAUGAUAAGCCCCGGAGGGAACUUUAUCCUUUCUCGCUGUCCCAGAUCGAUCAAUCCUGCUGUCAUCUUCACCAUCUGAGCAUCGUUGUGGGCUACCUAACGACAAACGACCAGCAUCUUGUGACUCGUCCUUUGGCCUGAGGUCUCUAGGUACUAAUUCAUGCUUAUCAGGGUGUAAGAUUCUCAUAGGUGAUGAUGAAACCGAUUCUACAGGCGAACCUUUAAUUUCUUGAAAGCUGGAUUUGGUCUUUUGGGAGCCAGAAACUUUGGAAGAGCUUGAAGUGGCAGCCACAGAAACCUGAACAGAUCCCGAAUCCUUCUUCAAAGAAUCCAUACCAUUCUGACUCCGCUGAAUUCUAAUGCUUGUAUUCUUCGCAGAUUGUUGCUUCUUUAUAUGGCUACUCUUUUUGUCUGUUCUACCACUGCCUUUGCUUGCACUGGACUCUUUUGCCUCAGAUUUAGAUACUCUUGCCUUCUUUUCCUUCCUACAGUCAUUCUCACUAAACUCUUCCUUCACUGCAACGGAACGGUCUGGAAGGGAACCCUCAUGAAUUUCAGGAUAUUCCCUCAGUUUUCUCUUUUUCGGUCUAUCUCUGAUAACAUUACCCAUGCAAACUUCAUCUUUCACUUUGGUAAGAGUAGCAGCCCCUAGCCUGUCCUUAAGUCGAUCUUUUCCUGCUUCAGUAGUCAGAAAACCACUACUUGAGCUAGGACCAACCUCGCCAUCAGGUCCGUGGUGAUCUGAUGCCCAUUCUUCAUCAGUCAUACGCCUACCUUCGCUCUUGAUUUUCUUUGGAGCUCUAGAAGUAUCUGGAUCAAAGUCCCUUCUGUUCUUAAUCUUUAAAUUGUUGAUAUGACCUGUAAUGGAUGUUAUCAAAGAGUAUGUAAGAUUAAGCAUUAUCAGCAAAAUUUCAAAAGCACUAACAAAUUCAUGUAGUAAAUAAAUUACCUCCAUCAUAAGAGGAACCUAAAACUGUUUGCUUAUCUUUGUGCUUAUGCUUCCGUUUCUCCACUGCCAAGCCACUGGAAUUGCUUAACUGCUGAAAAUUGGGCUCGUUCAGAGGUGAAGAUUGGUUAACAUCAUUCAAGCUUUUACUCUUCAGUGAUGCCUGUAUGUUCUUCAUAGAGCCUGGCAGCAGGACAGAACCAUCUUUAUCACUUGCCUUUGACACUUCUUUCAAUCCAUUUUUUUUCAUCCCACCACCAGGGAUGGCAUGCACACCAAAAUUUUGGGGGUUUUGAUCAGGGUGCCGAAAAUUAGCCAGUGCCACACCUUCCAUAGAGCCACCAGGAUUAUUGAGAAGAUUAGUUUGACUCCCAGGUGCAGGAACAUGGUAUUGUGCAAUUAAGGCUUUUGUCUUCUCUGUUGUUUCCUCCUCCGUUACACUACACCGGUUCAUCCCAGGCCUGCAUUUGAAUCAAGAGAUCAGCUUCACAACGAGACAAAGAGAAAGAAAAACUGAAACUACUAGGCACUGAUAUGUAUAACUAACAUACAUCAAUGUACCCGUCUAGGGUAUGAUUGAUUACUGUGUAAUAGAAUGAAUGUAUGAUAAAUAGUGAAGGACUAGAAAGGAACUUACAGCCAAUUGAGCAUGCUACAUAGCCACUUCUCUGGUAGGUUGUCGGGAGUGGUACCAUGUGGAAGAAGCCGCCAUUUUAGACACUUGUCACACUGCACCCAAUAGUCUUCCAUUAAUGCAGGAGCCCCUGUUGCAGGAGCUGCAUCAGAAAUGGGUCCAUUUCCUGGGCGUUGAGCUAUAUUUGAAGCUGUAACAGGAUGUGAAUCAAUUGUCUUGCUAUUUGGUUUCUCUCUUGAUGAGACAUUAACUGCAUAUGCGCUUUUUGCAACAGCAUCAGACUCCUUAAGCUUAACUUCAGAAGGCAAUUGCAAUGAAUCAAUUAGGUUCUCUUCUUCUUCAUCCCCAAAGAAAUCUCUAUAGGUAUCCCUGCUUUUAUCAGGGCCCUUUCUCAAGCUUUCUGACUCACCAUUGGAUGUAAGCUUGUUUACAUGCGUACUCUUUCCUUUGGGCAUUGAAGAAGAACCGGCCCUGGAGCUUUCUUUUGGAAAGUCUGUAACUAGAGUCCUUGGAAUUUCUUUUGAUUUCCUUUUUUCGCCAGGUAAAAGCUGCUCCUUCCCAGAAAGAAAUCUCAUAUCAUCUACCUCAUGGGCUAAACCCUUCUGACUGCCCCUUUGCUUUGACUGGUCCAUCAUUUCAGUACUUAGAGAUUUCCUCCCUUUAGAAACAUUUGAGUCUGCUUUUGCUGAUUCAUUACUUUUCUCUUUGCGAUGGCCAUUUUUCUUUGGAGGUCUCGAAACAAUAUUGCUAGAACUUACUUUUCUAUCUUCAUGAACCUUUCCAUCCAAACUGGCUUUUCGCUUUUCAACCCAGUUUUGCUCUUGGUUGGAUGUUGGCUCCAUAGGCUCAUCUUCUGCUUGACAAGGGAAGCCUUUAUCCCUUACAACAUUCUUAUCUGCUUCUUUACUCUUUGUCACAUCAUUGACAGAAGAGUAUGAAUUGGAUAGAAGUGGGAGCUUCAACGUUUUAGAAACAAGCUCUUCGCAAGCAAAUGUAUCGAUAUCUUGAUCUUUUUUCGCCAGAAGCCGAAUUCCAUCCUUAUUGUUCCCACUCUUUGAUUCUGCAGAAAGAUCAUUUCUUUCAACUGAUUUUGUUUUCCUCGCCCCAGACACUUUUCCACUACCCUCCCUGGUAUUUGCUCCAUGUACUAGGAACCCAGAUCUUUCCGAGCCAUCCCUUGGAAGAGGAAGAGAUCUGACUUCUUUUGCAAUCAUUUCCUUUUCAGUUAAAUAAAUUAAAUCUUCAGGAAGAGGUGACAAAAGCAUACCCUCAUACACCGGACAGGAUGUCAUAAUCUGCUUCAGACCGUCAUCCAAAAGAAUAUUUCAGUCAAUGCACAUUAUGUUUGAAUAAGAUAACAACUAAAUAUUUCAGGGAGAUGAUCACCUGGAGAAUACUAGUGGGAGAUUCAAAUAGGGCAUCUUGAGGGUCAUGAGAUAUUCCUUCACUAUCUGAAGAAUCAUCAAGUGAGGAAGAUGGUGUACCGUCAAGGCCAAGCCCACUAUAGAUAUCAUUUUUUCGUGUCGACAAGUUAUCCGAACCCACUUUAAGUCGUACUUUGAGAGUUUUCUGGUCUGGUAUUUUAAUAGGUUUCUUCGUUGCAGAUUCCUGUUCAGGAGGAUACAAAUCAGCUCGAUUAGAUGAUACACUCACGUCUUGUUUGACUGGAAUGUUUGCUGAUGGUGCCUUAGGCGCAACAAGUGAAAUAGAACUGGUAGAAGCAGUUCCAAGUCCCACAGACUGAGAUACAGCAUAACAACUUGCAUUGUUACGAUGGCCACCCUGUGUGGUAAAGCAAACAAAUGCGCUCAAGAACAAUUAUUCUGAAAUAAAUAUGGAAUAUAUGUAACAAAUAGAAACUAAUAUCCUCAUUAAGUUGAUACCUCGAGUUUUAGACUGUUGGGAGAUUUGGGUAAGCCAUUAUUCUGAAUUUUUGCUGGAGUCCUCGGAUGAGACCAGACUGGAGACCGCUGAUAGCUAGGUAAAAAUGAGCCAUACCCACCGAACUUUGCCCCUGUUACAGUAAAAUUAUCAAAGUUCGUUAAUAACAGAGAAGAGACUACAAUUAAGGCAUACCUUAAAAAUGAAAGAAGUUACGGCUCCACUAUUUGACUUACCUAGAUUCUCAGCAGACACCCCACCUUCAAAAUCUUUCUGGAAGUGUCCCAAAACAUCCUGAAUUUUAUCAUCCUAAUGUCAAGCAGAGCAAACACAUAGUUAAGUACAAAGCUCAUUCAAAAGACAGUAAGUAAUAACAAGGGCUAGAACAAGAUGGCAAUACUUCCAUAACAGUUCGGGUGAUAUUUACGUAUCUUUUAAUAUUUGAGAUAAUACAUUGUUCAGCUAUCUACUAUUAAUCCCUACAUCAGGAACCAGCAGUUACUCUCAAUUACAGAUACAGAAAGUAUGAUCGGACACUUUCAGUCAUAUCAUAGGUAAGUCCCAGAAACCUUGAUUUAUAACAUUCGAAUAGUGCAAUCCCACAAAAUUUGUAACUGGAUAAGAGGCACAGCACAGUCAACAGUACUCGAGUAACAUUAUUAUGCAGCAACUAAGUUUUACCAUAACCAGUCACCAGUGCAUAAAACAUUUCCAUAAACCACCUGAAACAACCAUUUCAAUACCUCCCAAUAACAAGUCAAUGAAGAAUACUUUAGCUCAUUGCAAAAUGGAUGAAUCUCAAGCUAAACACCACAAUUACCUUACAUUAACCAAUCCCCAAGUAACAAAACUCCUAAACUACAUCGUCUAUUCUCGAAUCAUAAAUCCAAUCACACGCUCCACUGCCCUCUACAGUUUUCAGAUUAACAAAAUUCAUAACCCAGAUUUCAAUCAAACACCGCAGCUGGGAUCUAACACCAGCAAUUUACAAGUCAACCCCCAUGAAUUCAUUACCAAAAUGAUUAAAUACACAUAUACAGGUCUUACGAUGUAAGCAAGAUGAACAUCAGGGUCGAUAUUCGGAUCGUAUUCAUUGAUUUGAGAAGAACAAGCCUCGCCUUCUUCAAGCUCGGAAUCGUCCAUCUCUCUCGCACCUCCUCCGAAUCCUAACCCUAGCCCCUUCCUCCCAUCCCUACCCCCCACAGAAAUCAUCCACACCCCAAAACCUACCUACCUUCUCUCAAAUCCUCCCUCAAUUGAAAACCCAAAGCUCCCUCCGAUCCAUUCGACCGGAAACUCCCACCGAUCAGUCAAAUUCAGAAAAAAAUAAAAAUAAAGACAGAAAUCGGAAGCAGAAAUAGUUUCUAAAAACCGCGAAGAAUUACGCAGGUGUUUUUAUUUUUGGACAAAAGGAAAAAAGUUGGGAGAGGAAUUUGAUGUGUUGUGUGCGCUUGAAAUUGAUUGAGCAGGAGUCCCUCCUUUUCUUUCUCUCUCUUUCUUUCUUCUUUCUCUCUGGUUUUUGGUGUUUACAGCAGGAGGCUGCUUUGGUUUUUUUUUUUUCCUUUCUGUUCAAGCAAAAUAUUAUAAUAAUUGAUUUCUGAUUGUUUAGGUGUCCAAAUAAGAUUAGGAGGAAGGAGCCGGGAUCUGACCGAGACACCGCCGUUUUGUUUCCCGUUACGGUCACGUAUUUAACUCUAUUUCUAUUUUGCCCUUUUUUUCCUUUUUUUUGUUGGAAUGGCUUUGUCCGGAAGAAUUGGAUGUAUUUAGAUGCUGCAUGGUGGGUGUUGCCACGCGCCUAGGUAAGUUUUAAAACAGUAGACCUUGUUUUAAAUGUCUAUUUAAAUUCAAAAGAAAAUAUUCAAAGAUUGUCUAUUGCAUGCGUGAUUAGUGUGUCUGCAAGAAGGUUGUUUUAUAACGGUUACGAUAUUAUGUUAUACUUUUUUUUUUUGAAAGGUGAUUUGACAUUCAAAUCAUAUCUACAUCUAACUAUCUAACGUUGAAUAUAAUAAAUAUUGUUUGACGUGAUUAACUUUAGACUUUUUUUUUAAUAUUGAAUAUGAUGGAUGAUGAUUCAAUUCAUAGUGUACAUUAAUAUUCGUCAAAUGCUCUAACUGUGCAUUUCAGUAUAGUGUGUCUAACCAUUCUUAACAUCUUCGUGAUUUAGACUCAAGUUAAAAGUUCUUCACUCGACACAAUGUAUCUUUGUUUUCAAUGAGUGUAUUUUAAUUUGCAUGUUAAAGUGUUGGCAAUUUUCUGUUACUUAUGUACAACGUAAAUGAAGUUGUUAAUAAAUUCUUAAAAACAAACACCGAACAAAGAAAAGAGUUAAGUCGUAAAUAAAGAACUAAGUUCAUGUAUAUUACCUUGUGUGAGAGCACCGGCGGAGCCAUAAAAUACACAAGGAGGGGGGGGGGGGGGGGGGGGGGUCAAUAUAGGAGAAUGUUAUAUUAAAUCUUCUAAGUUAGCUAGAUGUCAAACACAAGAUACAUAUAAAGCCAAGGUUUUAAAGGUUUUGAGAGGUGCCAUGACACCUCUUGGUCUAUGUUUAGCUCUGUUAGUGUGUGAGAAAGUUAGUAUCGUUGUUGGUAAAAAAACCCCCGCAUAAUAGGAUUUAGUAUGGAUGCACAUAUUAUUAUUAUAGUGUCAUUUAUAAUAAAUGUUAAACUCUAUAGAUGUGGUAAGACCGUACUUUAUCUAAGGUAGUUAAACUGAAUCAUAAAAUAAGAAUAAGAUAUAUAAAAGAAUAAAAUGAAUAUUAUUAUCAUGUACUAUGACCAUUUGAUCCCAAUCAUAAAAUGAAGUAUAAUUAUUUUAUAAAUAUCAUGUGUAAGCUUAUUACAAGCAGAAUAUUACAAACAGUCAAACAGAUGAAUGCAUCAUCAGUUCAAUACCAUUGGUUUGAUUCAAUUGUUUGGGAUAAUGGUAACUACUAAUAACCUCUCGGAAUAAGUAAAUUUUUUGGAGAGAUAAUUGGGUUAAUAUUUCCCGUCCUGGUAUAUCCGCGGCAGUGUGGUUCAGGACUCCUGGAAAGCGAGUGGGGGCAUACAGUCUUUGUGAAGCCACUUGUCAGUUGGCCAAUCCGACAUGUUCUUUAGUUAUACCUGGUCCACCUGGAUACAUGUGUUUCAUUUUCUCCACGAUAUAUUUACUUAUGAGAAAUUUUAAAUACACACAUUUAAUCUCUUAAUAUACAUUUUUAUUAUUUUAUAUUUUUAUUGAGAUUUUAUAAGUAAAUUAAAUGACCAAAACAGACAUCUAUUAUUUUUUUUUAUAAAAACUCUAUAAAUAUUCUUUUAAACGUUUUCUACCCUAAAAUCGUCGAAAGCAUGUCUUCUCUCCUAACCUCAACUCUUCUCCACAAUUCAUUUGGGUUGUCUUUUGUUUUUUUGUUUUUGUAUAUGUAUAAGCUUUAGUUUGAUCUUGCAUAUCAUAUUGUCGAGUACUGCAUCUUUAUCAUGACAUGUUUUAUCGAAUAACUAGUUAUCUAUGUUUAAUAGCGAUUGUACUUCUACAGCUCUACUAGCUUGUGAAUUUUGAAAACUUGUAUUGGUGAUUUGGAGUUGGGAUAUAACAAUAAUCAUUUGAUUAUAAAUUAAACGAUGAUAACCAAAAAUUUCUAACAAAAUUAGAUGAAAUAAUAUGUCAAAAGAGGUACCAAAUAAUAAAUAUACAUUAAUUAUAUUAAAUAAUGAAAUAUUUCAUAAUUAAGGGCAUUUUAGACAGUUUGAGAUGUGUAUUAAGUAUAAUAUUAAAAUGAAAAACUUGAUAGGUGGUGUAUUAAAUAAAUGGUGUGUAUUAAGAUAUUAGGGGUGUGUACUUAUUUAGAAGGCAACAAAAAAGAAGAAAAAAUUAUGGGGAAAGAAAAGGUGAAAUUAAUUGGUUAGGAUCAUCUGAUUAUCUAAUAAUAGUAAAGAUUAUGAGAGAUUUGUUCCCAAAAUCGUGAUUUGCUUAUGUUUAACUAUUUGACGAAUCAAGAACCGUAUUUAAUUGUAUUUAUAUAUGUACUUUGAGCUGUUAGUUUUUUUGAAAAUUCGAUUUUUUUAUUAUUAUUUUUUAUAUAUUAAUCGUACUGUAUGAGAGACCUUUAGAAAUAAUAAAAUACGAAUGACUCUAGCAAUAUAUAUCUCAUAUAACUUAUAAGCUUAGUUAUAAAAGCUUUAUUCAUUUUAUUCGGAAUAGAGAUUUGAGAAUGAGACAUGUGACUUUUCUAAUUUUAGUAAUGGGUCCAAUUCACGUAAUCAACCAUCUCAAGCUUGGUUACGCUCAACUAUCCUUGAAUUUAGAUUCACCGGUAAACCAAUUAAGAAAAUAUGUAAAUUUUAACUACUUUAUCUGUGAAAAUGACUUUCUAAUGCAAUAUAAUAUAAAUAUAAAUAAUAGAGGUAAAGUAUUUACUACUGAAAACAUUUACCGACUGUAAAUAUUAUGAGGGUAAAUCGCCCACCGUUUGGGCACAAACAAAGACAAAAGAGGGACUCGUGUUUGUUGUAGGGAACAAAAGUCAGAGGUUGACCCACGUGCGUAAUUAAUAUUAUGACGUGUCUGAAACCUUCUGUACUGUUUUUUUAUUUUACCCAAACAAGUCUUAACGAUAUUAGUGUGCAGUCAGUAUCUUUGUUAAUUUCUUCCCUUUUUUACUGGGCAAAGAAGAGGGCCUGAAUCUGAAUCAUUUAUCUUUACUACCCAAGAUGGAUAAAAGUAGUAAAUGAGAUUCAUGGUACAAUGCCAUGAAGGUGGAGCUAGAGCAGGUGUUUAAUUAAUGUAAAAUGAAUACAUGCAUGCAUUUGGUUUUGUUGUGAUGGUUUACAAGAUAUGAAGAUAUAAUUUCAUAAACAGAAAAACACUCAUGAAUCAUAAAGGUAAGUAAUAUUGUGAUCAACAUGAUAAAAAGUUUCAAUAAACUCCGUCAACUAUAAUAAUCCUCUGAGUAGGUGGAACAUACAUUAAUAUUAUUUAGAUCGAAUAUCUCACCCACAUUACAGGGUUGUAUAAACAAAAAAUGUUGUGUUUAACUUACUAAUAUAUGAAUAAACUAAAUUUCUAAAAGAGUAAUGAAAAAAUAAGGACCACUCAAUUGUAAAAGAGUGAGAAAAAGAAAGACAUUGCAUAUGACUUGAUUCUUCCUCCAUAUCUUAAGGAUUAGAUUUACAAAAAUUUAAUUGAUCCUUCAAAAAACCUAAUCUUUUUUCAAGAUUAUGUAAAUAUUGAAAAGUAAAGUCAAGUUUGGUAUUGAGUUUUGGGACAUAAAAUCAUUUAUAAUCACAAUUUUGAAUAUAUUUCACAUUUUGUAAAAUUUUAUGAGGUGCUUAUUUAAAUUUUUUUAGGCUAAAUAACCAUGAUUUUAAAAAGCAUGUUAGAGGUUGUUUUUUUUAAAUUAAGUUUGUUUUUAUUUAAAUUUUUUUUUAAAUUGAGUCUUCACAACAAUAUCAAACUAAGAGUAAGUAACAUAAAAUCUCUUGAUAUAGCUGUGAGCCUUCAAGACACUCCGUUAAAUACUUCAAUUCUUAUUUAAUAUAUAUAUAUAUAUAUACACGUUGUUAGUUUUUCAUAUAGUCUUAACCAGACAUGCAAAGAUUUUAUAGACCCAGAAUCUAGUUCCUUGACGCAUGUAAAAUGCACCAAUUAUGCAGUGCAACACAAUGUCUGGCCGCUUUUCUAACUUCGGGAAUCGAGCUUAAGUUGAGAGCACACUCAACUAGACAAAAAUCAUUAGACCACUUGCGGUGGUUAUACCGUAUAUAUUUGUCAGCUAAGCCUGGGUAGCUAAUUAAAAAAAUAUGGCUAAUUAAUGGUCCUUUUUUGAAAUCAAAACGGAGACCAUCAAUUAUUUACUUAACAAUCUAACAACAUAGUAAAAUAGUAUGACAUUAACGAUCGAUUAAAUUAACACGCAUGUACUAGUUCCGCUCCGUCAAGUAAUUGAAGGAAACUAAACCUGUACACUGAAUAACAUCAUGUGUGUUAAAUGAACGAAAUUAUUGCUACUACACUUUGAACUCAAACUCACACACAUAACACUCACAAAAAGAUUCACUCCCAAAACAGAAAAAAGCAGCGAGAAGAAGAAUGUGAAUCAUGAGAAACACGAGGUACGUCAAGUAGCCAUCAUCACGAGCAGCGUCUGGCGCCGUCUGCUCAUUCCGUACUAGAGAAUUCAAGGCAUCCAAUAUGUGUGGACUUGUUUCAUCCAUCCAAACAAUAUUAACCCCAAAAAAGCUCCAAGAGAUUAAGGACAUCCAGGUUCAUUGUGAGCACCCAGGUCACCAAUUAUUAUUCUAAUUCCUGUUUUUAUUCAUGGGUUUAAUAGUUGGAAUUAGAUAUUUGUAUUAUUAAGUGCCGUCAUGCAUUGUUUCUGGUAAUUAAUCAAUAAUAUUGGGGACCUACUAGCUUUGUCCCUCCAAGUUAUGACCAGAAUAUGCUCAGGUUUGUGCUGUAUUAUCUUGGCAUAUCUGUUCAUACUUUUACGGUUUACAAUACAGAUCAGCGAAAUGUAAAACCUAGGUACCCUUUUACUAAAUCCGAUCCAUGGUGAAAAAUGACAUCUUCUUAAAUAGUUUCGUUUUAACAAUGUUCUUUUUUUUUAUUAACGUAAAAGGCUUUUUAGACCCAAUGUCAAGAUUCAAGCCUAGAUUGAGAGUUACACCCAACUAAACGAGUACCACUAUACCACUCACAAUGGUUUCUUGUUAAAUAGUUAUUAUCACAGUUACACACCCAACAUUUGAUCCAGUUACUAGGGUAAGUAAAAAAGUGAAACGAAACAGUCAGCCAGAUGAUAUGAAUUGAAUUGUAACGAAAAUGUUAAAAGCCAUUACGAUAGUGAACGUGUUGUAUGUACGGAAGUCAUAUGAGAAUACGGUUAGGAUUCAACGAGAUUAGGAUUCCUAGUCCAAUCGAAUAAAAAAUGAGGAAUUUGAUUCUAAGAAUGACUCCUGCUGCAUCUUUGGACGAAUAAUGGUACAAGUGAAUGGGAUCGGAAGGACAAGUCUUUCUAUCUAUUUGUUCUAUUAAUUCUCAAAUUAUUAUGAUUAUUACUAUCUAUUUUUCUCUUAGUGGUACAUCCUACUAUGAAAAAGCUUCAUCAACAGACAACAGUUAAGCGAGUAUAAGAAGUGAUCUGUAAUUUGACCUCCUUAAUUGAGGAGAAAUCAUUUGGAAGAACCUUCAAACUGAUCUCGCAGCAGCUCAUACUUCCUAAGCUCGGCUGUGGAGAGUGAGGGCGAUAGCUCCUUUAAGACCUAAGAUUAUCGGGGACAAAGGCAGUCAGUAGAUGCACCAGAAACUGGAUUUAGAACAAUUCUUAUUUGUCUUGUAAAAGCACAACAGUACUUGUGAUUAACUCAGACACUUAAACACAGUUCAGAAAAAGACCGUCGUACCUUGACAAAAUCAUCAUAUUCAACAAUAACAGAGUCAGGUUGGUCAUCUAUGGAAGAGGAAUCUGAAUCUGAACUCAAAACCUGCAUGAAUGGCAAGAAGCACGUCAGAACAUCCCUUUAUCUAGUGAGUAUUAUAUGAUAAAAGCGUAAAGCUUAUGAACAUUGUAUCUUUAUAUAAUCCAGAAUAUUGUUGAGAAUGCAGGAGCAUCUAGUAUUCUGACUUUCUGAGUGUUGCAUCUUGAUUUGUACAAUCAUGGGUCUCUCCAGUACUGUAUAAUUGAUUGUCUACGACUCCAAUAUUAACAGAACUGUAUCAGUCUCUUUGCUUUACUAACCAGUUAAGCUCCACUCACCAAUGCAUUUCCUAUUUCAUAACUAUAAUUGAACACACCUCAAAAUCAAUCCACGUCCUUUAUCAAAUAUGAACUACCCCUCUACACCCUGAAUAUAUUGGACAGCUUACACCAAUACUUUUGGUUCAAUCAAAACCAACCAUAAGCUCUGGUGUUGACUAGACUCACCUUACGCUUAGCUGCACUAAACCAAGCAUCCGCACACAAGGCAUACAUGUCUGCACCAGUGAAGGUUGGUGGACAUUUCUUCGCUAUUGAAUAAAGUGAAACAUCUUCAUGUAACUUAAACUUUCGGGUAAGAGCUUUGAGAACCCUAUAUAAAAAAGGAAAGAAAAAGAAUCAUCAUACUGACAACAAAAUUAUUCAAUGAUGAACUUACGUAAAAACCAACCGUUCUCUGUAAGAUGGAUCAGACACAACUCCAACAUAAAGCAACUUAUCAAACCGGCCAGGCCGUAGAAGUGCUGGGUCAAUUAGAUCUGGUCUGUUACUUGCUCCAAUUAUAAACAAGUCCUACAUUAAACCAAACAAGGCUUUUCUGUCUUAGUUGAGGAUAGCAAAAUACCCUGUGAGAUAUUGGAAAAAAGAAAAAGAAAAAUAACAAGCAAGAGACAGAGCAAACACCUGAGUUGAAUCAUUUAGGCCAUCAAUCUCUGCAAGCAUCUAGUGGAACAGAAAGUCACAGUCAGUAUCAAGGAAUAAAUGCAAAUUUUCCCAGUCAUAAAGAAGGAUGCUUCACCUGAGAAACCACUCUGUCCAUGACACCCCCAGAAUCCCCAGAUGCACCUCGGGCUGGAGCAAGGGAAUCAAGUUCAUCAAAAAAUAUAACACAUGGGCGUGCUGAUCUAGCCUGCAAAGCAUGUGCAAUACUGCUCUAGUGUGAGCCAAAAUAGAUGUUCUGAAAUUCAAGUAGAUAAACAACAAUAAACUUCUUCCAAAAGGCUAAUGAUCAAGCUGGAAUGUUUUACCUUCUGGAAAAUGUCUCUGAUAUUCUUUUCUGACUCUCCUAUGUACAUAUUAAUGAGUUCAGGUCCUUUUACACUGAGAAAAUUUAGGGAGCACUCAGUUGCAACAGCUUUUGCCAGCAGAGUCUGAGGGUUGAAGUCAGAAAAACAAAUGAGUUUAACAAAUCUCUUGGGGUAAAUGAGAGGGAAAAUAGAGAAAACCUUAGAGGAGUAACUGUAACUUACUUUCCCUGUUCCCGGUGGACCAUACAGUAGAACACCAGAACGCUUUCGUAAGCCAGAUGAAAACAAGUCCUUGUGCAGAAGAGGUAACUAGAACAAACAACAAAGAAGAAUUGAGUUGAUAAAGCGUUCCAAAUUCCAAAUUGCUGGAAUCUUCCUGGUGGACAACAGGUAAAAAGUGUAGAUACAACAGACCUACCUGUACAGUAUCCAGGAUUGAUUUCUUCACAUCCUCAAGACCACCAACAUCUUCCCAUUUGACGUUAGGAACCUAUAGAGAAUAUGAUUUAAAUUGCAUUAGAUGUCCUAUAAGUAUACUACUUCCACGUUUGUUGCAAUAUAAAACUCAUUUUUUAGCCCCACAGAAGAGGACACACUUAGACAUCACCCAAUACAGAGAGCUUGAUAGGAAAGGACAAUAUAUCAUUCCUCGAAAUUAGUCUUGUCUCUCAAUUACCUUUGGAGUACCAAGGGCUGAUGCAUUCCUUUUCUUUGAUCUGUCCAAUGCUUUUGUCAAGCUUUCUUUUCCCAGAAUCGGAGAUGUGACUUCACAGGACUUACUGUCUGAUUCGACAUAAUCUUUGAGAGAAGCAUCUGAUUCUUCAGACUUCACUGUGUCAAUCUGAGCAUUGCCUUUUGGAAUCAAGUUUGCACCAGCAUCAGCAACCAAUGCACAGAUAUCUCUGGGCAUGAAACCAGAUGUCUGUGCAACUAUAUCCUUUAUAAGAUCCUCCGAAUCAGUCUGCAAAAAAACAAUUCUGAUCCUUUUAAGUCACGAGAUGAUCAAAAGAAACUACAAUUAAUACCAUGUAGAAUACAAAGGCGUACAGAACUUGUUUAUGGACUUCAAGAUUCACAUUCAGUUAAAAUCUGAAAAGUGACAGAUGGAGAGUUUACCAUUUGACAACACUGCAUUAGGCAUUACAUAUAAUUAUAUAAAAAAUUGCUACCCGAAGACAUAUUUAAGCGAUGUCAAUACUUGGUGCGACCAUGAUAAUUUUUUAACCACACCAUAGGAAUGCGGCAAACCAUCAAAUUGGGGGGGGGGGGGGGGAACGGUGGUGGAUAUAACACUUGUUUUGGUCAUACCCAACCAUCGAAAGCCAGAGGAAAAAAAGUAUUUAAGCAUCAGAAUCACGGUAUCAUCAAGGGAGAUCUUGACUGAAAAUUAUUAUACCCAAUCAAUAUAGAUGCUGAGCCCCAGUGCUUGACAGGAGCUCAGAUGAGAACAGGUGUCAGAUAAAAAACAAUUCUUGGCCCACCAGGUAGCAGCUUAGGCUUUUGAAAUCAAUAGCAAACCAACAAAACGUAUGCAUCAUAAUCAUAUUUAUAAUAGACUGCACACAUAAAAGGUUAGGAUUUUCCAACAAAACUUAUGCAUGAUAUACUUCUAAUAGAAAACACAUAUAAAAGGUAAAGAGAAACCAAACAUAUUUUUUACAUACAUUAGAAAGGAAUUCGGAAGCCUUCUGCAAAGACUCUGAGACCAUUUUAACCCUUUGUUCUUCAGUCAAUGGACCCAUACUUAUUUCAUGGCUAAAGCAACGUCUAAUAGUUGGCGGUAGACCUUCUGAACUGUCAGCAGCUGCAAUUAACAGCACUUGAUGCCUACCUACUUUCCCAGAAUCCUGCAUGCAGUGUAGUAUUAUUAGGUUGGUCAGAUUAGAAAACAAAAAACAACAUAGCAAUCAACAAAAGAGGAGAAGUCACACAUGAAAAAUGAGUGAGGACUAGAAUUUACAUCAACUAAUGAUCAUUUCUCAGAACCGAAAUUAAUUAAUCAUACAUAAGAAUAACCCAAGACACAAAAUAUGGCACUAAAGCCAUGUACUUACAGUAUGACCAUUUUGUUUUUGUUCCAUAUCUCCAGAAUCAAAAAUUGGCUCAGUGAAUUCCCUUAUAAGUGAUGCAACUUCAGAAGUGAUGCCAACUUGAUCAUUUGGUGAACCUUCUUGCAAAUUCCGGAAAACAUCAAAAUGGCGGAGAAGAAGUAUAGUUGGCGAGUAUCUGAAAGAACAUUGCAUAAGAACGAACUGGAACAACCAUUGAAAGUAGGAAACUUAGGUGCAACAAAAUUGAAGGAUAUGGCAGAGAAAGUUCUCCCAUCAAAUGAUAUAAUGGAGAAGGAUAAAAUAAGGAUAGAGUAGUAUGACUGUUUUCUCAUAUAUCAUCGAAGAAAAGUUGUAUAGCUAAUUAGUGAAACAAUAGGUAACAAUAACUGCUGCUGUCAAGCAUAUAUCAUAAAAAUGCAGUAGUAACAGAGGAAAUUUGGGACCUCUAGCAUGUAUCAUACUCAAAAAAUGCAUUGCUUUACCUUUGAGCAGCAUUCAAGGUUUGGGCUAGUGCAACAGAAAUCUUUUUUUCAGAUGACGUCGUCAGAUUAUGACAGCUAUAUUCAACUACAUGCAGGCCCAAUCGACGAGCAACAUAUCUAAUAACCGUUCUCUUCCCACAUCCUGCACCAAGCAUCAAAUAACUACUCAAUGACACUAAACUCAUGUGCGCAUGAAACAUACAACUUAGGCAACUCAUCCAGGGUAAUCAUUCUUUUCCAUAAGUGGUAAUAGGUUAAAGAACUAUAUUACAUAUUGAAUGCUUAAUCCCAAGGGAUCUUGUUAGAGAGUAGAGACCUUGCGAAAUUAAAUAUAAAUGCAACCAUCAAGUGUUCAUGACAAAAAGGAAAGCUUCAAUAUACCUGCCAAUCCAUACAAUAGGACAGAAACUCUGAAUUUUGAGGAUAGUGCUGAGGGGCACAGAAGCGGAGUAAGUAUGGAGGCCAACAUUUUCACUGUGUCCCCUUGCAAAGGUACAAAACCUUUUUGUCCAGCAAUCAAUAAAUCAGGGGGCACAGCAGAAGAGACGCUUCCUCCAAGCACAAGGGCAGUUUGAGAACGGUUAACUCGGAGAAUUGGUUUGUCCAAAGGUUCCAUAGCCACAACCUAAGACAACAAAUGACACGGUGAUUGUCAUUAUCACAUUUGUUGACUAGAAAUUGCAACUGAUGAAAAGCACUGAGAAUUCACCUUGAAAUAGAUAGUGUUAUCAACCCCAUUUUCCAAACUUUGGUCGCAAGGAACGCAAACCAUUGACUUGCAAUUCCACUUUAUACAAACACUGAAAACAUCACCUCUUGCUAGAUACCUAUCAACCUCAAAGUAGCUAUGCAGUGCCGAAUCUAUCAUUUCUUGACGAUCUUCAUGUUCAACAGCCGAAUUCCCUCUAAGAGAGUCAAGACUACCACAUUCCGGUACCUUCACAAACGAAGCCCUCAAGUGCGAAGCAUAUCUCGGCAACUCCAAAUGCGGCUGUAUCCCAAUCACAGAACCCCCAAUCCCUUUCCCACUCGCCUCAUCAUCCACCCCAUCCCCAAAAUAAGACGCCAACGCCGCUUCCCCUCUGUGAACAAGCGAUUUCAAGCACAAUGUAUGCAAGUCAAUGUUAAACGCCAACAUAGGCGACAUAUACGCAACUUCCUGAUCUAACAACAUGUGGCCAUUUCCAGGCAAAGUGCAACAAGGCAGAACAAGCAUUGCGUGGGAAGACUGGCCAGCAGAUAGUUCAGUGUUCUCGGAGCGGUCCGGUGGAUCCACAACAAUGACCUGAGCAAUUCUUUGUAUGUUUGUCUCCAUAUUCUUCACAAGCACCUUGUUUAUACAAAUCAAAAUCAAAGGAAAAAAAAAAACACUAAAGCAUCAAUUACUUGCUGUGCAGAAUUUUCCACAUGAAAUUAACGCUAAAAUUGAAGUAAUUAAAGAAAUUACAGCUCCUCCUACAAUUGAAAUCCGAAGAAUUAAAGAGUAAAUUUAGCAGAGAGAAAAGAGUAGAUGGAUUUGGAUACCAGGGAGCCGGAGGUGAUGUAGAGGCGUUUGAGGAGAGAAGUGGAGAGGCCGACGAGAGCAGAGUCGUCGAGAGAAGCCGAUUUGGGGCUCCGGUCGACGUAGAAUCGGAGAAUUCCCGGCGGAAGCAGCUGGAAGCUGGUGGUGACGUCAUCGGAGGCGGAGAGUGGGUGAUCGUCGCCGGAGGUGAGGCCUCCCGGCGGGGAAGAGAGUAGGGAUUUGAUGAGAGUUUUAGUGGAAGUGAGUACUAGUGGCUUCCUCCUCCCCACCAUUGGAAACUAGUGAGCUCUCUCUCUCUCUCUCUCUCUUUGGGGAACAAGUUCAAAUUUAGUUGCAUAGUAGUAUUUAUAUGAAGGUAGAGAGAGAGAGGUGGGUUGGAUUAGAGUGAGGAGCGCAUUUCGAUAGAAAGUAAAAAGGGACAAAAAAGUUAAAAAUGGAGAUGCGGGGUAUCGAUCCCCGUACCUCUCGCAUGCUAAGCGAGCGCUCUACCAUCUGAGCUACAUCCCCAACUUGACAGCUCCGGGAUUAUGCGGAUUAUUAACCUUCAUAAAGAAAAGAAAUGUGAAUUAUGAGUGAUAAAAUAUUGUGUGGCAAAAGUUUUAGUGUUUCAAAGUAAUGAAAUUCUAGAGUCCAAUAAAGAAUGUUGUUUUACGAUUGUAAGAAUUCAGUUGUACCAACUUUUCUUUCAUAUAGAAAGAGGUAGCGGAAGCUUUGUGAUUACAAAACAACUCUUAACAUGGUAUAAGGAAAGGUUGUUGUGUUGGAAGACGGACAACCUUAGCUUCUAUGCGUGCCUGAUUUGGAGGAAAGAAUCUUGCAAGAUAUGGAUAUAGACUUGUGCAAUCUCUAUGAAUGUAGACCCAUCAAUAAACCAGGUAGCACAAACAGCUCUUCAACUAAGCUCAAGUCCUCAUCUCCAUAGCUACCUACUCAUCCAUACAAGGCAGCUUGUGCAAUCAAGUCCAAUGACCUUUUUCAAUGACUAUACAAAACUGUUUGCCUGUCUCUCUCUCUCUCCCUAAUAUGUCUUCAAUCUGAUAGAAACAACCAGCUGGGAGAAACAAAAUGAACAAAGUUUCAAUUCCACAUAGAAGAUUGAUCAAUGAUGGAGCUUUUCACAAUAUAUUUAUUGACAGAUCCACAAAACCAACAGUGUUGAACUGUUGAUUAAGUUGCACAACUGCAGAUUUAUGCAUCAGAGCCUUAAAUAGUUAAAGCAUGUGAUCGGGUGCAUGUAGGUGCCCUUAUAAUUACUUCUGCAAUUUUCAAGCCGGCCUGUUGGCUUAACAGGCCUAUCAAAGCAGCAAGGAAAGUGUGCAUAUGAUGUGCGCUCUGAUCCUCCAGUUCUCUCCGAAGCAGGCUGCUGCUGCAUGUUUAGUUUGCUCUUCAACCAACCUCAACCCAGUAGCCAGCAAUAUAGAGUUGCUACUGCAUUAAAUCUACUAAUGACUGUUUCUAAUGAAACUAGAGAAGAAACAUGUAAAUAUCUCUUACAUUAAUGUUAUCUACUAGGUUCAGUAUCAGCUAAGCUAAUUUUUCAUUCCUCCAAUGCAAACUGAUUUCGUUUACCUUCAUCUUCUUCGACCAUUAUAGAGUAACCCUAAAGCUCUGGAAUCAAGAUCAAAGGAUGAUCCAUAGCACCACACCAGGGUUGUUGGUUCUUAAACCAGUUUAAGUAGAUAACUGGAUAGAGACGAACCGAGUCUCUAAUGAAACCAAUAAGAGAAUGAUAACUGCAGCAACUAUAGUUUAGCUUUUCACAUUUUUGACAAACCAUAAAACCAGUAAGAGCCACAACAGAGCACAUUCCAUUGCUGCCGAUCAAAUACCUAAUUGUUAAUGCCAAUUUGAUGUAACAGGACAUGAUAAAUAAGACAGUGAUUCCCUUAAAGGAACAGCUAUUUUGUAGACACUAGUUGACAAACCUCUUUCAAAUCACCACUAGGCUUCUUCACAAACUUUCUUGCAGCACCUCCAGAUUCAAAGCUACCCCCCCAGAAAUGUUGCAGCGUCACCAAGAUCAUACAUCCUGCACAUAUACUUUGCCUUGGUAUACAUCCAACAAUUGAGGUACUUGGUCGAGAUAUCUGGUGACAAACCUACUAAAGAAGCACUCCUCUGAAGGCACAAACACAUAAGACAAACUCAACUUCUUCUCUUCUAUCAGUCCUUUCAACAACAAAACUCUAACAACCGAACACCGAGGGAUGAUUCUCUUCUCCAAGCUGUACACAAAAACAUACGGAACCUCCGCAAUUUUUCCUGAUUCCCAUCCCAUCUUGUUCACUAAGAAAUCCAUUGUCACCAUUAUUUUCUUCUCAGACACCAUCAUACACAGUGGAUGCCUCUUGAAGGCAGAAAGAAUAUCAUUAUCCGACCAACCCCACCUCCUAUAAGCCUCUUCCUUAUGUCUCCAUGUUGUUUUCUUCCAGGAUAAUACGACCAUGGCUUGCACAAAGUUCACAUUUCCCGGGUCAAAUCCCAUUUCUGCGACUUGGCGGACUAAUUGACUGAAGAAUUCAGGCUUUCUCGUCACAGUCUUACUAAAACAUGCUACCAACCGCGCAAGAGCCGAGUGGGGCAUGCCCAACUCUGUAACAAGUCUAAUAUUGGGUUUAACAUUCUUGGAUAGAUUUUCCAAGAAAAUGGAUGAGUUCUGUUUUAGAGUACGAACGACCUUGACAUCAGAGAUCACCACGCUUUUGAGGAAGUUAUAACAGGGUAUAAGACUGUUUUCCAAGCUUCGCGUCAAUAGAUUUGGGUUGUAAGUCAUUAUUUUUGCAAGGUCGAGCCUUGACAUCCCUAUGGAGCAGAAAAACUCAAGCUUUGGCAAAAGGGUCUUCUUCGCAUUGGCUAAGAUAAGUUGCGGGCGUCUCCGCACAAGAGUUGAGAUCUGGGUAUCUGAGAAUUCAUACUCUCUCAAAAGGGCUAGAACGGAGUUUGGUUGCUCUAAAGAUCGAAGCUGUACCUUGUGGGCUGCUAGAGUAGCGGCUUUUGGGGACAACCCACAUGAGCGAAUGAGGUAAGAGAGUGUAGGAUUGUCUUGGGCUGCUGGGAUUAUCGAGCUGCUGAUGAACCUUCGACCAAAAUGAGAAGCAGCUACUGCAAAUGCUUGAUUUCUGUACAGAAGACUUGAAAACAUUGGGUGUGCGGAUCCGAGGCUCUUGCCGAAAAUGUAGAAGAGUGCCAUGCUCCACUCAUUACUUCAUUAGAGAGAAUUGGAGUAUUGGAGAUGGCCAAUUUUGGGUUCCCAAUUCAAAACGCACUAGGGUUUUGGUUCUCCCAAAUGAACCUCAUCUACUGUCGUCUUUUGCUUUUCCCACUUACUCUUGAAAUGUUGAGAGAGUGAAUAUAAUCUAUAAAUAUAUAGAGGGACUAAUUUAGCCCUCAAAGUUUUACAGAUGUAAAUAACGAGGUGGCAUACUUUCAGUCGAGAUCACAAAUUUAUAUAAUGCCGUUUUGAUUUUUUCAAAACAUAAGACACCUAAAUUACGAGUAGGUCAUUUAUCGUGUACAAUUGUUAAAAAAUUUCCGCACAAAUAAUGUAUUGUUGAUCUCAGCUGCGACAUCAAGUGAGGGGUGAGAUGAAGCUACUCUGCUCACUUUUGACAUCUGCUCACUGAUCUACUCUGCAUCACUGAUCUGCAUAUAGGAUUUAGUAAAGUUAAUAUGAACAUUCUAGUUUUCUAAUUCUGGAUAUAGCUCAUGAUGUUAUGAUCAUUUUUGUGCUUAGUCUAAAACUUGUCAUUUCGAUAAUGUUUGAUACUAGGGAGUAUUAUAAAGCCGAAAAAGGAAAAAAGAGACCAGGGGUAGCUCAGGAAUUCGAGGAAAGUUGAUCAACUAUAUAAAUGAAACAUUAUUUACAGAAGAUUUCCACUUCCAGCUACAUUCCUCCUGAUUGUGCAUUCAAAUUGAAGUAGAUGAAUAAAUCGAUCUAGAGAGUGUGAUUAGUGAGCCACAGAGAGGCAGAAACUAUAAACUAAUGAGUUUCAAUUGAGUUUUUCACAAUAUUGACAGACCUCAAAAACUAAGCAGUGAUAACAUAGAUGACAUUCAAUUUCUGCGCAUCAAAUAUCUCAUUGUUCAUAACGAAUUCAGGUAACAAGACUCAGACCGAUUACAAACAGUUGGUGUUCUCGUAAUCAAAACAAGUAAAAUCAAGGCUGAGGGAACACAUGAGAAACCUGUUUCUGUUCUCGUAAUCAAACAAGUAAAAUCAAGGGUGAGGGAACAUAUGAGAAACCUGUUUCUUAUCCAGACUUGGGAGGCUAAUUCAGUUUUCUCUGGUAAUGCCUCUGAGAUGUGACACUAUCAGCCUAGCAACUAUGUUACCUUGUCCACUUCCAGUUUGCCAUGGUACACAUUCAACAAUUCGGGUACACUGUCGAGAAAUCUGGUAACAAAGUUACUCAAGAAGUACUUGUCUGGCACCCUUAUAACAGUAGCCAAACUCAAGUUGUCCUCCUUGAUCAAUCCUUUCAGAAGCAAAACUUUAACAACCGAACACCUUGGUAUGAUUCUCUUCUCCAAGCUGUAGCAUAAAACAUGGGGAUAUUUUGCAAUCUUGUGGGAAUGCCAACCCAUCUUGUUCACUAAGAAAUCCAUUGUUUCCAUUAUUUUCUUCUCAGACUUGGUCAUGCAUGGUGGAAACAACUUAAAAGGCAGAAAGAAUAUCAUUAUCAGACCAAUCCCAACUCCUAUAAGCCUGUUGACAUCGUUUCCAUGUCGUCCCUUUUAAAGAUAAUGCCUGCAUAGCUUGCACAAAGCUUGACUUGUGAGGGUCAAAUCCCAAUUGUUGGACUUCACCCACAAGUUGACUGUACAAAUCAGGCUUCCUCAUCACACUAUGAGCAUAAUAUGUUAGCAACAAAGCAAUACAUGAUUCCGACAUGCCCAAUUCUCUCAGAAUCUGAGUAUUGGGUAUCACAUUCUUGGAGAGAUUUGCUCUGAAAAUCCAUGAGCUCUGCUUCCAAAUAUUGACGACCUUGACAUCAGAGACCACCACGCUUUUGAGGAAGUUAUAACAGGGUACAAUAAAGUUUUCCAAGCUUCGGUCAAAGAGCAUCGAGUUGUAGGUCGGUGUUUUUGCGAGGUCGAGCCUUGAGAUUCCUAUGGAGCAGAAAAACUCAAAGCUUUGGCAAAAGGGUUUUCUGGGUAUCGGUCAUCAGAAUACGUGGGUGUUUCCGCACCAGAGUUGAGAUUUGGGUAUCUGAGAAUUCAUACUGUCUCAAAAGGGCUAAAACAGAGUCUGGUUUCUCUAAAGAUUGAAGCUUUACCUUGUGAGAUGCUUUAAUGGCGGCUUCUGGGGAGAGAGACCACAAGAGUUGACCAGGUAAGAGACCGUGAAAUCGUCGGUCAGUGUUGUUGUACAAAACCACUGACUUUGAAGUCCUUCGAACGGGAUGCGAUAUCUGCAAAACAGACGUGAAAAUGGGUAUGACAGGGUCUUGCUGCAAAUGUAGUCGUGUGCCAUUGGAAUUUGCAACACCGAUUAGAGGGAUGGGAGGAGUCCCAAUUUCACUGCACUCUAGGCAUUUUAUUUUUUAUUUUUAAACAGAGAUGGAAAGGUUUUAAUUUUUUUUUUCACUGUUGAGAAAACAUUGAGCUUUUUAAUUUGUAUGAUACCUGAACUAUGGAACUAAUGUCUAUUGCAUUAUGGUUAUAGUUCAGGUACCAUAUAUGAGGAUUUUUCCUACAAACAUUGAGCUUUUCACAUAAUUGACCACAAAACCAAUGAGCUUUUCACAGUUUUGGUAUAGAAUGAGAGAAAUUCAUACAUCAGCUAUAUCACAUCCAACAAUUGAGGUACUUGGCCUGAGAUAUCUGUUCACAAAACCUAUCCGAAAAGUACUUCUCCUAGACAAUAUGGGAGAAUUGCACAGAACUGGCUUUCAAAAUCCUAGAGUUUAGCAUAUUAUAAACAGCAGAACCCCAAAUUUCUAAUCCGUUCUCCUGUACUUCUAGCUCCAGCACUCGGAUCAUGAACAUGUUCCAGUUUUCCUUGUCCAGGUCAAGGUCGUCACCAGCAUAUCCUUGUAUGAUUCAACUUCACCAAUAACUAUGUCAGUAGACAAUUUUCAUGAGCAAGUUACACAUAAGUAUUACAUGCCUUUGAAGUAGACGAAUGCCCAAAUGCUCAACACACUCUAUGACCAAACAAGGGUCAUUCCUUUGGGGUGCGUUUUGUAGCUCAUGCAUCUUAUGUACAAUGAAAGCAAGAUGUUGGUGCUAACUGUUUACGUAGUACACUCCUGAAUCGCAUGAUCAACCUAUGUCUUCCAGUUCUGGUCAGCCUUGCCUUCGACGUGGAAGCUUUCCUUCUCAACUGAACUGAACUACUCAACUCAUGUAAAUCUGAUCCUGAUGGGUGCUGUGUUGAAUUGAAUGUAAACCCUAAACCAAAUUCAAUAAUUCAAUAUUCACUUCAUGUGUGUAUAUAUGUUGCACUGUAAUCAUUAUUUUCAAUGAUUAUGAUAAAAAUGGGUUGGAAAUUGAUGCUUUAGUUUCUUCUUCCCUGUCUUCUAUAGACCAUUUGCAUGCCUUAUUCUUUUAUAUUUGAUAUUGGUAAAUAAAACAUGUCUUGUCUAACAGUGUUUUAGAUACCACUCGCGUGUUGCUGCGGGGUAGGAUUUCUUGAUGAUGACCAAUAUUCAAUCCUCAUUUCACGCCUCCUAUGCCAUCACCUUUUCUAAAUCUACCGCUGAUUCUCCCGUCUUUCCCUAAUUUUUCACAAACACAUCCAUCUUUCCCAAAUCCACCACCAACAUCAUGGCCUCAUGCCUGCAAAAUCCACCGCUCAUCUCCAAUUCUACCACCUCCUAUUCCGCCACCUGCACAAAAUUCACCAUCAACCCCAUAGCCUCUACCAUCAUUUUUUAAUUCCACCACCAUACCAUAGCUUUUCCCUUGCCAAAACCCACCAUGGACAGCUCUGAUCCUAUGCCCACAACCAAGUAAAAAAUAGAAAAUAAAGAAGUAACAAAUUUUCAAGGACACAAACGUCUUUUUGAUCAGAAAAAUUGAACAUUUGCAAAUAAAUUUGUAUUAAGAGGUAACACAGUCUUUUUAGUCAGUAUAAUGGUAGAUUUGUAAAUAAAUUACAUUAAAGGGUAAAAAAGAUAAGGGGCAAAAACACAAUUCACCAGAACUUGAGGGCAAAAACACAAUUCAUCAAAGAUAUAAACAGUGUUUUUCCCCUUGUUGUUUUAUUUUAUAGAAUGUUGAUGAGUGAUGACCCAAAACUCUCAAGUCAUCUACGGCCAACACAAAAGUGAAAUGAAAACAGUAGAGCCAUCUCAGACCUUAAGUCUUCUCUAUGAACUUAGACUUGAACUUUAAAAGAGCACAUAACAGCAGAUGAAGCAAUCUAACUAAAUGAUCAUGGGUAAGGUGGUGCUGGGUCAAUAUUUUUGAAUAGCUCAACCUUUAUAUGGUUUGAAGAGCAGCCUGUACCUGAUGAACACCAACAGAACUCAGAGACCCCUCACGUUUUACAUAUUAGAAAAACCAAAUUCCUUCAUGUGGCAAUGUGACAUGAAGCAAUAGACAAUGUGACAUUGCCUGAUAGGUUCAUACAACCAGUUCAAUAAGCACUCGAGAUGAUGCAAGUAUAAAGUAAUGAUUCUUGAUCAAGAUAUUUUAAGGAACAGAAAAUCAAUGCGAGAUAAAACAGGACACUUACCAUUAACUGAGAACCUCUUCAAAAAUUCCACUCCUUCCAUUUCUUCUAGAAGAGCCUCAGAGUUCAAGACUAUAAAUCCAAUUUACAGUGUCAUCAAGAACAUACAUUCUGCACAUACGCUUUGCCUUGGUACACAUCCAACAGUUGAGGUACUCGGCUGAGAUAUCUGUUCACAAACCUAUCCAAGAAGUACUCCUCCAACCUCGAAAGAACAUUAGCCAAAUUCAACUUCUCCUCCCCUAUCAAUCCUUUCAAAACCAAAACUCUAACUGAAAACCUCGGGAUGAUUCUCUUCUCCAAGCUGUAAAAAAAUCUCCAAGCUGUAAGAAAAAACAUGGGGAUAUUUUGCAAUCGUGUGGGAAUCCCACCCCAUCUUUUUCACUAGGAAAUCCAUUGUGUCCAUUGGUUUCUUCUCUGACAACAUCAUACACAGCGGAUACGCCCUGAAGGCAGAAACACAAUGAUCCUCAGACCAACCCCACCUCCUAUAAGCCUCUCGACAUCGUUUCCAUGUCUCUUUUGCAGCCAAUACAUUCAUGGCUUGCACAAAACUUGUCUUCUGAGGGUCAAAUCCCAUUUCCUUGACCUCACCCACAAGUUGGCUGAACAAUUCAGGCUUUCUCGUCACGAUACCAGCAUAAUCUGUCAGCGACAAAGCAAUACACGACCCGGGCAUGCCCAAUUCUCUCACAAACUCACUAUUCGGCACUACUUUCUUGGAUAAGUUACUUGCGAAAAUAUAUGAGCUGCGCUUCCAAGCACUGACGACCUUGACAUCAGAGACCACAACGCUUUUAAGCAUGUUAUAACAGGGUACAAUAAAGUUUUCCAAGCUUCGCAUCAAAAUAACUGGGUUGGAGGUCAGUACUCCUGCAAGGUCGAGCCUUGAGAUUCCUAUGGAGCUGAAAAACUCAAGCUUUGGCAAAAGGGUUUUCUGGGCAUUGGCGACCAGAAUAUAUGGGUGUCUACACACAAGAGCUGAGAUCUGGGUAUCUGAGAAUCCAUAGAGUUUCAAAAGCGCUAAAACGGAAUUUGGUUUCUCUAAAGAUUGAAGCUUUACCUUGGGGGAUACUAGAGUAGCGGAUUCUGGGGGCAAUCCACACGAGCGAACCAGGUAAGAGACUGUACAAUCGUCUUGGACGGGUCUGGUACAAAACAGCUGCUUCUGAAGACCAAACUGUGAAUCCAAUCCCUCCACUGGGUGCUCAUAGUUUCUAAACACACGAGCUGAUCUGAAGACCCUUUUGAAAAUGGAGAAGGCGGCCAUACUGAUACCCUACUGUUUCAGAGUGAGGAGAUUGUUAAUCCCCCGUUUGGGAACUCUUCUAUUAAAUAAGAUUUUGGAACCCUUUCAAGUAGUGCAGCAUACCCAUUGCCAGUAACAUUGUGACAAAACACAACAAGGUUAAUACUUUGCAGUUUGCCGUUCGUCUUGGAACUUAGACUCAAAACAUUCAACUCCUUUUAACUCGUUUCUUGUUGAUACAACGUAUAGGUGCCUCUGAUAAGAAAAAGAAACAAAAAGACGUGUAUACCGAGAACCUGUAUCUUCUAUAUAUAAACUUACUAGUGCAAUAUCCGAACGAACAGAAACCUAUUUAGUAUCCUCAUCAGAAUUCUCUACUCGAAUCCAACUCAAGCAGGAUGGACUAAUUUCUGGGAGAGAAGAGCCUGCAGGGAUCCAGCCUCAGCUACAGGCGGACUGCAAGUAAAGUUUUGGCAGACAAGAGCAACCACUUUGUCUGCGGCAAAAUGACUCUUUGCCAUCAGAGCGAUGUUGCUGUUUUUGUCUUCCCAGAAUUGCAUCUCUUCUGAAUUUGUUGGAUCUAUGUGAAUAACCUGUCAUUGGUUGCACAACAAAGUGGUGUUUACUAAAGAAGAUCAUAAGAUAUUCCAGAAAAACUGCAGCGUUACAACUUGCAUAAGUUCACUACUCACUGUUUUGUUGGUAUCAUAUGACGCAUGAGCUGCAGCCAGCAUGGUCUCAAACUCAUCACUUCUCUGGCCAACCAAGACAACUUGCUUCCGAGAAGGGGCAGUGAGCAUGUCAGAGGCACAACACAUUAAGGGUACUGCCAUGGCCAUGUCCUUUAAUCUCUUCUCAAAGACCGCCUGUCAACAGAACAGAAAAUGAAAGGCUCAAUAGAGAUAUAUUCCUGGAUAGUGAAUUUGUAAGAUCAGAAUUUUGGUUUACGAACCAGAACAUGUUCAGCUUCCUGUCUGUAAUGCUCAGACUUGUUGCCAGAUAGUAAGGAUGCCAGUCUCACAAGGUUGAUCACAGAAACCGAGUUUCCGGAGGGCUCUGCCCCGUCAUGAUCUUCCUUCACACGAAGGAGAACAUUGGGGUCAUCACCUGGGGUAUUGAAAUAGCCGCCUCCCUCUUUAUCAAGAAAUAUUUCAUCCUGGAAAAUAUGUCAAACAAACUCGCAUCAAGUCUAGGGAAGAAGGUGAAAACUACAAGACUUAGAGAUGGCGGAUAAUAUUUCUUGCCUGCAUUUCUUGCAGUUCAAUUGCCCAAACUAGCCAGCUGGUUUGACCACCAAAUUCAUAAAGAUCCAAUAAUCCUGAAAUAAGAAAAGCGUAAUCAUCUAAAAAUCCAGGUGCUUUAGAUGGGCCGUUCCUGAAGCUGCGUUGCAGUCUAUGAGAAUGCUCAUUGUAAAGGUGUCGCCUGAUAAAAGAUGCUGCCUUUUCUGCAACUUCAACGUACUCCCGUGGCUGACAUAUUUGUGAUGUAACACAUCAGAACAAUCAGUGAAGUAAAAAGAUGUCCACCGAUGUGACUAUCAUGGUUAACCUUACAGGCCCCCUGCCCUACGAACUGAUAAUUAUUACAUUACAUCUAAAAUGGAAAACAUUAAUUAUUAAGAAAAUGUUUUACUAAAAGAGAUUACGCCGUGAAUGUAACACUCAAAACUUCAAAACUAGUACACAAGUCCAAUUUCCCAUAAAUGAAAACGAAUUCAACACUAGGCAUUUUCCAAAACCACCAAACCUUCUUUUCCACGUAUAUUAACAACUCGUAUGACUACUAAUAAAGUGAAAGUCAGUGAAGGCUUACAUCGCAACCAACAACAGGGAAGUUAAAUUUGAUCUCCUUGGGUUCAUUCUUCAGAAUUUUAGAAGCUCUUGCAAAGGCUGAGAUGGCCAGUCCAUUCCAUGCUACAAUUACCUGGCAAAAUCUGAUUUAUCAAUUUCUGGGUGACAGAUAAAAAGAAAAGGAUAACAGAAUGAGGUGAAUCCUACGAAAAUUUGAAUUGAGAGAGUAACACCUUGUCAUCCAAAUGUGGUCUCGGUCGACUACAUCUUAUUUCAAACAGCUUUUGCCUGCUCCGACCCAGAAUAUCGAGGUAUUUCUCAACCGCCAUAGAAAAUUUUGAUGCCUCAGAUUCACUUUUUCUCUCAAUGAGCACAUUCUUACCCUUAAAUUCAUUAUGAGGAUCACUCAUUCUAGAGAGGUCACAGUUACCUGAAGGCUUUAUGUAAUAGUGGUUCUUAAAAAGUGUUGCAUCUUCCCCAAUUAUAUCUUCAACCUAAAUAGAAUCAGACACUUAAUAACAGAAAGAGAAAAAUAACACAGUAGACUAAAUAUCACUAGUGACAGAUAAAAUUCACACCAUUGAAGUAACUCUAAUGCAGACACACAGCCAAAAUUAGGGAAAUGCUAAAGUCGAUGGAGAAACCUCUUUGCUAGACCAAACAUAGAAUGCUCCUUCCUUUUUCCUAGUAGCACCUUCAGAUUCAGCACUAUCAGCAUCUUCAGCUGAAUAUAUUUCGCCUUCUAGUCCAAUCAUAUCUCUCCUCAGAUAAUCAAGAACAUCCCGAGCAAUAGAUGCAUAGAAUACAUCUUUGGUGAUAGAAAAUGCAUCUAGGAAGACAUUAACAAGUUGGCCUUGAUCAUACAACAUCUUCUCAAAGUGUGGUACUGCAACAUAACACAAUAAUCUGUUACAAAUAUGAACCAGAGAAAAGAGAUACUGGGCAUGGUGACCAUGAAACAAAUGCAUUCGAUUAAAUAAACAGGUCACUCUGCAAUCAUGCCUGUCAAGUAGAGAUUUGAUGGAAGUAAAAUUCUAUAAAAAGAACUAACCAUGCCAGCACUCAUCCACACUAUAUCGGUGGAAGCCACCUCCUACGUGAUCGUGAAUUCCCCCUCUUGCCAUACAUUGUAAGGUGAAGAGAACCUGUCUCACAACUUCAUCGGCAUUGGCAGGACUUCCAGUCUCCUCCAACUUCUUUGAAUAAUAAAGCAUCAGCUGAAUCUCAACCGGUCUAGGAAACUUUGGGGCUGAUCCAAACCCACCAAACUUCGAAUCAUAACUUUGAGAAAGCUUUAAGAAGAUCAAAUAAAUGCAAAUGCAUUAGAGCUGACUUCUUGUGCAGCAAGAGAAACAAUAAUACACGACUCAUGUUUUUCACCACAAAGUUGAAUAUACGACUCAUGUUUUCCACCAAAUAGUUUCAUUACGAGCUCCCUCUUCUUUGAAGCUUAAUGAAACAUCAGUGACUAUUUGCCCAAAACAAAAAAAAAAGGUGACCAACAUGUUUCCCAAAAUGCCCUUAUUAAAAAGUGAAGAACAGAAAGAAAGUUAUUAGGUAUGCAGCAGGUCUUUGACUUGCAACACCAAAAGCUCAUAAGUAACAGUAUGGUUCAUGGCUCGUCGCAAACAGAUAAGAAAAUUCUCAAAUAAGGCUACAUACUUGCUCAGCACAUAGACGCAAAGCAUUCUUUGGAACCCCAUCUGACAAUUUUUUAGAACUUGCACUCGUUGACAAGGCUUCUGACAACUGUUCAAUAGCAAAGGCUCCACUCUUAACAAGCGCAUCCCUCUUGGUCUCCCAGGCUUCUUUCACCUUUCUGAAGCAAAAGGUGCAGAUACAGGUAAUGCUUAGAAUCUAAUCAACAUUGAACUGUGCUGAAACUUUCAAGUGUUUGUGCCAAUCAAGAUAACCAUGGAAGGGAAGGGGUGGUAGGGAGGGGGCAGAAUUGUAAGUUAAUUGUUCAAAGACUGAACGCCUUCUCACCCAAGUAUUGUCUUAAAUCCUAGUCUUCCAUACUUGUCCUCUGGGGGAAAGUAAGUUCCACCCAUCAAAGGUUUUAAAUCUGGGGAAAGGAAUGCAGUCAGUGGCCAGCCUCCACCACCAUACAGAGCCUGUACAUAUGUCAUGUAUACCUGGAAGAAUAAAAAUGGUCUCAGCACAUCAUGCUGCUCAUAUAACAGAUGCGAAGUUGUUACUAUUUUUCUGAAAAGGGUUCUUCUCGAACAACUAGAAAUCAUUUGUGCCAGAACAAAAAGUUGCUGUGAUGAAACAAUUUUUAUUUUUUUUCAUAUGGCAGGCAUAUUAGAGCUUCUAUGGUUUUACAUAAAAUGAAGUUGAACCAGACCGUUAAUCACCAGUAAGUAUAUGUAAACUUUUAAGCACAUUACUAACUAAGCCUCAUGCUCAUGACUAUAAUCACCUUUCAUAUUGUCUCCUAAUCUUUUGGAAAUACAAAAUGCUCCUGAGAAUCUUUAAUAUCAUUAAAGAUAACAUAACAAUUAGAAAUUCAAAGACUUUUAAAAAAGAAUUCCCAAUCAUAUGUUAGGAGCUCCGGAAGGCCUACUAGUAACUUCUGGUAUUAAUGAUGGUAAUUUUCUAAGUUUAUAAUCAUGAAUCAUUCACCUUAUCCACAUCUGGUCUUUCCUCCCGGUCCACCUGCGGUAAUAGUAUGUUAGAAAAAAGGACUACAGAAUCUCACAUAAUAACUGUGAUACUGGGUAACUUGAAAAUGAGGUAAAUGAAAUAAGCAACAGAAUCAUAAUUUGACUCACCUUAAUACUAACAAACCACUCAUUCAGCAACUUGGCAAUGCCUUCAUCCUCAAAAGACUCGACCUCCAUAACAUGACACCUAAAUGACAGUUCCACACACCAAACAAAUCAGUUCCAGUUCAUUUUCCAACUUCGAAAUCCAAUACAAGUAUAAUCAACUCAAAAUUCAAAUAAGAACCCUCACCAAUGGCAUGUGCUGUACCCGACUUCACAUGUAAAAAGCAGCACACUUUGAAUGAGUAAUCAUCUAUCAAAUGCAUCACAUAAAAAAUGUCUACUUGUUCAACGCAAGAAUUAUAUAACAAUUUUUACUUGAUAAGAAAAUGGGCACAUCUCUCUUUCGAGCUUCAGCGAAAGCCUCUUCACCCCAUGGAUACCAAUCAACCUUGUAACACAAUCAAAAUCCCAUCUUUAACAUUAAAGUAAACAACUUUCAACUCAAUCAUGCCAAAAACAUAAAAACUGAGAAAAAUCAGAGAUACCGGGUUGUGGGCGUGUUGAAGGAGAUAAGGACUGUGCUCGGCAGCGAGGCGAUUGGUGUGUUUGUGGGAAGUUGGGUUCGAAGUAUGUUGGUCAGCCAUGGCAAGAACCUUGGAAGCGAAGAAGGGUCGAUGAGAAAUGAAAGAGUGAGGAAGUGGGUGUGGUUUUCUGGGUGAGGAGAGUAGUUUUGUUGGGUUUGAAGAGAGGAAGCGGUGAGUAAGCCUUUUGAGCAUAGAAUGAUGGAGAAGCAGAGAAGGGUGAGGAGGAGGAGAAGAGGAGGAGGUUGGUGAAAGUAUAGAAGAAAUUGGAAGGGGGGUAGUUGGUGGUGCUGCCAUGUGUAGGGAAGGGGUGAAGAGGAGAGGUGAAGAGUGCCAUGUGGAAGCUGAGCUUGUUUGACAGUUGGAGUGGACCUGACUGGUGUAUAGUGUUAACUAACAGGUGGCCCAGCCUUGAGCAUACAUCCAUGUUUCACAGGAUAGGGGGUAUCUAUGAGUAACGAGACAAGGUACAAACUUUUAUGGAAAUUACUCCUCCACGAUACGGUGUACAUGUGUGCAUGUUUACCAACAAGUAACAAAGAUCCUGAAAAAGGGAAAAAGUUUAAACUGUAUCUGACUUUUUAACGAAGUAAAACUUUGGUAUCUCAUUUUUUAAAAAUUUUAAAACGGUAUCCCACCUUUCGACCCCGAUAUAAGAUCGGUAUCUGGGGCUAACGGGGGAUGUUGGCUCCAUUACAGAGCUUGGCAGGUGGCAUCUUUUGCAGGGUAUUUUAGUCUGUUCAGUCUCUCCUGCCAAUUUAUACCAUAGUUGGCGCCAUGAACUUUUAAUGGGGUAGAUCGGUUUGAAUCUGUUCUUAACAGGCGACAAUGCAGCUACUCCGCGCAUAUUAGCUCUAUUUUGUCUGCUCCUUCACAAUGCAGAAGUUGAAACUAACAAAGCAAACAAUUCCUGGAGCAAAAUGAAAUCAACAACCAUCAAGUAUUUCAUAUUGCAGCAAAGCAUGUCGAGUUCCUCACCUAGUAAUACUUUAGAAGCAAGUAGAAGCACAAAACAAUAGUAAUAGUUCCUCACUCUUCUUACACUUCUUUAAUUUCUUCACCAUCUCCAAAUCCCACGAAUUACUCUUCAUCAAACCAAACCAGCAACUCACAAAUCUACGAAUCAAGAGAUAAAACUUGUCUAACCUCAACGCGUCGAUGCCGGACCAUUCGCGGCGCAUGGUGAGCAGAAACACCGAGAAGUACUAGACGGCGAGAGGGAGGUGGAGGUUGUGGAGGAGAGAGGAGAGGCGAUCGAUGAGCUGGGCCUGGGCGGGGGCCUUGUCGGCGUGCCACAUGCAGUAGAAGAGGCCUUUCCAGAGCUUCCUCAUGUCGUCGUCGGAGAGGUUGAGCUGGGUGGGGAGCCAGGUCUUGAGGAGAACCCUAAGGGCACGGCCGCGGCUGCCUUGGUUGCACGACGCGAGUUGCUUUAUGAGAGCUGGGCCGGAUUCCGAUGCCAUUUCGGCGUCCAUUUUGGCUGCGUGUAUUUCCUAUUGUUUUGUGCUUCUACUUGCUUCUGAAGUAUUACUAGGUGAGGAACUUGACAUGCUUUGCUGCAAUAUGAAAUACUUGAUGGUUGUUGAUUUCAUUUUGCUUCAGGAAUUGUUUGCUUUGUUAGUUUCAACUUCUACAUUGUGAAGGAGCAGACAAAAUAGAGCUAAUAUGAACGGAGUAGCUGCAUUGUUGCCUGUUAAGAACAGAUUCAAACCGAUCUACCCCAUUAAAGGGUCAUGGUGCCAACUAUGGUAUAAAUUGGCGGGAGAGACUGAACAGAUGAAAAUACCCUGCAAAAGAUGCCACCUGGCAAGCUCUGUAACGGAGCCAACAUCCCCCGUUAGCCCCAGAUACCGAUCUUAUAUCAGGGUCAAAAUGUGGGAUACCGUUUUGAAGUUUUUGAAAGGUGAGAUACCAAAGCUUUGCUUCGUUAAAAGGUCAGAUACGGUUUUGACUUUUUUCCCUCCUGAAAAAGAUAGGUAAGAAUGACAAUACAUUUAUUUGAGUGAAAUUCUAUAUAAGUUUGAGUCUUAAUAUUGACAAGUUUCUUAUUAGUAGGUUUACUGAGUAAUCGGGAUCUACGGGACUUAUAUAAUGUUGGUAAAAAUUGUUAACAUCUAAAUCUAAAGAGUUCGGGUUAUCAAUAGUUCAAGUCAUCAUAAGGUCUGACUGUUGAAUGUCUACAGACAAUAAGGUGAAAAACCUUGAGCCAACAAGAUAUAUAUAUAUAUAUAUAUACACACACACAAUGUUGAUCAGGUGCGGACGUCCGCACUAAAGUUUUGUUGCGGAUUUCUAUUUUUGCACCACUUCCUGAUCGAAUUUCCUCAAACUUCUUUCUAGACAUAUCUAGAUCAUCUUGUGUAGAUCAUCUCUGCAAAAUUUCAACCAAUUUGGUGAUCGUUAAGGCCCUCAAACUCGAAAACAAAUGGACUGACUGAAUUCUGUCCGGUUGUGUUCAUACCAGAAAAACUCGAGUUUGAGGGCCUUAACGAUCACCAAAUUGGCUGAAAUUUUGCAGAGAUGAUCUACACAAGAUGAUCUAGAUAUGUCUAGAAGGAAGUUUGAGGAAAUUCGAUCGGAAAGUGGUGCAAAAAUGGAAAUCUGCACCAAAAACUUUAGUGCGGACGUCCGCACCUGAUCAACAUUGUGUGUGUGUGUGUAUAUAUAUAUAUAUAUAUAUAUUACCUCUCUCAUGUGAACCAAGAUGUUAGUUGGGUUACUGACACACGGUUCAUAAUGUUUUUGAGUUCGUCGGCAGCCUCCCCUUAAUCCAAUUUCCUUUCAUAUAAAAAGAGGGUUCACCUUUCAGAUUGAUAUAGUACAAAAAUAAAGAAAAAUUUAAUUGUAAAAAUUAUGAAAAUGUCAUUUUUGAAAAGUUAUAAAAAGGUUAUUAAAUGUCGACUAUGUUCUCUGUAAUAUAUAAAUUGAUACACUACCACAGUGCCAUCCUCCCUAGUCCCGAACUAGUCUAGACCUAUUCCCUCUCUUGUUUCUAAGCUCUUACAACAUGGAACACUUUUAGAAGCUUUGUUCGUGAAUUCAGCUAACCACUAGCUGAUUCAACCUUGAACGCUUCUUGGGUUGGUUGCACUACACAUCCCUCAUGGUAUGCAACAUGAUAUGAGUUGAUGAAAUAAGUUUUGAGUUCAAGCUCUAAGGUUUACAGUCACGAAGAAGACUUAGAGCAGCAUGAACAAUGCAAGAUAGAACUAGACUCAACAAAGAAAACGCAAUAAGGCAGUUUUCAACAACCAUUGAGCAAAGCCAAUGCUAUAGAUAUAUAUAUAGGCAGACAAGGCAUCAAAGAUGAUGCAAGCUAACCUCUACAUGUUUCAGAAAGGUUUGGACAAAAGUGUUUGGUUCCCCAUACUGAAAGUGAUGUAACCAAAUGGAGAGUUGACACAAGCAACCUCAAUAAGACAAAGAUACCUUUCUAAAACAUGAACGAUUCCAAACAGGGAGCAAGAGGUUUGAAACCCUCUUACUCAGUCCAUCAGUGGACCUUGACACAGCCGAUAGCGACUGGUCUUUGAAUCACACAGAGACCAGCUUUGUAUUGGAUAAUGUAUCAUAAAAUCCAAGCUGGAGCCUUGAGCAUCAAACCAUUUGGUCACGGGUUGGCAUAACAAAAGAUCUCAACCCUUAGACUGGUUUGAGCGCCAAAGCACUUCUCACAAACUCAGUUGUCCAUUUGAAUUUGAAAGACUUAUUAAACUAAUAUAACAGACUUUGAAACUCAGGACAGCAGAAGACUCAAUACUAGGAUAGCAAGCGAGGCUGCUAACCUCUGUGAAAAACAAUGAUAUGCAGAUGCAUGUUUUACCUGAAACCAUAAGGGAUAUUAGUGCCACUUGUUCUUGAUCAGACAACAGCAUCUUAAGGUGUUUUACAGGAUAAAAAGGAUUGCCAACUAUCCUUAUACCUUCAGAAAUGAUUGUUUUCAACUCAGUCAACAUGUUACCGAUCAAAGUAAGAUUCUGACAACUAAAACCUGGUUUUAAUUAGCACUUACAAUUUUGCUCUUAGCAACUGAAAAGCACGAUGCUUGUUCUGAAGUUGAGACCUCUCUUCGAUCACUACAGAAGAUGCGGAUGCCAGUUGGCUUAUGGACAAGAUCAACAGCUGUCUCCACCUUGUUGACAUUCUGCCCUGCAUGACAAUGUUGCAUAUAUAUAAAGUUGUGGCAUACAAGGAAGUCGAUACUAAAAAAACAAAAAAUAAUAAUAAAAAAUAAAAAAAACCUAUAUCGAUCCAAACUUCAUCAGAUGGUGUUUUCCUCGUCCUGUAAUUCCUUAUCUAUAUAAAUUUGGAAAUCCCUAUAAUCCCUUGUUCUAAAUUUGAAUUCCACCGGUAAAAGAAUGCAUAUGUGAUAUGUGUUCUAUAUAAAGCUAGCCCAUGGUAGAGUAACUCGUUAUUUAGGUUUCGCAGCAUAUAUAGCAUCUGAUCUACCCUCGGAAGGAGAAUCUGCACCUUAAUAAUAAUGACAUAUUUACCUUCAACAAUGGCUACUCCGGACCGCCCCAACGAACCCCCGACCACCCUCGGACAGAGAAUCUGCACCUCAAUUUGCCUCUUUAUUCUAUUAACAGUCGUUUUUGGAUUGAUUGGUUGGCUAAUCUAUACGGGGAACAUAAAGCCUUCAUCCAUACAUUUCGAGGUCGAAUCCGCCACCGUCUCACAACUCAUCACAGAAGGCAGCUCCUUGAGCGCCACGUGGGACAUUACUCUCCUCGUCGGUAACCCUAACCGCAAAUACAAAAUGUGCUUCGACCACGUCCAGGCAGGGGUUCGCUACCACUACGUCGGUGACAUCGUAAUCGAGCUAGGGAGUACGCCUACAUUGCCAAUUCACUUUGCUUUGAAACGGAUGAACCAAACACACGUACCUCUUGGUUUAAAGAUAGGAGUGGAGAGGCUGUGGAUCGGCGAUGCCGUGGCACAACAAAUCUCCAACGACAGGUCUCGCGGGUCGGUGACGUUUGCUGUUACAGUGGACGCUGUUGUGAGGUUUAAGGCUGUGCUAGCGCCUGUAGAUGAGUAUCGGCUUAGGUUUACCUGCGAUCAGGUAGCUUUUGCGUUUUCCGGGAAUAAUGGUACCGGCAUAAUGACGAGUCAGCUUUCGUGCUCAGUGUUGAACACAGAAUCUAACACAGAAUCUGAAUCUUGGGGUUUUAUUUUCUGAUGAUACAAAUAUAGAGGGCCGGAUAAUAACUUUGUUUAUGAAUGUUGGCCAUUAGUUUCGUAAGUUUUUUUUUUUUUUUUUUGUAAUUAUUGGUUAGCUAAUAGGUUUGGUAACAGAUUGGCUCGUGUUGUUAUAAUAGGUUUGUUUAUUAAUGAUAUGAGUAAACCUUCUUCCAAAAAAAAAAACCAAGAAAUCCCAUUAGUAGCUACAAUAUUGCUCUUUUCUUAACCAAUCACUCCAGUAUUGUCAAGCUAUUGGAUUGUUGUUUGGAGACUGAUGUCCCCAUACGGGUUUAAGAGUUAAUCACAAAUGUGACUCUUUCAACCCAUCUUCACCCGUCCUCAAGCAGACAGUCGUGAAAAAUCUGCCUUAAAAUUGCCAAGGAAGUUGCGGCUGCACUUGCAUACUUGCAUUCCAAGACUUCUAUGAGUUCUAUAUCCCUAUCAUACAUAAGGCCUAAGAAUAAAUUCAGGGUUUUGAUCCAACUAGUCAGAAUGGGAUUCAAUAUUACAUAUCCAAAUGGGAUAUGAGCUCAGCUAUUCUUCAAAAUAAAUAAAAAAUAGAGAAAGAAAAAGAAAAAAUUGAAACCGUUUUCUCCAUAGCACAUUUUCCGGAACAACAGUGUGUGAAUCUUACAACAAUAUAGGCUUCAGAUAGUUUGCUAUAGGGCUGGGCACGGGACGGGAAUGCGUUUUUAAAAAUCUGUCCCGUAUGUCCCGAUUCCGACAAUAAUUUUUUCAAGAACAAAUUAAUUGAUAUCAAACACCAUCACAGGUGGAAAAACGGGUUGAGAAACUCCAAACAUUCAAAUGCUCCACCAAAAUUGAUCAGUGUUUGAAAUUUUCGACAUUUUUAUGCUGUUUGGAACAACAUUAAUGAAAUUAAUGGAAAAAAAAAUCCAAAAACACAUAAACAAAAAAAAGAACAUUGAUGAAAUUAAAAGUACUAAAAUCAACAAGAACAUAGGUGCAUAGGUGCUAAAUUACAUCCCACUUUAAAAAUACUAAACAUCCCACAUUAAAAAUUAACCCUCAAACAACAACUAAAAAUAUCCAAAAUCACAAAAAAAAAAAAGAACAUGAAUGAAAUUAAAAGUAUUAUUUUAGACCAAAUUAAGUGUGGUUGAGUUCAUUGUAACAUCAUGCAACCUCAAAAAUCAAGUAUAAAAUAAAUAAAAUCAUGUAUUCUAAUAUUAUGGGACAGGACGGGAUUUUUCGGGAUAGUACCGUCCCGUCCCGUCCUGUUAUGGUAAUGUUAAAACAGGACGAGAUUGCUAUUUUCAAAACCUAUCCCGUCCCGUCUCGCUAACUUUCGGGACGGGACCGGUACGGGAUCGGGAUUCCGGUACUAAUUGCCCAGCCCUAGUUUGCUAUUACCCAGCUGGAGCUCCUGCAGAUUCAGCAAGUUCUUCCAGGAGUUCCUUUUGCUCCAAGGAUGUAACUGCUUGCAAAAAAGCAGGAAAAUCAAUUGCAGCGUAAUUUCUAACUUAAAAUUUCAUGCACCUCUAUCCUUCUACAUGUAGUAUGCAACUAUCGAUGAAGAAAAUGGACAAGUCUUAAGCAGCCAGUCAAAUUCAUUUAUUUACCAACACUGUACUGUCAAUUAAUAAGCCAUUCUAUUGAUACAAAUGUUCUCACACUACGUCCUUUUUGGCUUCAGACGACAGAAGACGUUUAGUCUGUCGUCCCGAAUAUUGUAACGACAGACAUUUAAAAGAGUGUCGUCUGAAAAUAGCAACUCAAUAGUAGUUAAAAUUAACGUGUUUUUGAGACGACAUACGUUUGUCGUUCAAAAAACAAGGAAAAAUGUACCCUAAUGUUACACUUAUAAGACGACAGAAAACUGUCGUAUGGUGAAGAAACUUAAAUGUGUCUGAAGCUGUUUUUUUUUUUGGUCAUAAUUGGAGGAGUUUUUUUGACACUUAAAACCAACUCUCAUUCUCUCAACUCCCCCGAUACUUUUCUUUACUUUUCUCAACUCUCUUUUCUCUCUCUCAGUGUUCCUCACCCACAUAACCAAAAUCUCUCUUCCUCCUCCCUAAAAACCAAAUUCUCUCCUCUUCACAUUCUCAAAUUGAUCGAAUCCUCUCCUCUAUCUAAUACCCUAAAACUAAUUUCUCUCAUCUAGAUCUGGAGACCCAGAUCUACCCCAAUUUCAACCUCCCAAACCCUAAAUCUCCAAACCCUCGCAAACCAUAUUCACCGUUAAGGCCACCACCCGGAAGAGGCGCGCGGCCAAGCCCGACCAAGCCAAGUCGGCCAACGUCAAUCUCAAUCUCGACCUUUCCAGGUUUUUUUCUCCGCCGUAACGACAGCGCUGUGGUGAGAGGAGAGUCCAGGAUGGACGGGGUAGAGGAGGACCUUGGUGACGAUCUCGUUGGUGGUGGGAUCGGCGAGGAAGUCGACAGUGGCGAUGCGGUAGAGAAUGAGGGGCUUAGAGAGAACACGAGGGGAGAGAAGAAGCGGAGUUGGUGGAGUGUUCGAGGUGGCCUUGGGGGAAGUAGCAAACCCUAGUAUGGAGGGUGGGGAUGGUGACGGAGUUGCCGGCGCAGGCUCGCCAGAUUUUGGGGUCGAUGGAGACGAGCUGCAGGGGAGGCGGCGGCACGUGGGAGUGAGAGAGACACUGAGAAUUGGAAGACAUGGUGAUUGGGAUUUAGAGAUUGGAGGAAGAAGAGGAAUGAAAUCUCUCUCUUUCUCUCUCUUUCUUCUCCAGGUUUUGCUAGGUUUCCAAUGGCCACCAUUCCAGGACAGUUGAUCUGGGAGAUCACCAAGAAGGAGGAACAAGCCUGCGAGCUUGGUUCACAAGUCUGUGAUGAGGAAGGAAUUCCCUCGCAUGGCCAAGGCUGUUACUAAUCAGGUACCAACAUGCUCGAUUUACAAUUCGUUGUUUUGUUGAUGCAUAUGUGUUUUGUGGAAUGUUAUGAAUGAGGAUAGGUCGACUUGAGUUUUGUGGAAUUCAUCUUCCACCACGACUGUUGGUUUCUCCAUCUAUAUCAUUGGCUAUGUAACCCAGACAAGACUCCAAAGGUCAAGAUUCUUAAACUCUUUGUUAUGAGUUUGUUUCUAGUAACAUAAUCUAUAUUUUAUGUAAACACAUUAAUUAAUUUUCAUUAUCCAAAGUUCCAAACCAUUACGUAUACAUUUCUCUGAUUCCCUAACAUAUUCAUUUGAACUUUGUUAGAAUGAUAUAUAUGAAUGGCUAGCGGCUACGUACAUUCUUCCUCCGGUUCGCAUUGGCUAUCUACUUCGGUAAUAUCAUCCCAAAUGUAUCUGGUGUGAGGAAGUCAGUGUUCUACUUUUUAAAGCCAGGAUACUGGAUAGGGAAAAGUGGAAACAAAGUGGAAGGUAAAAAUACUGAAAUUCAGUAUCUGCUCAACUUUCCUUUCUAAGUUGUACUUAUGAGUUGUACUUAUGAGUUGUGACUUGAUACUUUUGUGUUCCUCUAGCUCUCUUUGGGUAGAGGGUGGUGUUUGUAGUUAGAUAGGUUCAAUUCCACCACCUGAGCAUACUGGUCCUGAUGAUGAAGAUGUCCUGGAAGAGGAGAACAUUGUCAAGGAGCAAGCUAAGGAAGGCACAGUUGGUCUAAACCUUGCAGUUUAAAUACGCGUUCUUGUAAAAACAUAUCCUAGCAAAAAACACAGUCGUUGUUGUUCCAAGAGCAAGAGGACUCCACCAUACCAUGCUCUUAAGGUACAUAACCUAUUUUGACUCGUUAAGAGAAUGUGGAUCUUAUUAUGAACCUGUUGUUCGUGUGGAGCAAAAUCUGGUGAAAUAGUCUAUUUAGAUUAUUCAUUCGAUGCAUCUUUGUCUAGCAUUUUGUACCUAGACUAUGAGAUCCUCUAGCAGAAUAUUAUGUCUUCAUCAAAUAGAUGCUCAGGCAUAUAUACCUCUUUGCUAAUUUUUAGGUGGAUAGGUCGACUGGAGUUUAGUUAUUUGUUCUUCUUUGGACUUGCUUUGUUGGCCAUAAUGCUUGUCGGUCUUAAUGACUUUAUGCAAGUAUAUGCAGUGCCAUAUAGUGAGAUGCCUCUUCUUUUUGACCUCUGUUAGUUGCUCUCUGCAUAUAAUAUGACCUGGACUAGAAAAUUGAGGUAUUUCUUAAUCGUGGUAUACUGGUAUUUCUCUGCAUAUAAUAUAACCUAGAUGCCUAGUGUAAUUUUAUGAUUGCUGCUAUUAUCAUCGACCUCAACUCCAUUGGUUUAUUUGGGUGAGUUUAUUUUACUGCUAUUGCCUUUAUGAUCAUCAUUUAAUUUAACUGUAUUUAACUUUGGUUCUUAUAUUCACUGUCAUAGAAGUACAUAGGUCUCAUCAAGUUAAGAUCCAGCAUUGGAUAUUGUAGGUACUGUAUCAUAAAUAUUCUUUGCAUGAAUGCAUCAUAAUGUUCAGAUCUUACUUAACUUCUUAUUGCUAACAUUUAAUUGUUUAUUGACAUAUACUCAUAUUAAGUUAAGAUCCAGCAUUGGAUAUUGUAGGUACUGUAUCAUAAAUAUUCUUUGCAUGAAUGCAUCAUAAAUGUUCAGAUCUUACUUACUUCUUAUUGCUGAAAUUUAAUUAUUUAUUGACAUAUACUCAUAUUGAUUCACUAAAGUUCUUUGUCUUCAAUGUUGCAGGUGACACUUGAAUGAAUGGUGCAUAUUGAAGUUUGAUGAGUAUGAUGAAAGUAUCAGAGUGCCUUAGUGCAGUUAGGACUUAGGAGGACUUUCUGCACACCACCAUAUUGUAGUUGCUAUUAUUUGGUUUGAUAUAUUUUUUAUUUUAUAGUUUAUGGGUCCCUUUAGAACAAAUAACUCUUUGUAAUUUGAUUGGUUUUGGCAAUGAGAAUGAAUUUGAGAUUUCUGAAUCAUGUUGUGCAAAUGCUUUAUUAAAUUGUCAUCCAAAUUAAAAUCAGACAACAGAUAUCCCCAUGGACAUCGACGUCUCUACAUAUUUCAAAUGACAUUUAUAUGUCGUCUUAAAGUAAAAGAUGACCAUAGUGUAUGUCGUCUGAGGUAAGUAUCAGACGACUAUUAAGUGACGUUUGAAUGCAUUUGAGUCGAGAGAAGAGGUUUGACGUAUGUCGUCUGAGAUAUAUUUAGACGACAAAAUAGUAACAUGUGAAUAAGUUUGAGACGAGAGACGGCUGCUCACAUCUUUAGUAUUACUUUAGUUUCGACGAUACUUUUAUGUCGUUAAGAAGCUUUCUAACGACAGAAACUUUAAUUUUGUUACGAAUGUAGGUGCAUACAGACGACAGUUGCUUAUAUACAAUCUGUCGUCGAAGUGGUAUCAAACGUCUAACGAGGUCUGUCGACUGAAUGCUUAUCAAAUGACUGCUUGAUAGACGACAGCCGAAAAAACAUUCAGACGACCAACCUGGCAGGUCGUCUGAAGCCAAAAUUGACGUAGUGUCAUUCUAUACCCUCUUCACAAAAAACCAUAUAUGUGAUGCAAAUGUUCACACCAAGGUAUUAGUCAUAUGCAUCUUAAAUAGUUUCUAAGCUAAACGAGUAACAGAUACCUGUGAUUUCCGUUGAUUCUGAAUCAGUUCCUGCUGCUCUCUCUCAGUUUUAUCUUAUAUGAUCUGUAAAUGAUCAUUUAUCAUCAGAACUGCACCACAGAAAAGGCGGGUGGAAAGUGGAAACAAGACAUAUAUGUCUGAAAGAAAUGAUUGUUUCCAACUCAGUCAACAUGCAUGUUACCAAUCAGAGUAAGAAUCUGAGGACACAUAAAACAUAUGGUUUUAAUCAGCACUUACAAUUUUUGUAUUGGCUAAGCAUGCAUUGAUGCAUAUAAUUCGCUUUUAGUUUAGGGGUACCAUAAUCAAAAUUUGUAACUUAUCAAUGUCUUACUACUGAUGGAGAGCAGGUAUGAGCAUCAUGGUGCUCCUUGUAGUAGGUUUUAGGAUUUCCAGGGCAUUAUUGAACAGAAAUUAAACUAGUCCAACCGAUCAAAAGAGAGUUCUUUAAACAGAAGGGGUAGAGGAAUGAUUUUAAAUAAUUUUACUUACGGGGCGAGGAGAUGACAGACCUACGUACGUACUUUGAACAAAUCCAACUUGAAUCCUACCAACCAAGCUAGAAAACUUGUUCAUAUACGUUCUGGAUUAUGUUUUUGAUAUCCAAACUUCAUCAGAGCUAGGUUGCAUUUCCUCAGCGUAGUAUAAUUCCUUAUCUCUUCUAAAUUAGAAUUCCACUGUAAAAAAAUUUCACACUCACUCCGGAACAAUGCAUAUGUGUACGUUCUAUAUAAAACUGGCCCAUGCAUGGUAAAGUAACUACGUUAUUUAGUUUUCGCAGCAUAGUAUCUGAUUCAUCUAGCAUAUAUACCUUCAAUAAUGGCUAUUCCGGUCAGAUCGGCCGCCAUCCCAUCCGCGCCUCCCUUUCCCCAUCCAUCCCUACCGGACCGCCCGUGCACCACCUUCUGCUACUUAAUACGAUGCCUAGUAAUAACCCUAGUUGUAGUUGGAGCCGGCGGUUGGCUAAUUUAUUUAUGGAACUGCCACCGUCUCCCAACUCAACACAGAAGGCAGCACCAUCAGCGCCACGUGGGACAUUACUCUCGUCGCCGUUAACCCUAACCGCAAAUUCAAAACCUCCUUCGACCUCGUCCAUGCAGGGGUCGGCUACUACUACGGUAACACCGUUAUCGAGCUAGUGAGUACGCCUAGGUUUCGAAGACACUUUGCUUUGAAAGAGAUGAACCAAACACGUUUCGAUUUCAAGAUAGGAGUGGAGAGGCUGAUGAUCGGCGAUGCCGUGGCACAAAAAAUCUCUUACGAUAGGUCUCGAGGGUCGGUGAGGUUUGCUGUUACAAUGGACAUUUUACGGGUGAAGUUUAAGGCUACGCUAGCGCCUACACUAGAAGAUCAGCAUCGGGUUGGGGUCACCUGUGAUCAGGUAGCUUUUGAGUUUUCCGGGAAUAAUGGUACCGGCGUACAGACGAGUCAGUCUUCGUGCUCUGUUUAUUUUGAUUGACAAUUAGUAUAGGUAUGGUAUGUGCUCGAUCAUUGGUUUGAACCAAUUUUCUUAGUUUUGUUUGAUUUUUUAAAGGUAGGAUGCGUCUAUUGCCACCCCACAAACCAUUUUACUCACCUCACAUUCUUUUCACAUCUCACUCAUAUAAUUUUAAUUACAAGUCUAUUUUGUUCACCCAUUAACAAUACCUAAAAUACCCUUUUAUCAAUUCUACUUUGUUCAUCCUAGCUACAUUAUCUUCUCACCCUACAUAUAUUUUGAUAUAUUUUAUCAAAUUCCGAUUCGCUGAAGGUAAGUAAAAUCACCAACUGAACAAAAAAAAUCACAUUAAAAUAUAAAUCCCAGUUAAAGAACAAGAAAAAACUCUCAAAUUUAAUAACUCAAUAAUAUCAGUCGAUAUCAUAAUGCACAAUGUCUGUAAAUGUAUCUCUAGUAGCAACGUUUUCCAUACUUUUGAGUUCUUUAACUGAUCUAUGUGUUGUUCAUAAAUAAGGUACAGUAGUUGUCCAUGGGAAUUUAGAUACAAAGUCAACAUAAGAAAUAAUGAGUAAAUUGAUAGACAAAUCACCAACAAAGAAAAAAAGAAAAAAAAGAAACACAAAUAGUUUACCUCAUCUUCAGGUUAAAUGUUGGUGUCUUCAGACUCACAACCGAUGAUAAAUUUAGGUUAAAGUUUAUGAAGUUUGUGUUCAUCUAAAACAAAAAGAUAAAAAAAAAAAAUUGUAAUUUGUAACAAUUUAUUGUCCCUUGCUGUAAUUUUACAUCAGGGUAUUUUAGUAUUUCAAUAAAUCAACAACAUGUGAGGUGAGCAAAGUGGUUUGUGAGGUGGUAAUAGACGCACCCUUUUUUAAAUUGAUGACGGGUGACAUGACAUGUCACAUAAGAUUAAAGUCAUAAAUCUUAAACCUUAUUAAGGCCCUCUAACCCAUUAAUAUAUGUUCCAUCGUUUGUUUGAACCAAGUUUCUUUUCAUGUUUGGUCCAAGACUCCAAGCACAAAUAGUCCUUGUUUAUGAUUUUUUUUAUUUUUGGCAACUUAGCAUACACAUGGUAUGUGUUGGUUUGAACCAAUUAUCUUAGUUUCGUUAGUUUUUUUUUUUAAUGAGUGGUUAGCUAAUAGGUUUGUUACACAGUUGAGCACUGUUGGCUCAUGUCGCCGUAAUAAUUAGUAUUUUAUUAAUGGUAUGAGUAGACCCUCCAAAAAAGAAAAUUGCGAUUAGUAGCUACAUUACUCUUUUCCAAAUCAAUCACUACAGUUUAAGAAUGGGACUCUUUCAAGCCAUCUUCACUCGUCCUCCAAGUAAAAUGGGACAGUCGUGAAAAAUCUGCCUUAAAAUUGCGAAGUUGCAGCAGCACUUGCAUAUACUUGCCCUCCGAGAGUUCUAUGAGUUCUAUCCUUAUCAUACAGGAGUUUGAUCCAACUAGUCUCAGUCAAUAUUCAUCUGUCUUAUAAAUUAUAAUCAUCUUGAUUUGGAUUAUGAACUAUAAUUUAGGUGCCUCAUGAGUUUGAUCUUUACAGAUAAUGGGAUUCCAAAUGGUGCCUCAGCAUUUUCUACCGGAUUAUGGUGGUAGGCGAAGCAAAUUUUAUGAUACUCCCUUGCUCCACAAUGUGGUGUAUAUAUGCUUGUUUUCUUCAUCUUUAAUGAGGAUUCUGACGAUGAUCGUCAAGAAUCGGAAGGCAUGCUUGAGUGGAACUCCACAUAAGUUCGAGCCCCAACAUGUACAUGUCCCUUUAUUAGUAGCUUGCUAAGUACUAUGAACCUGCAAUGACCCAUAUGACGUUGGUAAAACGUGUCAGAUCUAAAGAGUUUGGGUCAUCACGAGACCCGACUGUUGAUUGUAUGCGGACUUACAAUGUGAAAAAUCUCAACAAGAUAUAUUACUGCUCUUAUGUCAGUUAUGUGGAAUCGGCUUGAAUCUAGAUGUUAGAUGAUUUAUGCCUCCUCCAAAUCUAAAUAACCAAAAAAAAAAUUUUUAAAUAUGGUACAAAUUUAUAAAAAUAAAUAAAUAAAUAAAUAAAAAAUGAAUUCAAAACAUGCCAUUUCUGAAAAGUCAAAGUUGCUGAAUUUCAAACGAGUUUCCAGUACUCUAGCUAUUCACUUUUCAUUAGAUGAUUAUCAAAUUUGCCAACCAGCAAAUUUGAUGACCAACAAUGACCAUCCAAUCAAGAGAGAGAGAGAGAGAGAGAGAGAGAGAGAGAGAGAGAGAGAGAGAGAGAGAGAGAGAGAGAGANNNNNNNNNNNNNNNNNNNNGAGAGAGAGAGAUGAGUGGUUGUGAUUUGAUGGUCAUGGUGGUCAUCAAAUUUACUGGUUGGCAAAUUUGAUUCCAUUGAAAAUGUAGUCUUAUCAAUUCCCAAAAUUGAAAUUUUGUUACAGUGGUUUUGAACCCCAAGACAAUCAAAAAGCGGAAACUCAACUGUUUGCAGCGUCGAUCUAUCAAAAAAAAAAUGUUUGCAUUGUUUUUUUUUUCGAUUAAGAAAAUGUUUGCACUGUUGAACCUGAAAUUUUGUUAUGAGAUCGAGUGUACUAACUCCCUGCUUAGAUAACUAUUGCAUUAAAUCUUCAGAAGAGAAGUUGAUUCAACAACUGAGGUGAUCUAUUGCCUCAUAGAUAACUACAUAAACUAACAUCAACAAUGAGUUCGUUCAUGAUGUUUUUGUCAUUCUGUGUCAUGACCCAUGCCCAGUGUGGAAGGCAAAAAUACUCAAGUAAUAAACGUUCUUAUCAUGUCUUAUUGGGCUAGAAGUAGAACAUGCAUUUUGUAUGUAAUUUCAGUAUGUCACUCAUUUUAACGAAAUUUUCAUCUCAUAAAUAACAUAGAAACUUAGAAAGAAAGAAAAGAGAAACUAUGACUUGAUCGAGGAGAAUUGAUCGAAUAUAUACCAAUCUGUGACCGAAAAAUCUUGGUUCAUAUUGCUCGCCUUUGAAUUUCAUUAACAAAAACAAUGAAAAUGAUGAGUGACAACCCUAUAUAACUAAUACAACUGAACUAUAAACGGACAAACAUCUUAACAAAAUAUUCCAAGAACAACAGAGAGGCUAGCUAGCUAGGGGUUCUAACGAUGAAUUGAUGAAAGAAUCCCAAAGUAACAAAUUAAAAGAUGAACUUGUUCUUCCCGAGCUUCUGGAAUUUGUCGCAUCCCAGCAUAUGCGGGACCAACGAACAAGGAAUUACGGCGAUAUGUCGGAGAUCCGGAACGCGCGGUUUGAGAGGCUCAUCCUGCAUCUGCAUCUGGGUCAGACCUCCACGUCUCGCAGCGAAGUGUUGCACGCGUUCUUGAUCUCGUUUAACAAACCUUGUGAUGAGGAGGGCGUCUUGAGCGUCGUCGGUUGGGUUGGAGGAGAAGGUUGUGCUUCCAUUAGCAGUUGAUAUGAACAAGGUUGCGAAUAGAAAGCACAGAAGAAGGCAUGGUACUACUGCUUUAUUAGCCAUGGCAGAGAAGAAGAAAGUAUGUUUUUUUUUUUUCGGGGUGAUCGAAUUGUAUAUAUAGGGCUUUGGAAACUUGAGAUGCAAGAAUACUAGCUAGCUAGGUCUCCCAACUCUUAUAGGAUUAGGUUUGUAUAAGCGGCCCUACCUAGUUUUCUUUUAUAUUUGCCAACUUGAAUUCCUUUUCCCAAAUUAAAACUUGUUCGUAAACAACUUGGACUCGUAAUAAAACUGAAAGUUCACGAACUGCGUGUGUCUAGCCCUGUGACAAAAGCUUGUUUCCGGGAGGCCCCCACGAAAAUAGAUGGGUAGAAUCUGCUAUGGGGACGCCGUCCGACUACUUUUACAUCUCAAGUAAGUUAAACAUGAUCACUAUUGUUGGUUGCAAUGCAAGCACGAUGAUCAUUACCGGCACCCCUAGUAAUUUGAGCAACAACAUUGCAGAUUUGCCUCGACUAUUGAGUUGUUGUUCGGAGACUGAAGUCCAAAUGGGACUCUUUCAAGCCAUCUUCACUCGUCCUCAAGCAGACAGUCAUGAAAAAUCUGCGGUUAAAUUGCAAAGGAAGUUGCAGCAGCACUUGCAUACUUGCACUCCCAGACUUCUAUGCUCUAUCAUACAUAAUGCCUACGAAUAAAUUGAGGAGUUUGAUCCAACUAUCUCGGUCAAUAUACAUCUGUCUUAUAAUCAUCUUGGUUUGGAUUAUGAACUAUAAUUUAGGUGCCGUGCCUCAUGAGUUUGAUCUUUACAGAUAAUGGGAUUCAAAAACUACAUAUCCAAAUGGGAUCUGAGCCUCAGCUAUUCUUCCCAAAAAAAAAAAAUGAGAAAGAAAAAGAAAAGAAACGGUUUUCUCAUAACAGAUUAUCUGGAAGAACAGUGUGAAUCUUACAACAAUUAAUGUAGGCUUCAGAUGGUUUUCUAUUACCCAGCUGGAGCUCCUACAGAUUCAGCAAGUUCUUCCAGAAGCUCCUUUUGCUCCAAAGAAGUACAGGCCUGCAAAAAAGCAGGAAAAUCAAUUGCAGCGUAAAGUCUAACUUAAAAUGUCAUGAACCUCUAUCCUUCCUACAGUAUGUAUCAAUGUAGAAAAUGGAAACAUCUUACUAGAGAAAUACCUGAAUUGCGUUAUCUAUAUCACCACCAAGAAAACCGGUGAGCUCAUAGUUUAUCUUCAACCGGUGGUCAGUGACUCUAUUGUCCUGAAUCAAUAAACAAAAGAGUAAAUAACUUCCCCAAACGUAACAACAUAAUCAUGAAGAGAUUUUGUACACACUAGUCUCAUACAGGUUAGGCUAAGUUCACAAAAUUACUUGACCAGACUGACACUUGUUUAAAAACUUUAUACAAUUAUUGGGACUCUAAAUCUAAUAGUUGAAACCUUUUGAAUCAGAUAGUUUCUUAAGCAGCCAGUCAAAUCAAUUUUUUACCAACACUAUAUUGUCAAUAAGCCUAUCUUCGAGACUUCAGUGGCAGUAAACUUAAAAUUGAUGACAUGAGAAAAUAAAUCUAACUAGUUAUUAGUACCUUGAAAUUAUAUGUUCGAAUCUUUUCUGCACGAGAACCGGUCCCAACCUGCAUUUCAAGAAUACAACAUCAUUAAUGUAGUUAAUCUAGUGCCUAAAUCAUUACCUAAAUAAUGUAAUUGUAGUAUUGUUCUAUGUGUGUGUGUGUGUGUGGAGAGAGAGAGAGAGAGAGAGAGAGAGAGAGAUGGGAGGCUCUUGCCUAGAGGUCACAUUCUAUACCCUCAUCACAAAAAACAUAUAUGUGAUGCAAAUGUUCACACCAAGGUACUAGUCAUAUGCAUCUUAAAUAGUUUCUAAGCUAAACGAGUAACAGAUACCUGUGAUUUCCGUUGAUUCCUAAUCAGUUCCUGCUGCUCCCUCAGUUUUAUUUUAUACCUGAAACAUGGUCAUUGAUCAUCAAAACUGCACAAAAGAAAAGCCGGGUGGAAGCAAGACAUAUAUGUUUGAAAGAAAUGAUUGUUUUCAACUCAGUCAACAUGUUACCAAUCAAAGUAACAUUCUGAGGGCACCUAAAACAUGGAUUUAAUCAGCACUUACAAUUUUGCUCUCAGCAACUGAAAAGCACGAUGCUUGUUCUGAAGUUGAGACCUCUCUUCACUACAAAAGAUGCGGAUGCCAGUUGGCUUAUGGACAAGAUCAACAGCUGUCUCCACCUUGUUGACAUUCUGCCCUGCAUGACAAUGUUGCAUAAAGUUGUGGCAUAUAAGGAGUCCUUUCCUCUUACCAAAUUGAGGUAUGCAAAACAAUGUCAAUUCUACAAUAAACAAAUACCUCCAGCUCCCCCAGACCUUGCUGUUGUCAGUUCAAUAUCUUUUGGGUCAAUAACCACCUCAACUUCAUCCGCCUACAAUAUGGCACAGAAGAACUAUAAAUAAGGUAACAUGAAUGAUACAAUCAAGAGUAACGUAGAAUAUUAGUCACAAAAAACAAGAUUCAGAAUAUUCCGGUUGCCACAGCAAGCUUGACUUCAACAAUUUUGAGGUAAGGGGAUGAAUUUAAAACUAUAAAUAUUAUAAAGCCAUCUGGAUACAGAUUGAGGAAAGUAGAUGGUGCUACUCAAAUUCAUUAAAACAGUACAUCCAAACGGAAAUUUUGUAGCAGAUAAAGGGACAAUAUUCAACCAUAUUAGAGGGUAAACUAAUUUAUUACUAAUGGCAAUGAAAGUGGGGAAGAAUGGCAAAGAAAGUAAAAGAUAAUGCAUAUCACUGUUUUCCUCAUCAGGAAGAAUCCAAAUGAAGUACCACCUUUUCGAGAUAGUCAAUGUAAAGAACUUGGAACAUUGGUGGACCAAUGUUAGUAAUGGGUAUACAAACUUGAGCACACUUUAUUGAAUCUUUCAAAAUCCAGAUCCAAUGUAAAAUUGAGUAUUUUGUGCAAAAGAUAAGAUACCUCAGGCAUGAUGGCAACAGUUGCAGUGGAAGUAUGCACACGACCCUGUGUUUCCGUAUGAGGAACACGUUGAACCCGGUGAACACCAGACUCAUAUUUUAAUUUGCUGUAUACACGCUUUCCUUUUAUCUCCAUCACAUAGGUCUUGUAUCCUCCUCUUUCAGCCUAAAAGAAAGAAAGAAAGCUCUAUCAGUCAUGUCAAGAGCAAUAGGAUAUACCUCCUUAAAAAUGGCAGCAAAAAUACCUCUGUGCUUGAAACUGGGUUGAACUUCCAAUUGUUCCUCUCACAGUACUUCUCAUACAUACGAACCUGGGUCAGGAAAUAAAAAUAAAUAAAUAAAUAAAUGCAGAAGCAUCAAGGUAUGCUCAAAAACAACUUGAAGGAAUGACUUCAUGGACUAAAAGAAUACUUGUUUAGGCCUAUAAUGCGUGUCAUUGAAAACAAAACAUAUAAAGCGAGCUUGGUGUCGUAACAAGUUUAUCCACAUAGAUAGAUGCUGAAACAAGCUUGUCCAAAACCUAAGUUACCUAGCCCAUUGUUAUAGCUUUUCUCAUUUGGGAGAGACAAACAUUCAAGGCCAGGAAAUUUUGCAAAAUACUUGUACGAUUUUUUCCUGGUAUUCUUUUCUUUCUUUAUCACCAGUUUGGUGUUGUAUGCAAGAAAGGUAGAUUCCCUAUAGAUUUUAAAGGACAAAAAAAACAUAUACCUACAAGAUCACCUGCCCAGAUUCCAGCUUCAUCACCACCAGUACCAGCCCUUACUGUAGCAAGGAACAAUGCUAUUUUUAGUUAAAAUGAAAUUGAUGGGCAGGUACCAUCAUCGCCAGCAUAAUAAUGAAAAAAGCUGAUCUAUAUGUAGUAGGAAGAACAUGGUGAACCUAAACAGUCAUUGCAUUGUCUACCAUAUACUUGCCGUAGUUCAGACCACCCGAGUAAAGUAGAGCAGUUUACUCAGUAGAAAAUGAUACGUGGCUCACAAUUAAUCAAAUAAAACAAUUUACUCAAAAGGGAAGAUAUGAAAUUACCUUCAAGCAUUAUAUUUCUGGCAUCAAGAGGGUCUGUAGGAAGGAGUUUCGUCUGUUAAUAUAACAUGUAACAUUAUUAAAAAAAUUAAAAAAUCAUUCCAAAUAUCAGGACAAGGAACAACUGUUACUCGGAAAGAGGAGCACCAAUCUAACUGCUAAUAGCCUAAUACAAGGCUCACCAUAUCAACAAUAUUAUAUCAAAUUACACCAUAACGUACCUUAAGCUUCUCCUCAAGUUCUUUGAUUUGAUUGGACAAAGAUUCAAUUUCGUACGAAAUCAUAGCCGCCAUUUCUUCAUCAUUUCCAUCCUCAUCCGCCAAAGCUGAUACAUUGCGUCAUAAACAAGGACUUCAGCACUAAAAUACCUUGAACAUAUUCGAAACCAGAACUCUACUCAAAUAGUCAAAUUGCAGCAAACCUUUACUCUCCUCUAACUGCUUCUCACAGUCCUUAUACUCCUUAUAAAUUGACACAACCUGCCCAACAGCACAAAACCGCCUUCAGCGAAAUCCGAAAUGAACUCAAUCAGACAAAAUAUGUUAAUCUAAACUCUGCAAUACCUCAUCGAGCUCCGCCACGGAUUGCGCCAGCCUCUGGUACUCACUGGGAUUCGACACGAUGUCUGGAUCAGCUAGCUUGACCUAAUUCAAUUUUUAAUUCCCUUCUCUAUCAGAAAAACUCAAAUCUAACAACAAAGCAAGUAAAAAUUCGCAGUAAAAUAUUUACUAAUUUAAACCUAUCCAUUCUAAUCACGGUAACUAAAAAUCAUACCGAUAAUUCCUUCCAUGUCUUCUCCGCAGAUUCCAGCUUCGUAAUCAAAUACGGUGCCUGCAAAUUCAACCAGGAUUAACACAUGAAAUUACUCCUAUAACCUCAGUUCGUUAAUUACCAAGCAGAAACUGAAUGAAGAAGUUACUAAGUGGUGAAUGGACUGACCGCCAUGCAAGUGAUUCGUGGAGCUCUGGGAUGAGGUUUGGGGAUGGAAAGGGAAGUCCAUGAGUGGUGGGUGAAACGGCGUCGUGGAGGGAAUGCGAGUAAUCGCGGCGGUGCGGAGGUGGUGGUGAGGCCGCUCAUUGCCGCCGUGGGGGAGAAAAGCGCGGUAAGGCGGAGUGGUUGGAAAUGGAGGAGAUUUUGAUUCUUUUUAAGGCGACGGGGUGUGGAUAAGUUCCGUUGUGAGGUGUGCUUAGGAUAGAGCAGCUAUUAAUGGAUUCCAGUAAUACACAAAGCCCACGUUUUUUUCUUCUAGCCCAAUCUCUCAGCACAACAACGAGAAAACGGUGAAACCGUUAAACAACGACAAACGUGACACGUGGAUUAUAUAAAUAUUAAUUAUAUUAAAUAUCAUAUUUACAAUAUAUUCUACUCUUAAUCUUGUGUCAUGACUCACGCUAACAUAAACCAAAUCGAAGGAGCCGGGUGGGAAUGAGCAAAAUCAGCAAGAUAGUCUGCUACAAAGUUAACCUUACGAAACAUAUGAUGAACACAAUAUAAUCAAAUUGAGCAGCAAAAUGUGAGGAUGUCCUUGACUAGUAAAUAGUGUGAAGAACAAUAGAGACUGUGAAUUUUUAUGCGAAAUAAUUGACACUGUAAAAGUCAAGAGUUGAAAUCUCCCUGACAUCAUCAUGGGACGAGUGUGACAAGAAAAAAAUAUAGUAGUUUUAUACUUAAACAAGAAAAAGCCACUAAGCUUAAAAAGAAAUUGUAUUGAUCCGCAAAUGAUACCUAUGAACUUAUUGUUUGUUUAUUUUUAGCGAAACCUCACAGCUCAAAGUCGACAACACACCAAUAUGCCAAGCAAUGCUUGUCUGGUAGUAGCCUAGUCACACCAAUUACGGUGUGACUGAAACAGCACAACACACAGCGGGAUAUUGUCUGCUUUGGCCUCACUCUCAUGGUUUUGUUCUUGGGUUUCCAACUCAAGAUGUGUCUCACUAGUGUGCGUAAUUAUUGUUUUGGCAUUACAUUUUCUUUAUUGAAACAUCUAUGAUGAAUUAUUAAAAACUCAUAAAAAGGGGGGAGGUUGGGCCUGCACGAUUCCUCGAGUGAGAUGUACGCAGUUUAUGGAGGGGGAGAAGACAUGAAAGAGAAAAUACUUUCAUUUUUUUUUCGGAAAUGGAUCUUACCCUUCUAACAAGCCUGACUUCCCGCUUAAGAAGUACUUGAUUACCGUGCAAGCUUUGAGAAUCAGUUUACCAGAAUUUACUGAAUUGAAUUCGGUACUCCUCUUUAGGUUGCGAAACAAAAAAAUCCUUCUUUAAAC